RNAcentral lists this long non-coding RNA (131363 nucleotides) under Populus tremula. Its description in RNAcentral is "long non-coding RNA (PTRE_LNC001462)". The record is from RNAcentral. Lineage: Eukaryota; Viridiplantae; Streptophyta; Magnoliopsida; Malpighiales; Salicaceae.
GUGCUAGAUGUCUAAAACCAAUACCACAAGCAUAUUUAAGUUUGACAUACAAACACAAAAUUAAGACAUGUAGUAAAUAAUUUCAAUAUGUAUGUAAGAGUGGUUUUUCAUCUAGUGAUGAAGGAGCACCAAUUUCGAAGCUGGAAAUUGUUGAGGCGGAAGUAACAUCCCAAGGUGCUCCCAUCACUUCAUUUCUGUCAUAUUCAUUCUCUUGUUGGACGAUCAAGUUUUCGGAUUUUAUAAUCCUCUCCAACACCAUUGUGACUUCUUUCAUCGUAGGCCUUUCUUUCCCAUUUAACCUCAAGCAGCUCCUAGCCAAGCUAGCUACCAUCAACACUUCCUCUCUUUCCCCUUGCUUCACAACCUGAGGAUCAAGAAUAUCAAACAGACAGUUGCUCUCCAUGGCCAUUAUGAAAUAUGUGGCUAAACUUCUGCCUUCUUCUGAUCUUGUGAACGAGAUUGCCUUCUGCCCAGUAAGUAGCUCAACAAGAACUACACCAAAGCUAUAGACGUCACUCUUGUCUGUGAAUUUGGUUGAUUGGAAGAACUCUGGAUCCAAGUAUCCUAUAGUGGGUUAUAAUUGCAUCAACGGUCUAGUUUUGCCAAUGGGACUCCAUCUCCUCUUGAAGCUACAGAACUCCCACUUUUAUUAGAUGUUGCAGGUUCAAUUCCUCGAAAGGGAAGUCAAUCUCAAAUUCCUAGAAAAUUUGUCCUAGGUGGAUUAAAAUAAAAAAUUUACUAUUUUAUUUAAAAAAAAAAUUCACACUCACUCUCUGCUAAUGGAUGGUGGGUUGAUGAGGUGACUAAACUUUGCCACUUGUUGAGGGGUUGGGGUGAUUUCCAUACUACUACAAGAAUAAGCACCCUACCAAAAUAAGAAAUACUCUAGUAUUUAAGUUAGUAAAUAUCUGAGGAGAAUAAUAUAUAUAAAAAAAGAGUUAGUAAAUAUACUAGGAGAAUAAUGUAUAAAAACAAGAGGUGUAGUAGAGUGUCUAGAGGGAAAAGUGUGUACAACAGGGUAGGAGGGGGGAUUGUGGAGCAGGGGAAUAACAAUAUGUAUAACAGCAGAGGUGUGUGUAGAAGAAGAGGAGAAAUAUGUGUAGGAGGAGAGGAACAAUGCUGUUUGGUGGCUUUUUGUGACCUCUUAUGCUCUGUGUGAUUCUGUCCUUAUGUGGGUGGCCUGGGGUGUUUAUAUCCUUGGCCCUUAAGACCAUGUGGUUUACCUAAUGAGAAAUGGAGGAGAAGAAAUACCUUUUAAUUAUGCGCAUGUAACUGCAAAAUAAGUUAUUAAGUGUACGUGCCACACUAUACCCUCUGUAACACCUAGAUAAACCACAGAGUUGAUCAGUAAACCAUGCCAGAAGAAUCUAUAGAGUAGCGAAUGUAACACCUAGAUAACCAGGAGUUUGCCUUGACAAAUACCAGAAAGAUAAGGAUUUCCUUCGAAACCUGGAUUGCAAGAACAUUGAACUUUCUCCUUAUUAUUUGUGGGUGUAGACAUUUCAUAUCUAUGUAAAAUCUUUGCAUUAUGAUUAUUUCUUUUAUAUUUACUACUUUUUGGGAUUUUUCUACCUUGCCAAUCUUCUUCUCUAAUGGUAACUUUUAGAACUUCAUUUAUACACUAAAUAGGAUUUUCUAUAGAUUUUAAUUCGAUCAUCAAGCAUUCAUGCAUGUAGCCUGGUAGCAUGCAGCAAUACGAACAGCAAGUGCUAGCUGGAGUCCUGGUUAUUGCUAAAGGAAUCAAUAUUCAUGUAGAGCGUGAUAAUAUUUUUAGCUAUUUUCCACUUAAGUUUCCGGAAAAUUCUUUAUUUUACAAACGAUGCACAUGCCUAAAUUCCCCGUUUUACAAUUUGUUAGUGUGGCAUCUGCUUGAAUGUCUUGUCUGAGAGGGGAGGCCGGCGCCUCCAUGAGUUACUAGUCUUAUAGGUUAGUUACGCAGUUGUUUAUGGUAAAGUAAUUAUUCUCAUCAUUAUUCAUACGAUUAGGAUGCGUAGUAAGUUUACAACCCUACAAAGCCUAUAAAUAUCAAAGACGAUUUGUAUGAAGAAGUGAACAUACAAAACCCCACACACUUAAAAGUGUCGAGUUCUGAAUCCUCCCAGUCAUUCAACCAACCAGUUGGCAACAGUUCAGUUUUCUUGUAUGCCAGGCUUUGUAGGAAAUCCUUAAUUAGGUCAUUAUGAAAGUAAAUUCCUGGUUAAUUUUACAAUUUUCUUAUUUUCUUUUGGCAUUAUAUUUCCUACUCCAUCGAUUCUUCUCGAAUUUUUUACCAUUACAUGGUGUAAAGAUCAACUAUGUUACUCUAUGUGACAGAGGAUCCAGACUACAUGGAUUGCCAGGGACAUGUGAGAGAAAAAACGUUAGUCCUGGGUAUGUUGCUGCAUUUGCAUCCUAUAUCAUCUAAGAAAUGACAAUUGCUUAGGAGUAAGAAUACUUGUAUUUUUCCUGAUCAGUUCCCUUUCCCUAUCCGUUCAUAAUUGCUUGACUGUUGUAGGAAUUGGAGUGGGAAUUGGAACAUUGUUUAUGCUUAUUGGUCUGUGGUGGUUGUACAGAGUAUUCAAGAGGAGGAGGAAUGAAAAACAGAGGAAAAAAUACGUCGUAUGGAAUGGUGGUUUAUUGAGAUCGUGACACUUGUCACGAUCUUAAGCAAUACUCAGAUAUACUCUAACAAGUUUGACAUACAGACACAAAAUUAAAACAUCUAGUAAAUAAUUUCAAUAUGUAUGAAAGAGUGGUUUUUCAUCUAGUGAUGAAGGAGCACCAAUAUCGAAGCUGGAAAUUGUUGAGGCAUAAGUAACAUCCCAAGGUGCUCCCAUCACUUCUUUUCUGUCAUAUUCAUUCUCUUGUUCGACGAUCAAGUUUUCGGAUUUUAUAAUCCUCUCCAACACCAUUGUGACUUCCUUCAUCGGAGGCCUUUCUUUCCCAUUUAACCUCAAGCAGCUCCUAGCCAAGCUAGCAACCAUCAACACAUCCUCUCUUUUCCCUUGCUUCAUAACCUGAGGAUCAAGAGUAUCAAACAGGCAGUUGCUCUCCAUGGCCAUUAUGAAAUAUGUGGCUAAACUUCUGCCUUGUUCUUCUGAUCUUGUGAACGAGAUUGCCUUCUGCCCAGUAAGUAGCUCAACAAGAACUACACCAAAGCUAUAGACAUCGCUCUUGUCUGUGAAUUGGCUUGAUUGGAAGUACUCUGGAUCCAAGUACCCAAAGGUGCCUUUUACUUGAGUUGUGACAUGAGUGUGGUCGAUGCUUACGGACCUUGAAGUCCCAAAAUCUGCAACUUUGGCUCUAUACUUCUCAUCAAGCAGGAUGUUUGUAGACUUGAUAUCUCUAUGAAAAAUGGGGAGGGAGGCUGCUGAAUGUAGAUAGAAAAGUGCCCCUGCUACCUCUGCUGCAAUCCUUAAGCGCAUUUCCCAAGUUAAAGGGAAUUCCUCGUUAGGGUCAUGGAUAAACUGGAAAAGGGUCCCAUUAGGAAUGAAUUCAUAGACUAACAAUGGAAGUUCAGUCUCUAAACAACAACCCAGAAGCUUAACCACAUUUCUAUGGUUAAUUUGGGAUAGAAGGACGACCUCGUUGAUAAAUUGUCUGAGAUUCCCUUCAUCAAUUACUUUGGAUUUCUUGACUGCAACGAUUUUUCCAUCCGCCAACAUCCCUUUGUAAACUGUUCCUUGGCCUCCAUGGCCCAGCGUUCUAUUCACAUUGUAAUGAUCAGUGGCCUUGUCUAAUUCUUUCGAAGGAAACAUUUUGAUUUUCUCAACAUUGACUUCACCUGAAGAUAGUUGUUCUUGCAGUAAGAGACCACCAUUCCUCUUAAAGUACUUUUUCUUUAGUUUUUCACUCCUCUUUCUCUUGAAUACUUUGUACAACAACCAUAAAACAAUGAGUAGAAACAGUGCUCCAAAUCCCACUCCAACACCUGCACAAGUCAACCAAUUGCAUUCAAUUCCUUUUUAGAGCUGAACUCAGAAAAACAAAUUCUGUCUGUUUGCUUGAGUAAUGGUGCAGUAUCUGCGAUUAUUUGAUGCUGCUGGGAUAGGAUUGGUGAUUUUGGGGUUGUACAGCUGCAGCAAGGGUCUAGAUUUUAUCUCUAACUUCCAUUUUGCAGAUUGUCUUUACUACUUAUCCAGGCAACAGAGUCUGUAUCCUAUAACAAAGUUGAUGGAUCAGUAAACCAUACAAUGGUAAACCGUGGCAGAAGAAUCUACAGAGCAGGAAUUGUAACCAGGGGUUAAUUUACCAUGACAAAUACCAGAAAGAUAAGGAUUUCCUUCGAAGCCUGGAUUGCAAGAACAUUGAACGGUGGAGCUCUGGUUGGUUGAAUAAAUGGAAGGAUUCACAAUCUUACACAUAGAAGUAUAACUUGAAUUAUAGAAUGAUCCAUUCUUAACAAAUGAUUCAAAUACCCUUUCGUCUAUCCCCCAAUCCAGCACUACGGGAACAUAUAUAGUCCCUAUCUCUUGUCGUAAUAAUAGUCAAAGUUCCCUCUGGCAUAAGAAAUACUACCCGUAGUUGAUCUGUGUUUGGGCAGUUAAAGAGGCAUAUGAGUAUCAAACUCAGGUCUCUAAUGGAGGGAACCAAGUAUUAGGAUGAACUGGAAAUAGAGACCGUGAUAUAGUAUUAAUAAUACUGCCCAUCACAGCCUCAUCUAAAUAGCAAGAACUAAAAAUUGGCACAUGUAUAUAUCCUAUCCAAAUUAAAAAUGAGAAACCAAAAAAACGAACAGUUACCUUUAAUGGCACAUGAAAGAUCUAUACACAAUAGUAUGUACAUGAACAUUGGGAUUCCAAAUGAAGAGGAUGAUAUACGAACUUACCGACAGCGACCUGAAUCACUGAUGAUAUAGUACGGAUGCAGCGUUCUCCAUCUAUUCUCCCAUCUCCAUAGUACCCCUUGGGGCAAGAACAUGUAUAAUUCCCUUCGGUGUCGAUGCAUAUGUGGCUGCAAUUGUGGGCUACUUUUGGAUCUGAACAUUCAUUAAUGUCUGUAGAAGCAUCAUAAAGAGAAGCCUUUAAGUAAAACUAUAGUAAAUUCUCAUAAUUUCAUGUAAUCCAAUUUCGAAAAAUCAGAUUAGAGAUCUCCUCGAAAUCAAUUACAAAUAAUUUAACUCUCUUCAUGCAAGUAAAAAAUUAUAAAAAAGGGGAUAAAAUGAAGAAAAAGAAAUGCAUACUUCGGCAACCAUUUGGGAGGUAUGGAUUUCCACGAUAGCCAUCUAAGCAUUUGCAAAUGUUCCCAAACCCAUUUUCAGGGUCAUGACAUUUGCUCUGUCCUAGACAUGCAUUAGACAUCUUGUUCUUUUCCAAGGUUUCGCAUUUAUUGCGCCCAAUACUCCAAUCCACUAUAACAGGAAGCUUACUUACUUUCUCAAAAUCCGACAGGUUACUUGGAAAAAAGCUGAACUGCUUUUCUUCAAUCAUGAAGGCAAAGCUGCAACGAUUGAAUUCCCAGAUUCCCGCAUGAUUAUUGUAACUAGACACGCUCACUUCGAAGUACCUCAUUCCUUUGGCAAUGGAGGUUUGGCAGCAACCAAUUCCGGAGCAUGUGUUUGGCACAUAUGUUUUGUCGCUACAUCCGGAAAUGCAUCCUACCAGGUAUGUAUCAUUCUUGACUCCUCGCGUACCUAGCAUUUUAGCUACAGUAUCACAGCCGAUAGCGACGAACAUAUUGUCAGUGUCAGAAAAAACGUAUGGACCUUGAACGGGUAGGUUUAUCCAGGGACUGUUUCUCGUUGUUCGUGCACCAGCCCGAUUAUAGCAGUCCUUAGCUAUAUCCUGCAUGAUGCGUAGCUUCCCAUCAAGGGUUAUUUCUGUGACCUCUAAGCUACCAUUUCCUAAAAACGGUUUUGGAGGAUUGAAAGUAUGGUUGCAAGUUAUGAGGAACUUAGAGUCGAAGUAGCAAUCUUUUCUGGUGCCAAAUGGAUAUGGGAUACUAAGAUUCCCACAUCUAUCUUGGCAUCCAGGUUUCGCUAUAGGAAUCUCUGUUGCUGCUGUAACUGCUGCUAACAACACUCCAGUUAUUGUGAACUGUAAGGCCAUUCCUCGAAUUCCCAUGACAGCUACUUUUCUGUUUAAUUAAAAUGGAGUCGGGUGGUACAAAACUCUCUAUGGCAGCUAGCUUUGUUAUUCACGGUCCAUUUUCUUAGAAAGAACUUCAAUCCCAUCAAGGUAAGAUGAUAAAAGGGUUGUUUGGAACUGCCUUAUGUUUCUAAAUUUUUUAAAAAACUUUUUGUUUAAAAUUAAUAUUUUUAUUGUUUUAAUAUGUCGAUAUUAAAAAUAAUUUUUUAAAUAAAUAAAAACAUUUAUUUUAAUAUAUUUUCAAAUAAAAAAUAAUAAUUAACACACUUAUAAAUAUUCUUUAAUAAUUGUUACUUAGCUCAUUCUCCACUAAACAUAGAACUCACUUAAGGAAAGAAAACACACCGAACGUUUUGCAAAAAAAAAAAAUUUUAUUUUUAUCUUCUUGAAUUAUUUUAUUUACUUGUCAUUGGAAAGACUUCAAAAAAUAAUUAAAUAUUAAAGUAUUUCUAAAUGAAAGAUUUAUUUUACAGAAUCAACAUAACACGGACUCAAAACUUAUUAAUCAAGAAAAGUCCAUUUCCAUGUAAAGAUUUUGGUUCAAUAUUUGUUUUAUUUUUUUCCUUUUUGAUUUUUCUUUUUUGAAACUAAAAAUGAAUUUGAUAUUUACACAUUUAAUGUUAUUUUGUAAUUGAUUGAAACUUCGAAAUGAUUUUUAUUUUAAAAUAAAAUGAUGAAAAGACUCUAUCAAAAUAUUAAUAAAUAUGGAAGAUCUAAAUUAUGAAAAACAAUUAUGUUAAAAAACCAAAAAUCAUAAAAUAAUUUUCUAUAUUAAUAAAAAAAAUAUAUAUCAUGUUGUAGCAUUUAAUUUAUGUUAUGAAAUAGAAAAGAUAAAUACAAAUGGGAUAAGAAUAUACUUUAUAGCAAGGACGGAGAUAAAAACCAUAAAUUAUAUGUCUGAGAGACAGAUUUAAGCUAAUUUUUAUCCCUCCAAAAAGAAGGAAUGGAUGGAAUAUGGGCUGAGGACAACAUUUAUUAUUAUAGAAAAAAAACUGUGCAUUAUUUUUAAAAUUUUUUUUGAAUAUAUGAGAUAUCUUCUAAAUAACUUGCACAUCACUUAAAAUUAAAUCUUUUCCGAUGAAAAAAAAAUUCAAGUAAUUUCGGAUGAAGUUUUAUGCAUGUUUUGGAUAAUUAAUUAAUCUUUUGAUAUUGAUAAUCUAAUUUUUUUUUAAUUAAGGUGAUUAGAGAAGGGUGUCGAAUACCUACAAAAAGUUUUAUUUGAUAAAUUUAGGGACUCUCUGAUGAUUAAGUCAGUGACUUUUUGAGAGAAAAUACAAUAAUAUUAUAGAGAGAUACUCUGAAAAUAAUUAUGUAGUAGAGAAUGAAAAUUUUGAAUAUUUUUUUGUUAAAGUAUUCAUGGUCUAUUUAUAGCACAUGAGUCUUUUUUAUGGAAAAGAGAGGUUAAAGCGUAAUACUACUCUGAUGAUUUUAAUAAAAAAAAAUAUUAUUGACAUAUAUAUUAAUAUUGAUGGAAAAUAUCUCUGAUAUAAGUAUUAAUAUUGAUGGAAAUAUAGUGGUCACUUAGAGAACUUUUACACACUAUCCCUUACUUAAUAAUAAUAUAAAUGAAAAUAUAGUGGAAUCUAGAAGAAUUUGAUAUAACUAAGGGUGUAAAAAGAAUAUGAACAAAAAUGUAGUUGUGUCCAUGGAAUUAGGUUAUUCCUUUGAUUGAACCCAUAAAAAGUGUUUUUUGAGGGUGUUUUUAGACCCAUUAAAUCUAAAUUUAUCACUUCUAUUUAAAAAAAUUUAAAUACAGACCUCUCACAUCAGUUUAUUACAUUUAAAAAAAGUUUAAUAUGAUCAUGGCUUUUCUAUUAUCUUCACUCUCCGAGACCCGAUAUUUUAGUCCACUUCAUUAAAGAACUGCCAUUGCUCGAGCUUUAACAAGGAAGGCUGGGCUUAGGCUACUCGAUGAAGCAACAAGUGCACUAGAUGCUGAGUCUGAGAGGUCUGUCCAGGAAGCCCUGGAUCGUGCCUGCUCAGGAAAGACCACAAUUGUUGUUGCACACCGGCUAUCAACUAUAAGAAAUGCUCAUGUCAUUGCUGUGAUUGAUGAUGGUAAAGUAGCAGAGCUAUGCCCGCAUGAUACAGUUACAAAUGCUCAUGUCAGGAUUCCACUCGCAUCUAUUGAAAAAUUAUUCUGAUGGGAGCUAUGCCCGCAUGAUACAGUUACAAAUUAAGGUUCACACAUAGCGAAGUCAUUGGAAUGACCUCAGGUUCAAGUUCACGGAGCAAGGAUCCCUUGUGCAUGUGGUUUGUCGCAACUGCUUUCACAAAAAGAUGCCCAAUGUCGGAAGAUAAUUGAGAGAAAGGUGUCCAGGCUUGUGCAAUUAGGCUACAAGGGCUAUCAUGCCAGUGGCAAUGGAUGUAGACCGGAACAUAUUCCUGGCGAUUCGAAAUCAUCCAAUCUUGAGCUUAAUAGGAUGCCUAUCUAUUUAUGAUUUGGUUUGUAGGGAAGGAAAUUAUUGAGUGUCAAAGUUCACAUGCAUGGUGGUUGGUUGCACAUGUGUGUCAUUUGAGUGUCCAAGGACAAGUACUACCCCAAAGAGGGGACCUCGUUGAAAUCAAUAGACCACGCUCCUUCGACCAUUAAUUAGUAGAAGCUGGUGGUAAUGGUGGUGGUGGACAAGCGGGAGACAAAAGUUUAGGAUACGGCAUUUGGAAAAUGACAAAAAGGGAGAUGAUAAGAGAGUUAGAUCAUGGCCUCAUGGGAUGCUCUGUCCUUGUGUUCAUUGCGCGGGCCAUACCCAAUCUCUUUCCAUUAAAGAAAUACAAGGACGUUAGCCUGCACAGAUGGGCUUUAAUGGCGCUCUUGUUUUCAAGUGCUCAAGAGCAUUAUGCUUUUGGGACACGGGAUGAUGACUCUCUGUUAACAAGUAACGACUUCAACAGCUGUUUCAAAUUACGGGCAACUAGAACACACAAUUACAAAAAAAAUGGAGGAAAGUGCUACAAGUCUAAAACCAAUACCACAAGCAUAUUUAAGUUUGACAUACAAACACAAAAUUAAGACAUGUAGUCAAUAAUUUCAAUAUGUAUGUAAGAGUGGUUUUUCAUCUAGUGAUGAAGGAGCACCAAUAUCGAAGCUAGAAAUUGUUGAGGCAGAAGUAACAUCCCAAGGUGCUCCCAUCACUUCAUUUCUGUCAUAUUCAUUCUCUUGUUCGACGAUCAAGUUUUCGGAUUUUAUAAUCCUCUCCAACACCAUUGUAACUUCUUUCAUCGGAGGCCUUUCUUUCCCAUUUAACCUCAAGCAGCUCCUAGCCAAGCUAGCAACCAUCAACACAUCCUCUCUUUCCCCUUGCUUCACAACCUGAGGAUCAAGAAUAUCAAACAGGCAGUUGCUCUCCAUGGCCAUUAUGAAAUAUGUGGCUAAACUUCUGCCUUGUUCUUCUGAUCUUGUGAACGAGAUUGCCUUCUGCCCAGUAAGUAGCUCAACAAGAACUACACCAAAGCUAUAGACAUCACUCUUGUCUGUGAAUUGGCUUGAUUGAAAGUACUCUGGAUCCAAGUACCCAAAGGUACCUUGUACUAGAGUAGUGACAUGAGUCUGGUCGAUGCUUACCGACCUUGAAGUCCCAAAAUCUGCAACUUUGGCUCUAUACUUCUCAUCAAGCAGGAUGUUUGUAGACUUGAUGUCUCUAUGGAAAAUGGGGAGGGAGGCUGCUGAAUGUAGAUAGAAAAGUGCCCUGCUACCUCUGCUGCAAUCCUUAAGCGCAUUUCCCAAGUUAAAGGGAAUUCCUCAUUAGGGUCAUGGAGAAACUGGAAAAGGGUCCCAUUGGGAAUGAAUUCGUAGACUAACAAUGGAACUUCAGUCUCUAAACAACAACCCAGAACCUUAACCACAUUUCUAUGGUUAAUUUGGGAUAGAAGGACGACCUCGUUGAUAAAUUGUCUGAGAUUCCCUUCAUCAAUUACUUUGGAUUUCUUGACUGCAACGAUUUUUCCAUCGCCAACAUCCCUUUGUAAACUGUUCCUUGGCCUCCCUGGCCCAGCGUUCUAUUCACAUUGUAAUGAUCAGUGGCCUUGUCUAAUUCUUUCGAAGGAAACAUUUUGAUUUUCUCAACAUUGACUUCACCUGAAGAUAGUUGUUCUUGCAGUAAAAGACCACCAUUCCUCUUAAAGUACUUUUUCUUUAGUUUUUCACUCCUCUUUCUCUUGAAUACUCUGUACAACCACCAUAAACCAAUGAGUAGAAACAGUGCUCCAAAUCCCACUCCAACACCUGCAUAAGUCAACCAAUUGCAUUUAAUUCAUUUUUUAGGGCUUAACUAAGAAAAUCAAAUUCUGUCUGUUUGCUUGAGUAAUGGUGCAGUAUCUGCGAUUAUUUGAUGCUGCUGGGAUAGGAUUGGUGAUUUUGGGUGGUACAGCUGCAGCAAUGGUCUAGAUUUUAUCUCUAACUUCCAUUUUGCAGAUUGUCUUUAUUACUUAUCCAGGCAAUUGAACAUAGUUAAGUACAGUGUUGUAGUUUGUCUCCAUAUUCUACUUUAUUCAUGUCAGUUAUGAAAAGAGAAUUUGAUUAUUAAAAAACAGCAAGUUAAAUUUUAAUUUUUUAAUAUAUAAUUUUGAUGGUCUGCUUUACUAAGUGUAUAAAUUUUAUUUUUAAUCUUAUGUGGAAAAAAAAACUUUAUUACAAGCAUUUUCAAGAAAGUGUACUUUUUUACUUGAAACUAAUUAUUCAUACAUUUUUCAAGAAAGCAUUAUUUAUACCAGGGAAAGAAGAAAAUUAUGAAACAACGAUCUAAUUACAAAUAAAAUUUGAAAAGGAGGGGACAAAAAUGAAUACUUUAGAAAGAUAAAUCGUACUCAAUCUUCAUGAGUAAUUGUUUAAAAUGGCAUCGACAAAAAUUUCAUGCCGUUGGUGCUUGAAUAAAUUGAUUGAUUUGAUUUAGUCCAUCGGUUUACUUAAAGUAAUAAUGACGAAUUAUAGAAUCACAUAUAUCAUAGUUGUACAAAUGGAAUAUUUAAAACUAGAGUAGUAUAAGGUUGUGUUUGGGAAUGGUUGAAAUCGUUUUCCAUUAAAUUUUAUUUGUUUUUAUUUUUAGAUUAUUUUAAUGUGUUGAUCUCAAAAAUAAUUUUUAACAAAUAAAAAAAUAUCAUUUUAAUAUUCUUAAUGAUAAUUUUUUAAAAAUAAACCGCAAACGCUACUACAAUCCUAAAUAUGCCAGAAGUUCAGAAAGUAACAUGUGGUAUGAGAAAGAAGGGAGAUAUUCUUAUUAUUUUGAUGGUUCAUGAAAAAAAUUUUCUUUGUAUUUUUUUUAAGUGGAUAGUAUAAAAUGACUAAUACAAUGUCACUAAUUAUUUUUGAUGCAUCAUAAAAUAUCUUGUAUAUAUACACAUGUCGCAUGAUAAUUAUAGAAAUCACAAAAUGAUGUGUUGUUUUUAUUGUAAACAUGUAUUGUUCAUUCUCUCAUAUUUUAUUGUGAAUUUACUUUCAAAUUUGUUUAUGUUUUUAUUUUGGUCCCCAAAACUUCUUUUUGCACAAUUGCAUCCUUUUUGACAACAUAAAAGGACAAUUGAAUCAAAUUUAUUGACUAAGGUCAAAAUUAAAAGUCAUGGGAUCAAAGUAGAAAAAAGUUAUACCUAUUCGGUCCUUAAAUAUAUUUUUUUGUGUUUUCAAAGUUAUCACAAAAAAAUCACUUUAAUUAGUCCUCGAACCUCACAUGUUAUACCUAUUCAGUCCUUAAAUAUUUUUUCAAUUCAAUUUUAGUACAAAAUUUAUUAUUUUUUAUUUUUUAGUCCAUGGUUUGAGAGAAAAGAGAGAGAGAGAUCACCGGAUUUCAAUUGUAAAAAGAAAAAAAUAUUGUUGGCAUCGAUUUCGACCAUCAAAACGGUCGAUUUUUAUGUCAAAUGAUUUCAUUUGAUUAGAAAAUUUUAAAAUAUAUGUUUUUUUUUUACCUUGAAAGUGCCUAAAAAACAUAUAUGAGAUUGAGAAGAUUUUUUUUAUUUCGGAUUGAUUUCAAGUUUUUUGAUAGUUUUAGAGGUCAAGAAUAGAUUUCACAAGGCUCCUACGGUGUUUUCUAGGUAUAUUGGGUAAAAAAAAAGGGGGUUAAAAUAGGUUUUUAGAUAAAAAAUAAAAACCCUUCAGUUGCGUUUUACUGACCAUUAUAGUGGCCGGAAUCUGGGCAAAGUCAAACGACGCGUCAUGUGACACGUGUUGUACCACUAUGUAAAAGACAACUCUCCGCUUCCAACACCAUCAUUAACAAUGACAUCUGAAUAUUGAGAGGUGCUACACACGCCGCCCAAAUAGCAUGAGCGCCUCCAACUUUUACAUUUUUUAUUAUUUUAAUACUUGUUCAAAGACCUAAUUGCCCCUCAUUUUAAUUGACAAUAACAAAAAAACAGUAUGGAAAAAAUCCAAAUAGCCCUAAUUGUCAGUUUUACUUCUGAGAAAUGUAAGGGCAAAGAGGUUAUUUAACUGUGCAUCUAAAAAUGAAAAAUACCAAAAAACCCUUAUACUUAGCUUUAUUUUUUAAAAAUUUAUAAGGGUAUAUUAGUUAUUACAUUGUUGAUGAAAAAUGUAAAAGUAUUUAUUUAAAACCAAUAAAUAUGACAAUGACAAAUAAAUCCCAUGUAAAAUACCUUUAUACCCCUUCGACCAUGUUUUUUGAGUUUUUGAUGCAAUGAAAACAAUAUUUUUACUGCUCGAAUAAAUAACUAAACUCUUUUAGUUUCUUUUUUUUUUUUUAAAUAAAAUCGUCAAUUAUGACAUUUGGAGCACUGUCAUGAGACAAGCCAACAACAUAGUUUUCCUCUAAUCAAACAUAACAAUGCCAGUCAAUUGUUUUCUUGACCCAUUUAAGUGUGACAUAAUCUAUGGUCAUUUCUAUCAUGAUGAUAUAGAGUGAAAAUGCAACAACAUACCUAGGCCUGCCAUUUUAGCUUUGAUUUUACGCCGGUAAUGGACGUAUGUUGUACCCUCUGCAACACAUGGAGAAACCACAGAGUUGAUGGAUCAGUAAAGCAUACAAUGGUAAACCAUGCCAGAAGAAUCUAUAGAGUAGCUAGGAAUUGUAACCAGGAGUUUACCUUGACAAAAACCAUAAAGAUAAGGAUUUCCUUCGAAGCCUGGUUUGCAAGAACAUUGAACGGUGGAGCUCUGGUUGGUUGAAUUAAUGGAAGGAUUCAGAAACCCACACGUAGAAGAAUAACUUGAAUUAUAGAAUGAUCCAUUCUUGACAAGUGAUUCAAAUACCCUUUGGUCUACCCCCCAAUCCAGCACUACGGAAACAUAGUCACUAUCUCUCUUGUCAUAAUAAUAGCCAUAGUUCCGUCCGACAGAAUCAUACUCCCCGGAGUCCAUCAAACUUUGGGCAGUUAAAUAGGCAGACCUGCAUUUUUUUUCCCCACUGCUUCCUUUUACACCACGUAACCGUAGCAUGUUUACAUUAAAACCCUUGAGAAAUGAAGGAAUCCUGGUCUGGCAACAGUUGAUCCCACUGCAGCCCAUAUAACUUUUUUCGUCACAAAUUGGCACACACCCACCAAUAAUAGAUUGAUUUUGGGUCAUCGUGGCAAAAUAGCCACAACCCGUUGCAAUGAAGUAAUUCUCGGAGGAGAAAACAAAAGGGCUUCCUUCCAAGUCAAAAACUGUGUUUCUAUUUCUGUCUCCACAAUUUGCAAAAACAAUUGGAAACAUGACCCUUAUCAUACUGCGACGAACAGAGAUGUAUCUCACCUCCAGAUCAUUGCCGUUUACAGUAAGUUUAGGAGCUUGACUACUGGAGGUGCAGAGUAUUUUGAAACUUUCGUCUAGGUAACAUCCUUCUUCCAUUCCAAAUGGAUAUGGAAUAUCAACGCCUCCACAGUUAGAUAGACACCAAGGAAAUUUUACAACCUUGAUUCUGCAGUGAUCAAUGACCAGAACAACACUAUGACCUGAAACACUAUUAACUCAACAGCUGCCAUAUUCUUUUUCUUCUUCUUUCAGACAGUAGCUUUUUAGAAGAGAGAAGCUAUAAAACGGGCUCUUACUUGGCAAGUAACCCAGCCAUAUAUUAAGUUAUCCAAGGUCUUCUUCUUCUUUCUACUAAUUCUUUCUUUCUUUGUUUUUUUCCUCUCGCCUUCCACGAGUAGAAAGUUCAAAACCAAAGUCUUUAGAACCACACAAAGAAUUAAGCAGCCAGACUUGACCGAGUCAGUCAACUACACUAUCCUAUACUAUAGUGGGUUAUAAUUGCAUCAUCGGUCUAUUUUUGCCAAUGGGACUCUAUCUUCUCUUGAAGCUACACUACCACUUUUAUUAGAGGUUGCAGGUUCAAUUCCUCGAAAGGGAAGUCAAUCUCAAUUGCUAAAGCACAAAAACAAAUAAUAAAAAAAUCAUUUUCUUUGUUUAUUAAUUUGAACUUGAAAUUUUUAUUAAAGGUUCUUCAACAUUAAAUUUUCUAGCUAUUUCCUAAAGUGUAUAUAUAUAUAUGAGUAAUCAAAUUAAAAAAUCUACAAAUAUUUAAUGCUAACACAAGCCUGCACAAAUCUAAACUACAUUUUUCUACUUUGAGACGGUAGCUUUUUAGCAGAGAGAAGGAACAUAAACGGGCUUUUACUUGGAAAGUAACCCAGCCAUAUGUUAAACUGUCCAAUCUAUGUUAAUUUAUUUCUAAAAUUAAAAAAAAUUUAAUUUGAUCCUCCUUCAAUGUUUUAAUAUUUUAUUCAUUUUCUUUUGAUUAUUUUUUUUAUUUGAGAUAAUUUUUUAAAUUGAUUUUUUUUCGAUUUCACUCUUCUUUAUAUUUUUCUUUUAGAUUUGAUGCUCAUUUUUUUUAUUGUUAUUUUUUUCUUUGGUAAAUUUUUAAAUUGAAUAUAUUUUUGUUGAUUUCAUUCAUCAACAUUAAAUUGAUUGAUAAUUGAAUUUCUUAAUUGAACUUAAGUCUACUAUUUCAUUUUAUGGGUUGUAAAAUUAAAAUAUUAGCUUAUAUUUAGAAAAUUUUCAUCAUUUUAUUCUUAAAAAAAAUUUCAGACUGACUCUCCGCUAAUGAAUUGUGUGUUAAUGAGAUGACUAGACUUGGCCACUUGUUGAGGGGUUGGGGGUGAUUUCCAUCCUAGUAGAAGAAUAAGCACCCUACCAAAAUAGGAAGUACUAGGAGAAUAAUGUAUAAAAACAAGAGGUGUAGUAGAGUGUCUAGAGGGAAGAGUGUGUACAACAGGGUAGGAGGGAAGAUUGCGUGGAGCAGGAGAAGAAAUACCUUUUAAUUAUGCCAUGUAACUGCAAAAUAAGUUAUUGAGUGUAGGUGCCACACUAUACCCUCUGUAACACCUAGAUAAACCACAGAGUUGAUCAGUAAACCAUGCCAGAAGAAUCUAUAGAGUAGCAAAUGUAACCAGGAGUUUGCCUUGACAAAUACCAGAAAGAUAAGGAUAAUUCCUUCGAAACCUGGAUUGCAAGAACAUUGAACUUUCUCCUUAUUAUUUGUGGGUGUAGACAUUACAUAUCCAUGUAAAAUCUUUGCAUUAUGAUUAUUUCUUUUAUAUUUACUACUUUUUGGGAUUUUUCUACUUCCCCAAUCUUCUUCUCUAAUGGUAACUUAUAGAACUUCAUUUAUACACUAUAUAGGAUUUUCUAUAGAUUUUAAUUCGAUCAUCAAGCAUGCAUGCAUGUAGCCUGGUAGCAUGCAGCAAUACGAACAGCAAGUGCUAGCUGGAGUCCUGGUUAUUGCUAAAGGAAUCAAUAUUCAUGUAGAGCAUGAUAAUAUUUUUAGUUAUUUUGCACUUAAGUUUCCGGAAAAUUCUUUAUUUUACAAACUAUGCACAUGCCUAAAUUCCCCGUUUUACAAUUUGUUAGUGUGGCAUCUACUUGAAUGUCUUGUCUGAGAGGGGAGGCCGGCGCCUCCAUGAGUUACUAGUCUUAUAGGUUAGUUACGCAGUUGUUUAUGGUAAAGUAAUUAUUCUCAUAAUUAUUCAUACGAUUAGGAUGCGUAGUAAGUUUACAACCCUACAAAGUCUAUAAAUAUCAAAGACGUCUUGUAUGAAGAAGAGAACAUACAAAACCCCACACACUCAUUCAACCAACCAGUUGGCAACAGUUCAGUUUUCUUGUAUGCCAGGCUUUGUAAGAAAUCCUUAAUUAGGUCGUUGUGAAGAUAAAUUCCUGGUUAAUUUUACAAUUUUCUUAUUUUCUUCGGCAUUAUAUUUCGUACUCCAUCGAUUCUUCUCGAAUUUUUUACCAUUACAUGGUCUAAAGAUCAACUAUGUUACUCUAUGUGACAGAGGAUCCAGACUACAUGGAUUGCCAGGGACAUGUGAGAGAAAAAACGUUGGUCCUGUUUAUGUUGCUGCAUUUGCAUCCCAUAUCAUCUAAGAAAUGACAAUUGCUUAGGAGUAAGAAUACUUGUAUUUUUCCUGAUCAGUUCCCUUUCCCUAUCCGUUCAUAAUUGCUUGACUGUUGUAGGAAUUGGAGUGGGAAUUGGAGCAUUGUUUAUGCUCAUUGGUCUGUGGUGGUUGUACAGAGUAUUCAAGAGGAGGAGGAAUGAAAAACAGAGGAAAAAAUACUUCGCAUGGAAUGGUGGUUUAUUGCUGCAAGAACAACUGUCUUCAGGUGAAGUCCAUGUUGGGAAAAUCAAAUUGCUUACAUCCAAAGAACUAGACAAUGCCACAGAUCACUACAAUGUGAAUAGAAUGCUUGGUCAGGGAGGUUGGCUGAUGGAAAGAUCAUUGCAGUUAAAGAAAUCCAAAAUUCUUGAAGGGAAUCUCAGACAAUUUAUCAAAUUAUUGAGGUGGUCAUUCUUUCACAAAUUAACCACAGAAAUGUGAUUUAGCUUUUGGGCUGAAGUUCCAUUGUUGGUCUAUGAACUCAUUCCUAAUGGGACACUUUCCCAGUUUCUCCACUACCCAAAUGAGGAGCUCCCAUUAACAUGGGAAAUGCGCUUAAGGAUUGCAACAGAGGUAGCAGGGGCACUCUCCUACCUGCAUUCAGCAGCUUCGAUCCCCAUUUAUCACAGAGACAUCAAGUCUACAAACACUGUUGUAAGCAUUGACCAGACUCAUGUCACAACUCUGGUACCUUUGGAUACUUGGAUACAGAGUACUUCCACUCAAGCCAGUUCACCGACAAGAGUGAUGUAUAUAGCUUUGGUGUAGUCCUCGUCGAGCUACUCACUGGACAAAAGGCAGUAUCCUUUAGCAGAUCGGAUGAUGAAGCCAGAAGUUUAGUCGCAUGAAAGACAACCAUCUGUUAGAUAUUCUUGAUCCUCAAGUCAUGAUGCAAGGGAAGAAAGGGCAUGUGUUGAUGGUUGCUACCUUGGCUAUGAGUUGCUUGGGGUUAAAUGGGAAAGAAAGGCCUCCGAUGAAAGAAGUUGAUUAAAAAAAAAUCACUUAGGAAUCAAAUUUCAGAGAAGGAUUUCAACAUUUCACACGAGAUUGAAAUAUGAUAAUGGUUAUGAAGUAAUUGAUGUUCAUUGGGACCUUGCUUCUACCUCAAUAGGCUUUGGUUUUGACAAUGGUGUUGCUUCUUCAAAAGAAACAACACUACUCUUGUACACAUUUAGAAUUCUUUUUUCUUUUUUGUAAUUUUAUGUUUUGUUGUAACCAAAUAGUUGCUCCUGAUCAUAUGAAUAAUAUAAAGAAUUUUUUUUAUUUUCCAUUUUUUUAGUAUCCAUUGUUCUUGAUAGUAUCCACAACACUAUCAAGAACAACGUUCGUACGUAGAUUUAUUUGGUGAUAUAUGUAUCCUUGACUGGUUCAAGAUGACGCACUCCAUGAGCAUGCUGUGUUGGUCACAGGCAUUCAUUAUCAGUCAAGAAUGGCUCCUGGAAUAAAUAGAGUUUCGAAACUUAUUCAAAUAUUAAUUUAAACCUUGAAAAGUUAUGAUACCGCAAGUCCAGUGAUGGUAAGAAGGAAAUCAUUUGACAUUUCUAUAAUUUCUAGCAUUCACGCGUUAUGAUUGAUUAAUUUCAUUGCAAGAAAUUAACCAAGAUAUUUCUUUCUUUUCUAGAUGAAUGGACAAUGAAUACGUCAAAAAAUUAAGAAUUAAUUCAUAAUUACAUAAUUAUAUAGUUUAUCAGAACUAAUAAUUAAUGAGUCCUUUAGUAUGAAAAUAAUUACAUAAUUCUUUCACAAAUGUUUUUAAUUUGGCACUUUUAUUUUCAAAAAUCUCUUUUCUUCCUAAUCAAAUUUUCUCAUCCUAGACAUUACACAUCUUUUCUUUCUUUUUAGGCCUUGUUUGUUUCCCGGAAAGUAGUUUCCGGGAAACCAUUUUCCAAACUUUUCUGUGUUUGUUUGUCAUUAGAAAAGUUGGUCAACGGAAAACAAUUUCCGGUCAGCGGAAAACACUUUCUAGUCAACAGAAAACAGUUUCCGGUCAACGGAAAACACUUUCCAGUCAAUUUUAGUCAAAAACAUUAUAGUCACCGAAUCUAACUUCUCUUCCAUUAUCAAGGUCUUCAUCAAUUCUCCCUUCGAGAAAUUAUAGUCACCGAAUCUAACUUCUUUGCAGAAAUCAUCACUCCAUCAGAUCCUUGAUCAUACAGAACCCAACUGUUCCCCUUGUGCCGUCAUCUGCUAGUCUUCACCAGUUUCAUUACAAACUGUUACAUAUACGAAAAUAGUACCGUAUGGAUAAUCCUUCAACUAAGCAAGUUCCCAAUAGAGAUUGGAGGGGUCACAACGGUCCCGCUUAAAACCCAAUCUCCUAGCCAGAACUUCCUAAGCCAUAUUUAUCCAUCGUACUGCCUUUCCGUAUAUACAACCAUUUGAUAGCUUUGUCGCGGAUUUCUUUUACAAGUGAUCUGGAAUAUUUUUGUUUUAUACAUGAUUUCUCAACAUCUAGCGAGACUACUAGUGCUUAGAUUCAUCAAGAUUGGUCUUCAUCAAUUUUCACUCUCCACCUCAAAUCAUCCACAUGAUCGGGUGUCUAGAGUAUCGCCAAUUUUGCCUUCCUUUAAGGCAAUUAAAUUUCCCCACUAAACAAUUCAGCACACAUAAUUGGGCAAAUGUGUGCAACUUCUUCUUCUUCUUCAUCUCCAUCAACCACCAUCAAGACCUUCAAAUGCCUCUUGAUCGAGCAAUCUCUCUUAAUAAUUCACCACCACCACUUUCGGUCUCAAAUCUUAACAAACGGACCAUACCAUUGCAUUCAGAAUGAUCAAAUUAGCUGGAAAUAAGUCUGAAAUCAUCCAAAUCGCAUUUCAAACGGCUAAGAUUUGAUCAAAACAAUUUUGACCUCAUGAGCGGCCCAGAUUCAAUCUCAGAUCCGGUUGCACAAAGACUCCACUACAUGGAACCCAAUCCCUCAACUCGCGGCUCGGCUCCACCCGACUCGGCUCAAUCGAGGCUGAUGACAUGGCAUGUGGGUCCCACUAUGCAGACGUGUCUGCUGACUGGUCGCUGCCAUGACAUGCCAACUAUGCAUGCUGAAGCAUUGAUUACAUCAUGAUGAUGUCAUCCUCCAUCCCACUCAGUAUGUGGGUCGGCUCAUCUGGUAUUCGGGUCUGGUCGGGUCAGCCCAUCCGAACGAAGAAGACACGUGCGACACGUGGCCAUCCAAUUCGCCGACGCGUGGGGGCGCAUGCGGCCAUGUCCGACGUUCGAUUUUGACGCAGCUUUCACCAGUGACUUCAUCUCUUCCGCCUCUAUACGAUGGUUUGGUCAAAACACAAUUUUGACAACUUUCAUUUUUGAGCAAAAAUCAAACACCACUUUAAACCAUAUGCUCUGAUACCAAUUGUUGGAGAAUCCGACCGGUGAUGUAUUGACAGUUGCCCAUUGGAGGCUAAACACACUGACACAAUAUUUAACAUGGUUUGGAAAACCGCCUACAUCCACAGGAGAGGUCCAUAUUAUUCGAGAUAGAGAAAGGAUACAAAACAAAUACAUGGAGGAGGAGGAUCACUUAACUCAAACUCGACAACCCAGCUUUCAUUGCUGCCCUUACAACUCCUCUCAUUCUCUCUUAUUCUCUUCACAUGCUCUCUACACUCUUUCAUUUUGCUCUCAAAUAAUGCCUCUAUUUAUAGGCAUCAAUGGUAAGACAAGAUGCUAUCAAUUAUGAUACAAAUGGUGGCAGCACAUGGGUUGCACCAUUUUUGUCAAUGAUUUGUGCAAUUUCCAUUGUAGCCUUUUAACAAUAUAUAGCAACCCUACUUCUUAGGAUAGAUGCACAUGUUGUUGCCUAUUAAUGGCAAUAUCCCAACAAUUAAGAAUCUCAGCAUCAAUGGUAUCAUCUUCCAAUUCAAUGAUGUUCCUCUUUUCCCUAAUGCAUUGCAGGGCAGAUUCGCUACAAAGAGACGCAAGAUCUGCCUCAAAAUACCCCUGAGUUCCCUUUGAGAUCUCUGUUUGUUCGGUUGCUAGCAAUAACCCUUUUGAGGCAGCUUUUCCUUCCGAAACUGACCUUAGCAAAUGAAUGCCAAAUUAAGAUCUUAAACGAGGUAGUUUUAGUGAAAGGAAUGCUAAAACAAGUUCAUUAUUUGUACGCAGAUAAAAACUAGUUCAUUAUUUGUCAUUAUCUGUGACUCGCAAUAAGCAAUGGAUCAUUAAAUGACCCCAACAACAGCAUCACCCUUUUCAAUACAAAGGUAUCGUGUCUCGCGUCUAUGCAUUCAUUUUAUGUAACUGGAAGAUUCCAGUUUACUGGGUUUGUUUUUGUGGCAACAGAGGUUUCUUUAUGAUCUUCAUGGUUAGAAGACCCGGCCUCAUGAGUGCAGGGUCGAUUGUAUCAGGCCUGUUGGUAGCACCAAUUACGAAGACGGUUUUCUUUUCUGAUAAACCAUCCAUAUCUCAGUUAGGAGUUGGUUCAAAACUCUAUCCGCGGCACCACCAGCAUCUCGUACACUGUUUCCUCUUUGAAUAGCAAUGGAGUCAAGUUCAUCGAAAAAUAGGACACAAGGAGCAGACUGGCGUGCCUUGUCCAAAACAUCCCUUGCAUUUGCUUCACUCUCUACAAACCACAUCGUUAGAAGCUCAGGACCCUUGAUUCUGAUGAAAUUAGCUUGACAUUCAUUGGCAAUAGAAUUAGCCAGCAAUGUUUUGUCACAGCCAGGAGGACCAUAGAAAAGAACUCCUUUAGAAGGUGACAUGCCAAACUUCUCAGGAUGCUCCACCGGAUAUUGAACAGUCUCUUGAAGCUCCAUCUUGACCUUCUCAAGACCACCAAUAUCCUCCCAUCUAAAAUUGGGAAUUUCCACAAUGGUCUCACGAAGAGCAGAAGGAUUGCUGGUUCCGAGAGCAAUGUUGAAAUGCUUAUUUGUAACAGCCAUGGAAUUAAGAAUCUCAGCAUCAAUGGUAUCUCUUCCAAAUCAAUGAUGUUCCUCUUUUCCCUAAUGCAUUUUAGGGCAGAUUCACUACAAAGAGACGCUAGAUCUGCCCCAAUAUACCCCUGAGUUCCCUUUGACUAGUUUUUCCAAGUCGACAUCUUCAGAGAGCUUCAUCUUCUUUGUAUGGACACGAAGAACCUCAAGGCGACCAGCUUCAUCUGGAACACCAAUAUCUAUUUCUCUGUCAAACCUUCCAAACCUCCUCAAUGCAGGGUCUAGACCGUUAGGCCUGUUUGUAGCUCCUAUCACAAUAACAUGGGCACGGGCCUUUAGCCCCAUCCAUGAGAGUCAGUAGUUGUGAAACGAUUCUUCUUUCUAUUCGCCACCAGUUUUCUCACGUUUGGGAGCAAUUGAAUCAAUCUCAUCAAUAAAUAUAAUUGCCGGGGCAUUCUUUUCAGCUUCUUCAAAAGCUUUUCUGAGAUUUUGCUCACUCUCUCCUGCCAUCCUGGACAUGAUUUCUGGUCCGUUGAUACAAAAGAAGAAAGCCCCAGUUUCAUUAGCAAUAGCCCUCGCUAUCAAUAUUGUUUUACCAGUUCCAGGAGGACCAUAAAGCAGAAUUACUUUCGGUGGCUUCACACCAAUAAUGGUCUUGAAAAGUUGAGGAAACCUUAAUGGCAGUUCAACCAUUUCCCUGAUCAGUGCCAAUUGUUUCCUAGCACCACCAUUAUCAUCGUAGCGAAAUCGAUCAAGACUUUCCUCAUCUUCCCUCUUUACAGCUUCCCCUUCACAGAAGAUCUCUGUAUCAGGCGCAACCACACAGUACUAAGCAGGAUCCGCCCAGUGACCUUGAACUCCACACUCUUCAUUCCUGCUCUGAUGAGGUAAUCAAACAGACUACCAUUAAGGCCUUCAACUGUGUCAUCCAAAGGCAGAAUAUGAACCCUCUUGCCAUACCGUAAAUUCGGACAUACCUGCACCGAAACCAUAUCACCAAGCCUGACCCUUAAGUUUGACCUCACAAUCUUAUUCAUCAAAAUCUUGGACUGAUCGCAGCUAUCAUCAGCUAAGGCAGUACAAACUGUACCCCUCCUCUUCUUUCCCUUGAUCAACAAGUUAUCUCUGCGGAAAAUAUCAAGUUGCUCCAUUAAUGUAGCUGGAUUGAGUGUGAUGACAGAGUUGUCAUCGUUAAUGGCUUCAUCAACGAGAAGCCUGCUGGGUGCCUUCUUGCGAUCCAUGAUUGCAUAACUAAAACCUCUCUUUCUUUUGUUUGUGCCCGCCUGAUCUCUCUUAACCCAAAGAGCGAGCAAAUCUUUUUGAAUGAACAAUAAUGUCGAUACCACUGUGUUUAUAAACAAGUCUCUAGUCCCUUUUACGUACGCGUUGUUUAUGGAAUCAGACAAGUGCUCGGAUUUUAUAGAAAUUAUAUCUGAUUUAGGUUUCCGCUUCUAUUCGGUUUCAAGCCCUAUAUGUUUCUUGUUAGAAUUAGGAUUUCAAACAAAUUUUUUUUUUUUUUUUGUUAAUUUCAAACAAAAAUUUUAAAACCUGACUGGGGCUAACAUAUAGAUAUUUUCAGGGCUUAGCCGAUUUGUUUAUCCUAUUUUUUUAUAACCUGGUCUGGGUCAAGUUUUCAGCCAGUUAUAUCCCGGCCGGUCGAUCUAUCAUGCCAAUCUAGAUUUUAAAACAAUUAUCCUUUUUUUUUUUCUUUUGCUUAUUAAGAUUUUUUUUUUAAGAAAAAAUAAGUAGGCCAUAAUAUAAUUAGUGUCUGAGGAGUUUCAAUUAAUAUAAUCCAUGGGGCUGUAGGACAUUAACAGUUCAAUAAUUUCACCAUUGAAAGGAAAAAAUAGAAACGUAAUACCUCAAUUAAUAGUUGGGAAAUUGACAAGGAGGGAAAUAUAUUCAUAUUUUUUACAUGGAUUUAUGAGGUCGAGGACCUCGUAUAUUUUACAUAGUAUACAGGUUCGUCCCUCAUCAAAAUUAAUAAUUUCUUAAUCCAAUAUCUAUUUUAAAAUAAUAAAUAUUUUUAUUCUUUUUUUACUCAAGUACUGAACUUACCAGUAAUUUGAUUUUGAAAGAAAUCAUAGACAGGUGUUUAAGCAUUCAAAAUACUUUUAUAUUUCAAAACUUGACAAUAUAAAAGGUUACAGAAUUUAAUUUGAGGAAACGAAAGUCAGCGUAGGAAAUAUAUUUUUUUUAUAUAAAAAAAAUGAACAUUUGAAGCUGAAACCAUAAUCAAUUUCGUCAUUAAAAUUUUUAAAUAAAAAAACUACAAAACAAGUUUUCUUGAAUUUUUUCAACUCUUCAUUUUCUGGUCACAUAUUUUACUUCUUAUUUUAAUUUCUAUUUUAAUUUAAUUUAGUAGAAAAAAAGAAAGCAAAGAAAGAUAACAAAGAGAAGGAAAACGAACGAAAAAAAAAAGAUUAAAAAGAAAAGAAAAGGAGAAAGAUAAUGAAAAUAAAAGAAGAAAAUAAAAGCAAGAGAUGGAAGCCCAGAUUCACAUCACCUAACUAGAGUCUGAAUUCAUCUUUUAUAUUGUCAAGUUUUGAAAUAGCAUAGCAUUUCAAGCAUAACAAAAAAAAAAAAAAAAAAAGCAAAAUAGAGGGAUACACGCGCGUGCGCACACCGUAGUAUUAGAAUAAUAUAUACAUGUAUAUAUAAUUUCUUCAUUUAAUAAAUAGAUAUACCUCAAAUAUAUACAAAUCUUUUAUUUUAUAUUGAAUAAUAAAUAUUUAAAAUACUAUAAAUAAAAUAUAAAUAUAUAAGUUUUUUAUUUGAUAAAUAAUAAACAUAAUAUAGAUAUAAUAGAAACUCAACCCCUAAAUACUAAUAGCUAUAUAUAGCUCGAUAGCAGACUCCAAUUAUGUGGAAUUAGAAAGUCCUGCCAUUACAUAUAUAUGGCAGUCCAUUAUAUUUUGAUGAAAAAAAAACUAUUAGGGUGUGCUAUCAUCAAUGAGCAAUUGUCAUCUUACGGAGUUGAAAUUCUAUAUAUUUAAAAAAUAAGAUUCCGUACCCCUUCGGAAUGGAAGCAGGCUGCUACCUGGAUAAGAGGUUCAGAAUACAUUGCAACUCCAACAUGACUCCGAGGCUUUCUAUAAAUGGAAUCAAUCUAGAGGAGUUGAACAUCCCUGUUGACGAAGGCACAAUUCACGUCAAAUUUCCGAUUUUCUAUUCAAGUAAUUGUCGAGGCAAAGAAAGCAAUCCAGUUAUUGUGAAUUUGGAAGGAAGCCCUUUUGUCUACUCAGAAAAAUGGAACAGAUUUGUUGUGGUGGGUUGUAACAACAUUGUCUUGAUGACCCAAAAUGACUCAAUCUAUGGUGGGUGCAUGUCUAUUUGCGAUGAGAGCAGCAACUCUGCUAGAAAUCAUGCGAGUUGCAAUGGCAUCAACUGCUGCCAGAUGAGAAUCCCGUCGCAUCUAAUGUCUUUCAAUGCAGUAUUCAAGGAUCUUGACGGUGGUCAAGGUAGAGGCAGGGAUCCAUGCAAGCAUGCCUAUUUAAUUAGUAGAGCAAAGAUGGUUCCAUGAUAGGCUCAAUAGUAGUCUUGAGACCCCUUACUCGGUGACAGAUAUGGACUCUGUGCCUGUGGUGCUGGACUGGAUGAUAGAUUUAUUGGAUAUUGAAAGGAAUGGAUUAUUAGCAGAUAAUAAAACAUGUCAUUUUCAUGUUAACAAUUACGAUAACAUUUAAAGCAAACAGAAAUCCUUAUCUUCCUGCUGCUUGUCCAGGUAAACUUUCUCUCUGUCACGAAAAUGGAAGCCUUGUAAAUAGAAUUCAGGGGCUUCCAUUUUUGUUCCAUUUUCUUCUUACUGAAAACAAAUUAUUACUGGAUUACUUAGGGCUAAUAUCUGUUUCUUCGUCUAUAUAUAUGGAUAUAUUCAGAUAUCAAUGAAUUUGAGGACCCUCGUUUCAACGAUUGUUGGAAGAACAUGGUCUGCGUAAAUUUUGAUGCUGGAUAUGGCUGCUUCCCACCCGAAGUCAAGAAGUCUCCGGUUAAAAUUGUGGUUGUAGGUAUGCCCCUCUGCCCAACAUAUAACAUAUUUUUAUCUUACUGAGCAUCAAGAAUUCUCUACAGAGCAUCGCAAGGAAUUGUUUGCAAUAUGGGAAUAUAUUUAUUUCUUGAUUCAUGCAGGUAUUUGUGCUGCCCUUGGGGUGUAGUUUCUACUUUACAAAGUUGCAAAGAAGAGUAAGGGGAUUGACAAACUCAAGAAGAAAUUCUUCAAACAGGAUUAUGAUUUAUUGUUACAAGAAGGGUUGCCCUUAGCAGAAGUCGAUGUUGAAGAAAUGAUGUCUCACGUAGAAGAGGCUGAUCCCACUAUUUAAAUCCAUCCUAAAAGUUUUGGAAUGAUACAUAUUGAUUACAGAUUGUUGGAAAAUUCAUGGAAAGAUAAUGUAGGUUCUGAAACUCAUUGCUGAUGUUGAGUGUAAAAAAAAUCUGUCAAGCCCAUCUCACCUUGGGCUGGUCUGGGCUGCGAUCACCUUUCCUGGUCCAGGCCCAGGCGAGGUGAAACUCCCCAUGCAUGAGCGAGACUCGCCCCGGCCUGCCCUGUAUAUAUUCUUUCUUCCUAUUUUUUUACACAUUUAUUUUAUAAAAUUAUAUAAACCAUUCACCAGUAAUUUUUUCUACCGCUUACGCACUACAAUAAUAAUAUCUCUCCAUUUAUUAAUACCCUGAUAAAGCAUCACUCUACAAAGUAAACUACACCAUUCACCGUGUGUUAUUCACGGUCCAUUUUCUUAGAAAGAACUUCAAUCCCAUCAAGGUAAGGGGGAUUUUAGGGUUAUUUGGAACUGAGUUAUGUUUCUCUAAAUUUAAAAAAAAAAUUGUUUAAAAUUAAUAACUUUUAUGUUUUUUUAUCGCUUUAGUUAAAAAUAAUUUUUUAAAUAAAUAAAAAAAUAUUUUAAAAAAUAAUUGUUAUCACACUUAUAAAUACUUUUUAAUGAUUAUUAGUCAACUCACUCUCCACUAAACAUAGAACUCAUUUAAGAAAAGAAAACACAUCGAUUUUUUUGAAAGAAAAAAAAUUAUUAUUUUUAUCUUCUUAAAUUAUUUUAUUUACUUGUCAUUGGAAAGACUUCAAAAACUAAUUAAAUAUAAAAAAAUUUCUCAAUGAAAGAUUUAUUUUACAGAAUCAACACAACACGGACUCAAAACUUACUAAUCAAGAAAAGUCCAUUUCCAUGUAAAGAUUUUGGUUCAAUAUUUGUUUUAUUUUUUUCCUUUUUGAUUUUUCUUUUUGACACUGAAUAUGAAUUUGAUAUUUACACAUUUAAUGUUAUUUUGUAAUUGAUUGAAACUUUGAAAUGAUUUUUAUUUUAAAAUAAAAUGAUGAAAAGACUCUAUUAAAAUUUUAAUAAAUAUAGAAGAUCUAAAUUAUGAAAAACAAUUAUGUUAAAAAACCAAAAAUCAUAAAAUAAUUUUCUAUAUUAAGAAAAAAAAAGAAAUAUAUCAUGUUGUAGCAUUUAAUUUAUGUUAUGAAAUAGAAAAGAUAAAUACAAAUGGGAUAAGAAUAUACUUUAUAGCAAGGACGGAGAUAAAAACCAUAAAUUAUAUGAUUUUUAUCCCUCCAAAAAGGAGGAAUUGAUGGAAUAUGGGCCGAGGACAACAUUUAUUAUUAUAAAAAAAAAACUGUGCAUUUUUUUUUUGAUAAUUUGAAUAUAUGAGAUAUCUUCUAAAUAACUUUCACAUCACUUAAAAUUAAAUCUUUCCUAUGAUAAAAAAAAAUUCAAGUAAUUUGGGAUGAAGUUUUAUACAUGUUUUGGAUAAUUAGUUAAUCUUUUAAUAUUAAUAAUCUAAUUUAUUUAUUUUAAUUAAGGUGAUUAGAGAAGGAUGUCGAAUACCUGCAAAAAGUUUUAUUUGGUUAAUUUAAGGACUCUCUAAUAAUUAAGUCAAUGAGUUUUUGAGAGAAAAUACAAUAAUAUUACAAGGAGAUGUUCUGAAAAUAAUUAUGCAGUAGAGAAUAAAGAUUUCAAAUCUUUUUUGGUUAAAAGAUUCAUGGUCUAUUUAUAGCACAUAAGUCUCUUUUAUAAAAAAGAAAGGCUAAAAUAUAAUAUUACCCUAAUGAUUUUAAGGAAAAAAAAAUAUUAUUGACAUAUAUAUUAAUAUUAAUGGAAAAUAUAUCUAAUAUAAGUAUUAAUGAGAAAAAAUAUAUCUGAUAUAUAUAUUAAUAUUGAUGGAAUUAUAGUGGGUACUAAGAGAGCUUUUACAUAGUAUCCCUUACUCAAUAAUAAUAUAAAUGAAAAUAUAGUGGAAUCUAGAAGAAUUUGAUAUAACUAAGGGUGUAAAAAGAAUAUGAAGCAAAAUGUAGUUGUGUCCAUGGAAUUAGAUUAUUCCUUUAAUUGAAUCCAUAAAAAAUGUUUUUUGAGGGUGUUUUUAGACCCAUUAAAUCUAGAUUUACCACUUUUAUUUUAAAAAAAUUAAAAGACAUACCUCGCACACCAGUUUAUUACAAUUAAAAAAAGUUUAAUAUGAUCAUGGUUUUUCUAUUAUCUUCACUCUUCGGGACCCGAUAUUUUAGUCCACUUCAUUAAAGAAUUGCCAUUGCUCGAGCUUUAACAAGGAAGGCUGGGCUUAGGCUACUCGAUGAAGCAACAAGUGCACUAGAUGCUGAGUCUGAGAGGUCUGUCCAGGAAGCCCUGGAUCGUGCCUGCUCAGGAAAGACCACAAUUGUUGUUGCACACCGGCUAUCAACUAUAAGAAAUGCUCAUGUCAUUGCUGUGAUUGAUGAUGGUAAAGUAGCAGAGCAAGGAUUCCACUCGCAUCUAUUGAAAAAUUAUCCUGAUGGGAGCUAUGCCCGCAUGAUACACUUACAAAUUAAGGUUCACACAUAGCGAAGUCAUUGGAAUGACCUCAUGUUCAAGUUCACAGAGCAAGGAUCCUGUUAAACAAUUGACAUUUUUUAACUCUAGUGUUUCAUGUUGUUUGAUCAAGUAUUGUCUGUUUUCUUUUCUUUCAUUUCUGUUUUGAUCUUGUCAAAAUAAAUCCCUUGUUUUUCUGAAGUUGUUGUUGAGAUUAGUGGCAGCACAUUGUCCACUACAAUUGUUAAGUUUUCUCAUGUAUUUAAAGACAUGCAGUUAAUGAAAUACUCACUGAGACAUUUCAUCAAACACCUUGUGUGUAAUUCGUGUUCUUCAAAAUCCAGCAUUUGUUGUUCUUGAUUGUGCAUCCCUUCACCUGCACAAAACACAACAACACAAUUCUUAACAGUGGUAUCAGAGCAUCUCAGAUCUUACAGGACCAAAACACCUUUUUUUCAAAAUCUCAAAAAUGACAUCCAACAACUUACUUUUAAACUCCCACAUUAUAUUCACUGGCGAAAACUACCAUAUUUGGUCAGUGAAGAUGCAAGCUUUUCUUGAAGCUUAUGAUCUUUGGGAAAUUGUUUCCGAAGACAAACCAGUAGCUCCCUUACCAACAAAUCCCACUAUGGCUCAAAUCAAGUUCAGCAGUGAGGAAAAGGCAAAGAAAUCCAAGGCAAAAUCAAUCAUCCAGAAUUCUGUGGCAGAAAGCAUUUUCUACAGAAUUAUGGCAUGCAAUUCAACUAAAGAGGCUUGGAACAAACUAAAAGAAGAAUACCAAGGCAGUGACAGAACAAGGCAAAUGCAAGUGCUGAAUUUGAAGAGAGAUUUUGAGGCACUUAACAUGCAAGAAGAUGAAACAAUCUCCAAGUAUUCUGAUCGAAUUUCACUAAUUAUCAACAACAUCAGAUUACUUGGAGAAGACUUUCCUGACAGUAGGAUUGUGGAGAAGGUUCUUGUGACUCUUCCUGAGAGGUUUGGAUCCAAAAUCUCCUCUCUAGAAGAAUCAAAGGACCUCAGUAAAAUCUCAUUAGGUGAACUAAUGAGUGCUCUUCAAGCACAGGAGCAACGAAGAACAAUCAGGCAAGACAGAUUGACCGAAGGAGCCUUUUAUGUGCAAAAACACCAAGCUGGAAAAGGAAAGAAGUUGCCUAAUCUGAGAUUCAAAGGCAGAAAUGAAGGGGGCAGCACUAGUGAAGCUUCAAAACAAAAGAAGUUUCCUCCUUGCACUCACUGCAAAAGAAACACACAUUCAGAAAAAUAUUGCUGGUGAAGGCCAGAUGCAAUUUGUGGAAAUUGCAAGCAAUCAGGGCACAUCACAAAGGUCUGCAAGUUUAAAAACUCAGAUCCAAAACCUCAACAAGCUCACCUAGCAGAUGAAGUUGAUACACAGGAGGAGCAAUUCUUUGUUGAGUCAUUUAUACCUGAAAUCAGUCAAAAUUUGUUGAGUGUUGGACAAAUGAUGGAGAAAAACUAUUCUCUUCAGUUUAAGGAUCAUAAAUGCAUUAUCUUUGAUCCUUCUGGAGAACAAGUGUUCUGUGUAAAGAUGAAAAACAGAAGCUUUGUUGUUGAUUGGGAUAAAGUAUCCAAUCAUGCAUAUGUGAGUGCUACUCAGGAUGUUUCAAAUCUUUGGCAUAAAAGAUUUGGACAUUUCAAUCAAAAGGGCUUGUCAAUUCUGAAACAAAAGGAAAUGGUUGAAGCAUUGCCCACAUUGAAUGGUGAGAUUCAAUUGUGUGAAACAUGUCAACUUGGCAAGCAAUCAAGGCCACCAUUUCCUAAAAGGCAAGCAUGGAGAGCUAGCCAAAACCUUCAGCUCAUCCACACUGACGUGUGUGGACCUAUGAAGACAGCCUCAUUAUGUGGUAACAAGUAUUUCAUUCUCUUUAUUGAUGAUUAUACUAGGAUGUGUUGAGUGUAUUUCAUCAAAUUUAAGAGUGAAGUAUUUACAAUCUUUCAAACAUUCAAAGCUUUAGUUGAGAAUCAAAGUGACAUGCUAAUUAAAUGCUUAAGAUCUGACAAUGGUACUGAAUAUACCUCAAAUCAGUUUCUUGAGUAUUGCAACAGCAGAGGCAUUGUGCACCAGUACACUACACCAUACACACCACAACAAAAUGGUGUAUGUGAGAGGAAGAACAGGACAGUAAUGGAGAUGGCUAGAUGUCUCUUACUUGAAAAGAAAAUGCCAAACAAAUUAUGGGCAGAAGCAGUCAAUACCUCUGUUUACUUGCUGAACCGACUUCCAACUAAAGCACUGGAGGACAAGACACCAUACGAAGGCUGGAAUGGUGUUAAACCUGUUGUAGAUCAUCUUCGAAUCUUUGGCAGCAUAUGUUAUUAUCAUAUAGCUGAGCCAAAGAGGAGCAAACUUGACAACAAAGCUCAGAAGAGAGUUCUUGUGGGUUAUGAAAUAACAACCAAAGGAUACAGAAUUCUUUGCUUACAAACAGAGAAGGUAAUUCUCAGCAGAGAUGUGAAGGUUGAUGAAGCAAUCACAUGGGAUUGGGAACAUCAGAAAAAUAUUAUUUCUGAUCAACCAUUCACCAUUCAGCCUCAGCUGGUAGCUGAUGAAUCAGUGGAUGAUUUUCCAGUUAGAGGCACAAGAUCAUUGGAAGAUAUUCACCUAAGAUGCAACAUGGCAAUUCUAGAACCAACCAGCUAUACUGAAGCUCAAGAAUUUCCAGCAUGGAGGAGAGCAAUGGAGGUAGAAAUGGAAAUGAUCAACAAAAAUGCAACAUGGCAGCUGAUUGAAAGGCCUAAGCAUCGCAAGGUGAUAGGUGUAAGAUGGGUUUUCAAAACAAAACUCAAUUCAGAUGGGUCAAUAUGCAAACACAAGGCUAGAUUGGUGGUAAAGGGCUAUGCUCAGCAAUAUGGUGUGGAUUACCUAGAGACCUUUGCUCCAGUAGCAAGGUAUGAUACUAUUAGACUUCUUAUUACACUUGCAGCACAUAACUCUUGGCAGAUUCACCAACUUGAUAUCAAGUCUGCCUUCUUGAAUGGAUUUCUUGCUGAAGAAAUCUUUGUAGAGCAACCCGAUAGGUAUGCUGUUAAAGAUAAAGAAGAGCAUGUGUAUCUACUUAAGAAGGCCUUGUAUGGGUUGAAACAAGCUCCCCGAGCUUGGUAUGACAGAAUGGACACACAUCUGCUUCAACUUGGGUUCAGCAGAAGCCAAAAUGAAGCAACUUUGUAUGUGAAAUCCUGUGGUAACCAUUUUCUAAUUGUAUCUAUUUACGUAGAUGAUAUGCUCAUCACAGGAAGUGAACUUGGAAUGAUCCAAGAGUUCAAAGAUGAAAUGAAGAAGAUGUUUGAGAUGUCUGACCUUGGAAUGAUGAAUUACUUCCUUGGAAUGGAAGUGAUGCAAUCCAGCAAUGGCAUUUUUACAUGCCAAAAGAAGUAUGCUUCAGACAUCCUAAAAAGAUUCAAAAUGGAGGAUUGUAAACCAGUGGGGACUCCUAUGACAACAAGUAUCAAGCUUAGCAAGGAUGAUGAAUCUGAAAAAGUGGAUGAAAGUUUGUAUAGAGGCUUAAUUGGGAGCCUUCAAUAUCUCACAGCAAGUAGACCUGACAUAUUGUUUGCUGUGAGUAUUCUUUCAAGGUUCAUGCAUUCUCCAAGGGAGACUCAUUUUAUUGCAGCAAAAAGGAUACUUAGAUACAUCAAAGGUACCAUUGAUCUUGGUAUUUUCUGUCCAAGAUCAUCAGAAGGGGCUGUGGAACUAAAAGGCUAUACUGACAGUGACUGGGGAGGCUGUGUUGAUGAUUCAAGAAGCACUUCAGGGUAUUUAUUCUCACUCAAUUCAGGUGUCUUCACCUGGAGUUCAAAGAAGCAAGAGACAACAGCUCAAUCCACUGCAGAAGCAGAGUACAUUGCUGCUGCCGCUGCUGUCAACCAAGCAAUUUGGUUGAGGAAAAUGUUAAAGGAUUUGGGACAUGAACAGGUUGAAGCUACUAAAAUCAUGUGUGAUAACAGUUCUGCAGUAUCAAUUUCAAAGAAUCCAGUCUUUCAUGGACGUACAAAGCAUAUCAAAAUCAAGUUUCAUUUUAUUAGAGAAGUUCAACAAUCUAAUGAAGUGAUGCUGAUUCAUUGUUCUUCCGAAGAACAACUUGCAGAUAUAUUUACCAAACCACUACCUAAAGAGAGAUUUGAGACAUUAAGACAAAUGAUUGGAAUUUGUCGUCAAAAUGUCAAGGAGGAGUGUUAGACAAUUGACAUUUUUUAACUCUAGUGUUUCAUGUUGUUUAAUCAAGUAUUGUCUGUUUUCUUUUCUUUCAUUUCUGUUUUGAUCUUGUCAAAAUAAAUCCCUUGUUUUUCUGAAGUUGUUGUUGAGAUUAGUGGCAGCACAUUGUCCACUACAGUUAGUGGCUGAUAACUAGGGAGGUUUGUUAAAUUUUCUCAUGUAUUUAAAGACAUGCAGUUAAUGAAAUACUCACUGAGACAUUUCAUCAAACACCUUGUGUGUAAUUCGUGUUCUUCAAAAUCCAGCAUUGUUGUUCUUGAUUGUACAUCCCUUCACCUGCACAAAACACAACAACACAAUUCUUAACAGAUCCCUUGUGCAUGUGGUUUGUCGCACCUGCUUUCACAAAAAGAUGCCCAAUGUCGGAAGAUAAUUGAGAGAAAGGUGUCCAGGCAUUCCCUGCAUUUUUCAUGUACGAUUAGGAAAUGUGCUCCUAUCACAAAAAGUGUCUGCUUUCAAAUGUCAAUCAAAUCAUGCAAGGAAUCCUGAUCAUGUUUGCAACAAUGAUCGAGGGCUUGUGCAAUUAGGCUACAAGGGCUAUCAUGCAUGCCAGGAUUCCACUACUCUCCGACUUUUACUGAUGGAAAAAGAAUGGACCCAAUGACAAUGGAUGUAGACCCGAACAUAUUCCUGGCGAUUCGAAAUCAUCCAAUCUUGAGCUUAAUAGGAUGCGUAUCUAUUUAUGAUUUGGUUUGUGGGGAAGGAAAUUAUUGAGUGUCAAAGUUCACAUGCAUGGUGGUUGGUAGCUAGCACGUGUGUCAUUUGAGUGUCCAAGGACAAGAUAGCUCCGUGCGAAACAAGGACAAGUACUACCCCGAAGAGGGGACCUCGUUGAAAUCAAUAGACCACGCUCCUUCGACCAUUAGUAGAAGCUGGUGGUGAUGGUGGUGGUGGAUAAGCGGGAGACAAAAGUUUAGGAUAUGGCAUUUCGAAAAUGACAGCGGGAGACAAGGACGUUAGCGUGCACAGAUGGGCUUUAAUGGCGCUCUUGUUUUCAAGAGUUCAGAGCAUUAUGUUUUUGGAGGGACACUGGAUGAUGACUCUCUGUUAAUAAGUAACGACUUCAACAGCUGUUUCUAAUUACGGGCAGCUAGAACACACAAUUACAGAACAAAUGGAGGAAAGUGCUACAAGUCUAAAACCAAUACCACAAGGAUAUUUAAGUUUGACAUACAAACACAAAAUUAAGACAUCUAGUAAAUAAUUUCAAUAUGUAUGAAAGAGUGGUUUUUCAUCUAGUGAUGAAGGAGCACCAAUAUCGAAGCUGGAAAUUGUUGAGGCAUAAGUAACAUCCCAAGGUGCUCCCAUCACUUCAUUUCUGUCAUAUUCAUUCUCUUGUUGGACGAUCAAGUUUUCGGAUUUUUUAAUCCUCUCCAACACCAUUGUGACUUCCUUCAUCGUAGGCCUUUCUUUCCCAUUUAACCUCAAGCAGCUCCUAGCCAAGCUAGCAACCAUCAAUACUUCCUCUCUUUCCCCUUGCUUCGCAACCUGAGGAUCAAGAAUAUCAAACAGGCAGUUGCUCUCCAUGGCCAUUAUGAAAUAUGUGGCUAAACUUCUGCCUUGUUCUUCUGAUCUUUUGAACGAGAUUGCCUUCUGCCCAGUAAGUAGCUCAACAAGAACUACACCAAAGCUAUAGACAUCACUCUUGUCUGUGAAUUGGCUUGAUUGGAAGUACUCUGGAUCCAAGUACCCAAAGGUGCCUUGUACUUGAGUUGUGACAUGAGUUUGGUCGAUGCUUACGGACCUUGAAGUCCCAAAAUCUGCAACUUUGGCUCUAUACUUCUCAUCAAGCAGGAUGUUUGUAGACUUGAUGUCUCUAUGAAAAAUGGGGAGGGAGGCUGCUGAAUGUAGAUAGAAAAGUGCCCCUGCUACCUCUGCUGCAAUCCUUAAGCGCAUUUCCCAAGUUAAAGGGAAUUCCUCGUUAGGGUCAUGGAUAAACUGGAAAAGGGUCCCAUUAGGAAUGAAUUCGUAGACUAACAAUGGAAGUUCAGUCUCUAAACAACAACCCAGAAGCUUAACCACAUUUCUAUGGUUAAUUUGGGAUAGAAGGACGACCUCGUUGAUAAAUUGUCUGAGAUUCCCUUCAUCAAUUACUUUGGAUUUCUUGACUGCAACGAUUUUUCCAUCCGCCAACAUCCCUUUGUAAACUGUUCCUUGGCCUCCCUGGCCCAGCUUUCUAUUCACAUUGUAAUGAUCAGUGGCCUUGUCUAAUUCUUUCGAAGGAAACAUUUUGAUUUUCUCAACAUUGACUUCACCUGAAGAUAGUUGUUCUUGCAGUAAGAGACCACCAUUCCUCUUAAAGUACUUUUUCUUUAGUUUUUCACUCCUCUUUCUCUUGAAUACUUUGUACAACCACCAUAAAACAAUAAGCAGUGCUCCAAAUCCCACUCCAACACCUACACAAGUCAACCAAUUGCAUUCAACUCCUUUUUAGAGCUGAACUCAGAAAAACAAAUUCUGUCUGUUUGCUUGAGUAAUGGUGCAGUAUUUGCGAUUAUUUGAUGCUGCUGGGAUAGGAUUGGUGAUUUUGGGGUUGUACAGCUGCAGCAAGGGUCUAGAUUUUAUCUCUAACUUCCAUUUUGCAGAUUGUCUUUACUACUUAACCAGGCAACAGAGUCUGUAUCCUAUAACAAAGUUGAUGGAUCAGUAAACCAUACAAUGGUAAACCGUGGCAGAAGAAUCUACAGAGCAGGAAUUGUAACCAGGGGUUAAUUUACCAUGACAAAUACCAGAAAGAUAAGGAUUUCCUUCGAAGCCUGGAUUGCAAGAACAUUGAACGGUGGAGCUCUGGUUGGUUGAAUAAAUGGAAGGAUUCACAAUCUUACACAUAGAAGUAUAACUUGAAUUAUAGAAUGAUCCAUUCUUAACAAAUGAUUCAAAUACCCUUUCGUCUAUCCCCUAAUCCAGCACUACGGGAACAUAUAUAGUCCCUAUCUCUUGUCAUAAUAAUAGUCAAAGUUCCCUCUGGCAUAAGAAUACUACCCGUAGUUGAUCUGUGUUUGGGCAGUUAAAGAGGCAUAUGAGUAUCAAACUCAGGUCUCUAAUGGAGGGAACCAAGUAUUAGGAUGAACUGGAAAUAGAGACUGUGAUAUAGUAUUAAUAAUACUGCCCAUCACAGCCUCAUCUAAAUAGCAAGAACUAAAAAUUGGCACAUGUAUAUAUCCUAUCCAAAUUAAAAAUGAGAAACCAAAAAAACGAACAGUUACCUUUAAUGGCACAUGAAAGAUCUAUACACAAUAGUAUGUACAUGAACAUCGGGAUUCCAAAUGAAGAGGAUGAUAUACGAACUUACCGACAGCGACCUGAAUCACUGAUGAUAUAGUACGGAUGCAGCGUUCUCCAUCUAUUCUCCCAUCUCCAUAGUACCCCUUGGGGCAAGAACAUGUAUAAUUCCCUUCGGUGUCGAUGCAUAUGUGGCUGCAAUUGUGGGCUACUUUUGGAUCUGAACAUUCAUUAAUGUCUGUAGAAGCAUCAUAAAGAGAAGCCUUUAAGUAAAACUAUAGUAAAUUCUCAUAAUUUCAUGUAAUCCAAUUUCGAAAAAUCAGAUUAGAGAUCUCCUCGAAAUCAAUUACAAAUAAUUUAACUCUCUUCAUGCAAGUAAAAAAUUAUAAAAAAGGGGAUAAAAUGAAGAAAAAGAAAUGCAUACUUCGGCAACCAUUUGGGAGGUAUGGAUUUCCUUGAUAGCCAUCUAAGCAUUUGCAAAUGUUCCCAAACCCAUUUUCAGGGUCAUGACAUUUGCUCUGUCCUUGACAUGCAUUAGACAUCUUCUUCUUUUCCAAAGUUUCGCAUUUAUUGCGUCCAAAAUUCCAAUCCACUAUAACAGGAAGCUUACUUACUUUCUCCAAAUCCGACAGGUUACUUGGAAAAAAGCUGAACUGCUUUUCUUCAAUCAUGAAGGCAAAGCUGCAACGAUUGAAUUCCCAGAUUCCCGUAUGAUUUCUGUAACUAGACACGCUCACUUCGAAGUACCUCAUUCCUUUGGCAAUGGAGGUUUGGCAGCAACCAAUUCCGGAGCAUGUGUUUGGCACAUAUGUUUUGUCGCUACAUUUGGAAAUGCAUCCUACCAGGUAUGUAUCAUUCUUGUCUUCUCGGAUACCUAGCAUUUCAGCUACAGUAUCACAGCCGAUAGCGACGAACCUAUUGUCAGUGUCAGAAAAAACGUAUGGACCUUGAACGGGUAGGUUUAUCCAGGGACUGUUUCUCGUUGUUCGUGCACCUUCCCGAUUAUAGCAGUCCUUAGCUAUAUGAUGCAUGAUGCGUAGCUUCCCAUCAAGGGUUAUUUCUGUGACCUCUAAGCUACCAUUUCCUAAAAACGCUUUUGGAGGAUUGAAAGUAUGGUUGCAAGUUAUGAGGAACUUAGAGUCAAAGUAGCAAUCUUUUCUGGUGCCAAAUGGAUAUGGGAUAGUAACAUUCCCACAGCUAUCAUGGCAUCCAGGUUUCGCUAUAGGAAACCCUGUUGCUGCUGUAACUGCUGCUAACAACACUCCAGUUAUUGUGAACUGUAAGGCCAUUCCUCGAAUUCCCAUGACAGCUACUUUUCUGUUUAAUUAAAAUGGAGUCGGGUGGUACAAAACUCUCUAUGGCAGCUAGCCUUUUUUAUAGAGCAAAUUACCACGAUGUUGGUCGAUGGAAGACCAAAUUAUAGGGCUUGAAUGCCAGUUGGGAUAUAUGUGACUGAAUAUCUAAAAGAGCGUGCAUGUGGUAGAGGACUUGCAAGCAAGAACUUACUUGAAUCGAAGCGUUUUUAUUCGAAUUAAGUCAAGGCCCCUAAAUAUGGAAGUGUCAGUACAUUUUUUCCUUGAGAAAUCUCAUUAUAAAAUCCCCAAACUUUGAGGUCAAUUUCAAUUAGGUCCUCGAUUUUCCUUAUCUCAAUUAGAACCUCGACGUAGGAAUGAAUUCUCAGCCAGAUCCAUCAUUUAAUUUACUUGCACUUGCUACGUGACAGAGGUUUGUGUAUUGUAGCCGUCAGCCGUGAAUCAAACGGCGAGGCAAUUGAUUUCAAGAGAUUGCAUGGUAAAUAGAGUGGAUGUGCGAGCUUCACUUGAUAGGUAACCUUUUAAAGUCAAAAUUAUUUGUUAGAGGGGGCCAAAAUUAAUAUAAUAAAAUAUAAUAUUUGUUUUUCUGAAUAUUAAGAUAUUAAAGGUUGGUAUGGCCCUAGAUUAAUGUAUGCCCUUAGAAUUUUAUCUUGUUGAUUAACCGGCUAUUCUCAAAUUUGAGGACGAUUAUUUAGAUAUUUAAUUAAAUGAACAAUGUAGAUUCUAAUAAGAGGUUGCUCACUAAUCAACACAGGUUCUUCGUAAACUGAAGCAUACUGGGACUUAACCAUAACUUCAACAUUACACAUUAGAAUUGAUUUAUCAGGUUGUGAGUCAUCAAUAUUUUUUUUUCAGAAAAAAAAUCAAUUCUUCUUAUUUUGUUCAUGGUUCAACCUAAAAUCAAAAUAUAUUUCGUAAGAAAAAAUUGAUAAUUUUGGUGGCUCUGUUAAAAAUAAAACAUAAAAAAAAUCCAAGCAUAAUUAAAACAAACCAAUAAAAUAUAUCUAAUUAAUUAGAGAAAAAAAAUCAUUAUAAUAAGAAUUCAAAAAACAAUUGGUAGAACUAGCAGAUCUGAGAAAAAAAAAGAGCAAAAAUAGUAGAAUUAUUUAAAAAAACCUCAUGAAAUUAUUAACGAAUAUAUCAAAACAAAGCAAAAAUAGAUUUUAAAUUUAAAUUAUCUUAUUUUGUUUGAUAAAAAAUAAAUUAAUUGAUGGCUCUAUUUUAAUUUUUUUGUAGAAAAAUUUUGUUCAUGAUUUGUAUUUUUAUUUCUCUAUUUAAUCGACCAUAAGAUUUAAAUUAAGAUAAAUUGGUGGCUCUAUGGCUUUAUUUUUUAUUUUACAAAAUAAUUUCUCUAUAUAUUUUUCUUUCCCCGUAUGUGAAGGGAAGAGUGAAUUGAAAAUUAAAAAUAAAGUCACUGUAAUAAGUCCCACCUUGACCUGUGGGUAAUGAAAAAGAAUUAUAAUGCCUUGGGGGGGGGGGGCAGGGCCCCUGCUUGCCCCCCUGACUCCAGGUGAACAGUGCUUCAUCUGAAGUGAACAGUUCCAGGUAAAUAACUACUUACAUUUAAAAAAAAUUAUGUUUUUUAAAUUAUAUUUUAUUCAAAAAAUUAGUGUUUAAUAUUAUUUAAUAACGCUACAUAAAUUAGAAGGAGAUCGCUUGAUGACGUAGCAUUUACAGAAUUUGAUCGUAAGCUCAAUUAUGUUCUUGCCGGGUCCGACCUAGUUAAAAAAAAUUCAGUUUUUAUUUUUAUUUGUAAUUGUGUUUUAUUUAAAAAAUUAGAAGAAGAUCAUUUGAUGACGUAAUAAAAAAUUCAGUUUUUGUUGUUGUGCACUUAAGAAACCAUGGAAAAUAUAGUCCUUGUUGGAUAGAUUUCGUACGUAAUAAAAUUGCACAUAAUUUAAUGAAAUAAUAAAAAAAUAUUUGAUAUCAAUAUUAUUUAUUUCAUGAUGUAAUAACAGUAGUUAAAUCUAUAAUAUUUAAAUUAAAAACCAUCAAUAUAUAUAUAUAUAUAACCUCAAUUUGAAAAACAUUCUUUUAACUAAACACAUUAAACUACAUUUUAUUCAACCUCAAUUUUAACCAUAUUUUUAACCAAAUAUAUAUUUUUUCAAACCAACCUCAAUUAAAAGUACUUUUAAAAAAAUAUUUUUUUUAAAAUUACAAUCAUAACAAUUGCCACAAUACUAAACACACUCGUAAUUCACCUCCAGAUCAGUGCCGUUUACUGUAAGUUUAGGAACAUUGAAACUUUCGUCUAGGUAACAUCCUUCUUUCAUUCCAAACGGAUAUGGAAUACUAAUGUCUCCACAGUAAGAUUCACAUCCAGGCAAUAUCAUAACCUGUGAUUCUGCAGUACGCAAUGAUCAGAACAACAGGAUGACCUGAAAUACUGUUAACUCAACAGCUGCCAUAUUCUUUUUCUUCUUCUUUCAGACAGUAGCUUUUUAGAAGAGAGAAGCUAUAAAACGGGCUCUUACUUGGCAAGUAACCCAGCCAUACAUUAAGUUAUCCAAAAUCCUCUUCUUCUUUCAACUAAUUCUUUCUUUCUUUGUUUUUUCCCUUUCGCCUUCCAUGAGUAGAAAGUUCAAAACCAAAGUCUUUAGAACCACACAAAGAAUUAAGCAGCCAGACUUGACCGAGUCAGUCAAUUACACUAUCCUAUACUAUAGUGGGUUAUAAUUGCAUCAACGGUCUAUUUUUGCCUAACGGUCUACUUUUAUUAGAGGUUGCAGGUUCAAUUCCUCGAAAGGGAAGUCAAUCUCAAUUGCAAAAGCAUCCAAAAAAAAUUCAUUUUCUUUGUUUAUUAAUUUGAACUUGAAAUAUUUAUUAAAGGUUCUUCAACAUUAAAUUUUCUAGCAAUUUCCUAAAGUAUAAUAUAUAUAUAUAUAUAUGACCAAUCAAAUUAAAAAAUCUACAAAUAUUUAAUGCUAACACAAUCCUGCACAAAUCUAAACCACACAUUUUUCUACUUUGAGACGGUAGCUUUUUAGCAGAGAAAAGGAACUUUAAACGGGCUUUCACAUGGAAAGUAAUUAACCCAGCCAUAUGUUAAGCUGUCCAAUCUAUAUAUUAAUUUAAUUUAGUAGAAAAAAGAAAAGAAAAGAAAUAUAACAAUGAGAAGGAAAACAAACGAAAAAAAAAAAGAUUAAAAAGAAAAGAAAAGGAGAAAGAUAAUGAAAAUAAAAGAAGAAAAUAAAAGCUAGAGAUGGAAGCCCAGAUGCACAUGACCUAACUAGAGUCUGAAUUCAUCUUUUAUAUUGUCAAGUUUUGAAAUAGCAUAGCAUUUCAAGCAUAACAAAAAAAAAAAUCAAGCAAAAUAGAGGGAUAUACGCGCGUGCGCACACUCUAGUAUUAGUAAAAUAUAUACAUGUAUAUAUUAUUUUUUUCAUUUAAUAUAUAAAUAUACCUCAAAUAUAUACAAAUUUUUUAUUUUAUAUUGAAUAAUAAAUAUUUAAAAUACUAUAAAUAAAAUAUAAAUAUAUAAGUUUUUGAUUUGAUAAAUAAUAAAUAUAAUAUAGCUAUAAUAGAAACACAACCCGGCCCUAAAUACUAUUAGCUAUAGCUCGACAGCAGACUCCAAUUAUGUUGAAUUAGAAAGUCCUGCCAUUACAUAUUUAUGGCAGUCCAUUAUAUUUUGAUAACAAGGCAUGAUGAAAAAAAAAAAACUAUUAGGGUGUGCUAUCAUCAAUGAGCAAUUGUCAUCUUACGGAGUUGAAAUUCUAUAUAUUUUAAAAAUAAGAUUCCGUACCCCUUCGGAAUGGAAGCAGGUUGCUACCUGGAUAAGAGGUUCAGAAUACAUUGCAACUCCAACAUGACUCCGAGGCUUUCUAUAAAUGGAAUCAAUCUAGAGGAGUUGAACAUCCCUGUUGACGAAGGCACAAUUCACGUCAAAUUCCCGAUUUUCUAUUCAAGUAAUUGUCGAGGCAAAGAAAGCAAUCCAGUUAUUGUGAAUUUGGAAGGAAGCCCUUUUGUCUACUCAGAAAAAUGGAACAGUUAACAACAUUGUCUUGAUGACCCAAAAUGACUCAAUCUAUGGUGGGUGCAUGUCUAUUUCCGAUGAGAGCAGCAACUCUGCUAGAAAUCAUGCGAGUUGCAAUGGCAUCAACUGCUGCCAGAUGAGAAUCCCGUCGCAUCUAAUGUCUUUCAAUGCGGUAUUCAAGGAUCUUGAUGGUUCCAUGAUAGGCUCAAUAGUAGUCUUGAGACCCCUUACUCGGUGACAGCUAUGGACUCUGUGCCUGUGGUGCUGGACUGGAUGAUAGAUUACUGGAUAUUUGAAUCUCUAGAAAGGAAUGGAUCAUUAGCAGAUAAUAAAACAUAUCAUUGUCAUGUUAACAACUACGAUAACAUUUCAAGCAAUCAGAAAUCCAUGGUUAAAUGUUCUUGCAGCGCUGGUUAUCAUGGGAAUCCUUAUCUUCCUGCUGCUUGUCCAGGUAAACUUUCUCUCUGUCACGAAAAUGGAAGCCUUGUAAAUAGAAUUCAGGGGCUUCCAUUUUUGUUCCAUUUUCUUCUUACUGAAAACAAAUUAUUACUGGAUUACUUGGAGCUAAUAUCUGUUUCUUUGUCUAUAUAUAUGGAUAUAUUCAGAUAUCAAGCAAUCAGAAAUUUUGUGGGGGUAUAGGAUUUUCAUAAACAUGCCUAAUGCAUUAUCAGAAUUCGAAACACUUCAAAGAUAAUAAAGAAAAUGAAUCAUAAACAUUGUUGAUGUUGAGUGUAAAAAAUAAACUGCCAAGCCCAUCUCACCUUGGGCUGGGCUGCGAUCACCUUUCCUGGUCCAGGCCCAGGCGAGGUGAAACUCCCCGAGCGAGAGCCUGCCCUGUAUAUAUUCUUUCUUCCUAUUUUUUUACACAUUUAUUUUAUAAAAUUAUAUAAACCAUUCACAGUAAUUUUUUCUACCGCUUACGCACUACAAUAAUAAUAUCUCUCCAUUUAUUAAUACCCUGAUAAAGCAUCACUCUACAAAGUAAACUACACCAUUCACCGUGUGUUAUUCAUGGUCCAUUAUCUUAGAAAGAACUUAAUCCCAUCAAGGUAAGAUGAUAAAAGGGUUGUUUGGAACUGCCUUAUGUUUUUAAAUUUUAAAAUUAUUUUUGUUUAAAAUUAAUAUUUUUAUAUUUUUUAUCGUUUUAAUAUAUCGAUAUAAAAAUUAUUUUUGUUUAAAAUUAAUAUUUUUAUAUUUUUUAUCGUUUUAAUAUGUCAAUAUAAAAAUUAUUUUUUAAACAAAUAAAAAAUAUUUUAAAAAUUAAUCAUUAUCAUAUUUAUAAAUACUCUUUAAUUGCUUCUCAGCUCACGCUCCACAAAACAUUGAACUCGUUUAAGGAAAGAAAACACACCGAUCAAUUUGCAAAAAAAAAAUAUUAUUUUUAUCUUCUUGAAUUAUUUUAUUUACUUGUUAUUGGAAAGACUUCAAAAACUAAUUAAAUAUUAAAGUAUUUCUCAAUGAAAGAUUUAUUUUACAGAAUCAACACAACACGGACUCAAAACUUAUUAAUCAAGAAAAGUCCAUUUCCAUGUAAAUAUUUUGGUUCAAUAUUUGUUUUAUUUUUUUCCUUUUUUAUUUUUCUUUUUGAAACUAAAUAUGAAUUUGAUAUUUACACAUUUAAUGUUAUUUUGUAAUUGAUUGAAACUGUGAAAUGAUUUUUAUUUUAAAAUAAAUUGAUAAAAAGACACUAUCAAAAUAUUAAUAAAUAGAGAAGAUCUAAAUUAUGAAAAACAAUUAUGUUAAAAAACCAAAAAUCAUAAAAUAAUUUUCUAUAUUAAGAAAAAAAAAAUAUCAUGUUGUAGCAUUUAAUUUAUGUUAUGAAAUAGAAAAGAUAAAUACAAAUGGGAUAAGAAUAUACUUUAUAGCAAGGACGGAGAUAAAAACCAUAAAUUAUAUGAUUUUUAUCCCUCCAAAAAGGAGGAAUGGAUGGAAUAUGGGCCGAGGACAACAUUUAUUAUUAUAUAAAAAAAAAACUGUGCAUUAAUUUUUUUUUUUUGUUAAUUUGAAUAUAUGAGAUAUCUUCUAAAUAACUUUCACAUCACUUAAAAUUAAAUCUUUCCGAUAAAAAAAAUUCAAGUAAUUUGGGAUGAAGUUUUAUGCUUAUUUUGGAUAAUUAGUUAAUUUUUUGAUAUUGACAAUCUAAUUUAUUUAUUUUAGUUAAGGUGAUUAGAAAAGGGUGUCGAAUACUUGCAAAAAGUUUUAUUUGGUUAAUUUAGGGACUCUCUGAUUAUUAAGUUAAUGAUUUUUUUAGAGAAAAUAUAAUAAUAUUGCAAGGAGAUGUUCUGAAAAUAAUUAUGCGGUAGAGAAUGAAGAUUUCAAAUCUUUUUUGGUUAAAAGAUUCAUGAUCUAUUUAUAGCAUAUAAGUCACUUUUAUAGAAAAGAGAGGUUAAAACAUAAUAUUACCCUGAUGAUUUUAAUGGAAAAAAAAUUAUCAUUGAUAUAUAUAUUAAUGUUAAGAGAAAAUAUCUCUUAUAUAUAUAUUAAUAUUGAUGGAAAUAUAAUGGUCACUUAGAAAGCUUUUACACACUAUCCCUAACUUAAUAAUAAUAUAAAUGAAAAUAUAGUGGACUCUAGAAGAAUUUGAUAUAACUAAGGGGGUAAAAAGAAUAUGAACUAAAAUGUAGUUGUGUCCAUGGAAUUAAGUCAUUCCUUUGAUUGAACCCAUAAAAAGUGUUUUUUAACGGUGUUUUCGGACCCAUUAAAUCUAAAUUUACCACUAUUAUUUUAAAAAAUUAAAAGACAUACCUCUCACAUCAGUUUAUUACAAUUAAAAAAAGUAUAAUAUGAUCAUGGCUUUUCUAUUAUCUUCACUCUUCGGGACCCGAUAUUUUAGUCCACUUCAUUAAAGAAUUGCCAUUGCUCGAGCUUUAAAUAAGGAAGGCUGGGCUUAGGCUACUCGAUGAAGCAACAAGUGCACUAGAUGCUGAGUCUGAGAGGUCUGUCCAGGAAGCCCUGGAUCGUGCCUUCUCAGGAAAGACCACAAUUGUUGUUGCACACCGGCUAUCAACUAUAAGAAAUGCUCAUGUCAUUGCUGUGAUUGAUGAUGGUAAAGUAGCAGAGCAAGGAUUCCACUCGCAUCUAUUGAAAAAUUAUCCUGAUGGGAGCUAUGCCCGCAUGAUACACUUACAAAUUAAGGUUCACACAUAGCGAAGUCAUUGGAAUGACCUCAGGUUCAAGUUCACGGAGCAAGGAUCCCUUGUGCAUGUGGUUUGUCGCACCUGCUUUCACAAAAAGAUGCCCAAUGUCGGAAGAUAAUUGAGAGAAAGGUGUCCAGGCUUGUGCAAUUAGGCUACAAGGGCUAUCAUGCCAGUGGCAAUGGAUGUAGACCGGAACAUAUUCCUGGCGAUUCGAAAUCAUCCAAUCUUGAGCUUAAUAGGAUGCGUAUCUAUUUAUGAUUUGGUUUGUGGGGAAGGAAAUUAUUGAGUGUCAAAGUUCACAUGCAUGGUGGUUGGUUGCACAUGUGUGUCAUUUGAGUGUCCAAGGACAAGUACUACCCAAAGAGGGGACCUCGUUGAAAUCAAUAGACCACGCUCCUUCGACCAUUAAUUAGUAGAAGCUGGUGGUGAUGGUGGUGGUGGACAAGCGGGAGACAAAAGUUUAGGGUAUGGCAUUUGGAAAAUGACAGCAAGGGAGAUGAUAAGACUUAAGAGAGUUAGAUCAUGGCCUCAUGGGAUGCUCUGUCCUUGUGUUCAUUUCGCGGGCCAUACCCAAUCUCUUUCCAUUAAAGAAAUACAAGGACGUUAGCCUGCACAGAUGGGCUUUAAUGGCGCUCUUGUUUUCAAGUGCUCAAGAGCAUUUAUUAAUUUGUUUAUUUAUUUGUUUAUUAAUUUGAACUUGAAAUAUUUAUUAAAGGUUCUUCAACAUUAAAUUUUCUAUUUCCUAAAGUGUGUGUAUAUAUAUAUAACAUGCAAUUUUAACGAAUCACCUUUCUUUUUUAACUCUAAUAAUGCAAAAAUAUAUAUGAGUAAUCAAAUUAAAAAAUCUACAAAUAUUUAAUGCUAACACAAUCCUGCACAAAUCUAAACCACAUUUUUCUUCUUUGAGACAGUAGAGAAGGAACAAAAACGGGCUUUUACAUGGAAAGUAAUUAACCCAGCCAUAUGUUAAGCUAUCCAAUCUAUAUAUUAAGCUAUCCAGUCUAUAUUUACCCCUUAUCAAACAUACCCUAACAUCAUAUAUAUAUAUCAUGCUAGUUAAAUCUUGACAUUAAUUACAUUUCAAGUUAUAAAUGGUUAGAAUUUUGUUAAGUGGGAUUUUAAUGAAAUUAAAUAUUCUAUCAGCAAACAAAAAAGUAACCAUUAAAUAAAUAGCAUUAACAGGCUCCACAAUAAUUAUUUUCAUUAGUCUAUUUGUUAAUGGUUUUCUUCAACUUGUGGAACGACGUGCAUGUUCCUCCAACUACUUGUUUAACAGCUUAAUUUGAUUUUUCUUGAUUGACUUGGGAAGUCAUCAUGUGUUCUGAACUUGUCGAAGAUAUGAUAGAAGAGACAAGAAACCUGGCUCGUGCGAGGCUCCAUGAACACUUCCAGCAGUGGCAUCUCGUAGACUCAGCUCCACACUGGCUCGUCAGUAGCUUCUUCAUCAGUAGCACCAUGGACCUCUCCAAGCCCUGCACAGCACCGUGAACAAGCGAAGUUUUGGCCAGCCACCACACCUUCGUCAUCGUCCAGACCAGAAGUGGAGGGGAAGUUUUGGCCAGCCACCACCUUCGUCAUAGUCCAGACCAGAUCUGUCACUGUCGUCGGCCGAUCUCUCAUUCUUCUACCGUUGGAUCAACUUGAUUUUUGGGUAUGUUAUGUGUCUCCAUAGUUCCUACAUCCAGACCGGAGGGAUCGUUCAUAUCUGCUGCCGUUUAAGAAAUCUAAUUGUUUGAAGAUUUCUGGACAAACCACUCUCGGAACAGUAAGCUCCGCCGGCCUUUUUCUCACUUUUCUACCGUUGGAUCAAUCUGAAUUUUGGAUAUGUUAUGCUUAUGGUUGUAUUAAACAUUCUGAACGGUGGAGAUGAGAUGAAACCUUUCCAGCAAAGUGUUAUGAAUGUCUAAAUGGUGGCUCGUCAAUCUCAGGUCAGUUUUGGUCUAACUCCGAUCUAGGGAGAUCCAACCGUUAACUUGAGCUGAUAUUUGGAUAUAUGCUGCAUAAGAUGUGUGUUUAUCUUUGUACCGUUGGGAUUUGAUAUUGAUUGAAUUGUUAGUGAGUAAUUGAUGUUUGAAGCUCUGUCCGGAAUCUGUCAUGACUUUCAAUCCGAAACCCAAAACACCCAAAGCUAACAUCACCCCCUCAACCACUAAACAUCCCACAAACCAACACCAAAACACCCAAAACACAGCCUCCCCAUCGCAGGUUUGAUUUCCAAAAUCCCACAAACCAACAAACAAUCAAAAAUCCCUUUCCAACAACCAUCUCUGCCCAAAACAGCAACCACCCUCUAAACACAAUUGCAGUAUUCCUAGCCAAAGAACAACGAUACAAUAACAAGAUCUCCCAAAAUGCUCCCAACCAAAAAGCCUUCGCUCACCCCUGCAAACCAGACCGUAGCAACGUUACUCAAACCUCACCUGAAUAAUACAGCCUCUCAAACACCUUCAAACACAACCUUCCCUGUUACACUAAGCCUACCGAGACCUGUGCACCACACAAUAAACGUCCAGAACGUUAAUAAGCCUUCUUCUAACACAACCUUCCCGACCUUUACCCCUUCUAAGUUCUUUAUUGAACGUUUCCCAUCAUGGUUAGAUUAUCAUGACCUCAAAAAGACGCUUGCAAAGAUUGGUCCUGUUACCAAUCUUUUUGUCUCCAGGAAAAAAACAUCACGAGGGAGACGGUUUGGGUUUGUUUCCUUCCUCUCCACCUUAAAAGAAUCAGACAUUUGUAACAGCUUGAACCUUAUCUGGUUCGAUUCAUACAAAAUUCGUGCAAACCCGGUCAGAUUUCAGAAACCUCUAGACAAAAAACCAGACCUUGUUAUAAAACCACAACCAAAAACCAUGCCCAAACUCACCUUCAGAGACACCCGGACCUUCGUUGAAGCUCUUUCUGUCACAAAGCAUCCAAAGAAAACGGUGAUGUAUGAGUCUAUCCCCGAUGACAAGGAAUGGCUUCAGAGAAGUUUAGUGGGAUUCAUAGCCACAGACGUGGACUAUGCUCAGCUUGAGCAUAUGGUGCUAAAAAAUGUCAAGCAGACAGUUGGGUUUCGUUUUUUGGGAGCAAGCCAAGCAGUCAUCACCUUUACAAAUAGAGAAUCUAUGGAGAAGAGCUGGUAAAUGGAUCCUCUGUUUUGGAAACAUCAUUCUUUCAUUUGAAACCAUGGGAAAAAGGAGCUAAAGCCAUAGACAGAUUUGUGUGGGUGUCCAUAUUAGGAUUACCUUUGAUAGGAUGGAAUCGCAGAUGUAUUGAAUCCAUUAUUGAGAAAGCAGGGAAAAUGCUUGGAUAUGACAUUACCAGCGUGAGCCAAGGAUCUCUCACAGGAGUUAAAGUGCUGCUGAGCACAACCUCAUUUGAGACGCUAAAUGAACAUGUUUUGCUGGUUCUAGAUGGCGACGAAUUGAAAUCUCAAUCAUGGAAAUGAAACCGGAUUUUAGUCCCCUGCUGUCUACAAUCAAACAUUCAAUGGGUGCAACAGGUAUUCAAACAUCAGAUGAAGAGUUAUGCAGUGAAUUUGCAGCUUCAGAUGAGGUUACGGCAGCGGGCACAAAGAUUACUGACACUGAUGGUGAUCAUUGUGCAACAAACAUUAUUUUAACACAGCAACAAAAGGCGGAUACGGAUAGUGAUUUCUCUCUCAUUCUCUAUCAAGGGUACACUGGACCAACAAACAACUUGGAUCAUACUGACACAAGUUCAAAUAUUGCCUACCUUUUUCCUGAAACAAAAGAAACACGUGAUGAAGGGGCAACCGACAGUGAUAGCAACACAGAUGUCUCAGCACAUUCAGUUACAAGAGUGGGCCUUGUAAAAAACAGAAUCACAGGCCAGGUGAAAGGAACAAGGCUAAUCAACAAGGCAAUAAACUCAUGUAACUCAUUCUCUAAUUUCAUACGUGACCUGGCAGAGCCUCAAGAAGUAGUGGAAAUGGAACUACAGGAAAAAAAAAGGAAAAAGCUUAGACGAACCAGAAGACUUGGCCCUAAAUAUACAUACGGAAAAGGGAAGAAGGGGAAGAAAAACAAUCAUGCUUUGGCUCUUAAUGACACAUCAGAUAUUGUUCCUGACUCAUUCAGAAACACAUAUCAAAAAGAAAACGACUCAGCCCCUGCUAUUAAGUCAUCUACUGAUCAACAUGAAGAUAUUACCUCUAAUCAUGCAUCCAUGGAUACAGAGACCAGUGAUACACAGGCUCAUCUACCAACCCUUUUGAACUCUCAGUGCAGCCAAGAGGCCUCCUCAGAAGCGAUCAACGAAAACAACAGGAAUGCUAGAAGCAAAUCCAGGAAAAUAAAAUUGUUGCAAGCUAAUGGUAGUGUAGCUAACACUACUGAGAAAUGUGUCUCUUCUGAUUCCCUCAAUUCGGGAAUUAAGCAAGGCAAUGUCCGGUUCCAAACAACCUGUGAGAAUAAUCAAGCUGAUGGUUUUGAUAUAGAUAAGGAAACCCAGGAAAUGUUACAUGAUGCAGCGGCUCUAGGCUUGGGACCAUUCCAAGAUCUUAUAGGGUAUGAAGAGGGAGUUCGGGGGAACAUUGACAGAGAAGUAGACGAGUGGAAAUCAGUCAAUCAGUUGUAAGUUUCUUAACUUGCUAAGUUUUGUUCUGUCAUGGUUUUGAUCUACCUAUGAAUAUUUUUGCUUGGAAUAGUUGUGGGUUGGGUAUGUUGAACAAACGUCAUUCCAUCCGGAAUAGGUUGCUCAACAGUAAUGUUGAUAUCUGCUUUCUAUUAGAAACAAAAAAAGAUAAUUGUUGCGAUUCAUACAUCAGGAAUUUGUGGAAUGUGGUAACUGUUAAAUGGGCUUUGCUAGAGUCUGUAGGCAAAUCAGGAGGGAUAAUUGUGAUGUGGGAUAGUUCUAUCUUUGAGGUUAAUUCCAUAGAAUUUGGGGGGCAAUGGAUCAGCCUAUGCGGUAAACAUGUUCAUUCUUCCUUUAACUGCAUGGUAGUUGGUGUAUAUGCUGCAUCUUCUGUGCAAGAUCGUGCUAAGCUGUGGGAAGACAUCACUACUCUGAAGUUUGCCUUUGAAUUACCAAUGGUGGUGAUAGGUGAUUUCAAUGAAACUCUUCAAGCUAAUGAGAGAAGUAGCGGCUACAUUAAUCAUUCAGGGUCAGCUCUGCUCUCCGUAAUUUCCUGUCCGAUUGUGCUCUGAUUGAAUUCAAACUGCAGGCAACCGUUUCACUUGGUUUAGGGGGGGUUCUAUGAGCUGUAUUGACAGGGCUUUCGCAUCUCCAGAGUUCCACCUCCAGUUUCCAUUCUUAUCACUCUACCGUUAUCCUAGGGGGAUGUCUGAUCACUGUCAAUUGCUUCUUCAGGCACCAAAGGUAGAUUGGGGAUGGAAGCCUUUCCGCUUCAUAAAUAGUUGGUUGUCACACCCUACAUUCUCAGCUGAUUUUGAGAUCUUCUGGUUUGAUAGUUGCAAGGAAUUUCCCGGUGACUAUAGAUUGGUAAAGAAACUAGGAACUUUGGGGAAAAGACUGAGACAAUGGAACAAAUCCACCUUCGGUAAUCAAAAUUCAAAACUUGCAGACAUUCAGAACUCCAUCACAACCAUCGAAGACUUAAGCGAGGUACGCCUCUUGUCUGAGACUGAAAAAACAAAGCUCAAGAAUCUGAACUCUGAACUUUGGGAGGUUAGUAGGAAUGUCGAGGGCAUUUGGAGGCAGAAAUCCCGCCAAAACUGGUGCAAAAUGGGGGAUAAAAACACUCGGUUCUUCCAUCUUUCGGCAAGUUUGAGGAAUGGUCGGAACCACAUUAGUAAGAUUGAGCAGAAUGGCAGAUUUUUGGACUCUCCAAAUGACAUCAAAGAGGGUGCUGUCAACUUCUUCUCAACUCUGUUUGCCAAGCCACAAUGCAGAAGAAUUGAAAUGGGAGACUCAGGGUUCUCUAAAAUUUCAGAAGAAAGUUCAGUUUGGUUAGAAAGACUACCUUCAUUGGAGGAAGUGAAGCAAGCCGUAUGGGAUUGUGAUGGUUCAAAAGCCCCCGGUCCUGACGGGUUCACCUUCUCCUUCUAUAAAAAGGAAUGGAAUCUUAUCAGCCCUGACAUCUUUGUGAUGGUCACAGAAUUUUUCAGAACAGGUAAAUUACCAAAGGGGAUCGGCUCGUCCUUCGUGACUUUGAUUCCAAAGACCAAGAGGCCGAGCACUUUCUCCCAAUUUCGACCAAUUAGUUUGAUUCAUGGGUUAUAUAAAAUAGUGGCAAAGCUCUUGUCCACUAGGCUCCGAAGCAUUCUACCAGAUGUGAUAAGUGUAAACCAGUCUGCUUUCAUUGCCGGGCGUCAGAUUCUAGAUGGGUUCAUGAUAGCAAACGAGGUUGUCCAUAGUAUUCGUAGCAAAAAGGACCACGGGUUUUUGCUAAAGGUAGAUUUUCAUAAAGCCUUCGACUCGAUUUUAUGGGAGCAAUAUCGAUUCUACCAUGGGUUAUAUGGGUUUUUGGAUCUCACUGGAGGAAACUGAUCUUUGAAUGCAUGUCCACUUCUAAAUUGGCCAUCUGAUUAAUGGCUCACCAAGCAGAGAAUUCAGUAUGGAGAGGGGUCUCAGGCAAGGGGACCCCCUCUCUCCUUUCCUUUUUGACAUAGCAGUUCAGGGGUUAACAGUUCUAUUCAAGGGCAUAGAUUCAGGUUACUUUAAAGGUUUACAGACUUCGCAAGGACAUCACAUAACCCAUUUGCAAUAUGCAGAUGACACUCUGAUUUUCCUGCCGAAUGAUUAUCUCUUAUUGCAUGUCAAGAGGAUCCUCCGCUGGUUUGAGAUCAUUUCAGGACUGAAAGUUAAUUUCUAUAAAAGCUCACUUAUAGGAAUUAAUUUGGAUAACGAAUACACUUCAGGUCUGGCUAACAUAAUUUUCUGUCGCAGUGACUCCUUCCCAGUCAGAUACCUUGGGUUGCCUCUUGGUGCUAACCCAAAUAGGCUCUCCACUUGGAAACCGGUAUUGUCCACAAUCAGAGCAAAGUUAAGCAAAUGGAAAGGGAAGUUUUUUAGCAUGGCCGGAAAGAUAUGUCUUAUUAAAUCUGUCUUAAACUCUCUACCUCUAUACUAUAUGUCGGUCUUUAUUAUGCCAAAGGGCAUUGCAAAAGCAAUAUCCUCAAUCAACCCAUGUUUUCUUUGGAAGGGCUCCUCAAAUUCACAUGGUAUUUGUAAGGUUGCUUGGCAUAAGGUAAUUAAGAGUAAGCCUCUAGGAGGUCUCGGGCUUGGUUCUAUUCACAGUAAAAAUCUGGCUCUGAUGUUUAAAUGGCUUUGGAACCUUGACAAAGGAGUGGUAGGAGGUUGGCAAGAGCUCAUCUUACGAAAGUACCGGCCACAUUUUUCAAAUGGCCUUCCUGUGUUUGCAGGUUCUUUAUCUCCAACUUGGCGUGGCAUGGUAUCUGCAAUUUCCUUAAAUCACAGCAUAGCCGCUCCCAUCCAAUCCAAUGUUGGGUUUAAGGUGGGUGAUGGGAGAAACAUCAGGUUUUGGUCUGAUUCUUGGCUAGGCUAUGCAACCCCUCUCCAGUUCAUGUUCCCUAGGCUCUACAACCUCUCCCUGCAGCAAUCUUUAAGCGUUGCAGAAGUUCAUAACCCAACAGAUAACUCAAUCAAUCUUUCUUGGAGAAGACCACUUCGAUCCCAAGAACUCUGCAUGUGUGAAAGCUUGAUAGUAGAAGUGGAACGUGGCCUAGUCUUCUCUGAUGGUGAAGACAACAAGAUUUGGAAACACCAUAGCUCCAACAAUUACACAGUCUCCUCUGGGUGCCAUCUCUUUGACGGUUUAAAUGUUUCAGGACAUCUGCACUCCCCUGCUUUGCUUUGGAAAGGGUUUGCGCCUCCAAAAAUAGAUGUGUUCAUAUGGCUUCUUUUCAAUGGCAGUGUCUGCACAAAGGGUUUCUUAGCUGAGAGGAGAAUCAUCAAUUACGAGGAAGCUCUUUGUCCUUUCUGCUGCAAGGAGAUUGAGACUACACAUCAUCUUUUCCAUCUUUGUCCAAAAUCAUGGUCUCUUUGGGGCAGACUAUUUAGUUGGUUUGGGUGUGUAGGUUGUCUGCCAAAAGAACCAUAUCAUAACCUUCAGGAAUGGUCCAACAUGUUAAAAGGAAAAUUCCAGCGUCAGGCAAUUACUCUUCUUUGUAAAGGAUUAUACUAGUCAAUUUGGAUAGCGCGCAACCACAUGAUCUUUGACAACAAAACUCCAGAUUGGGAUGUGAUUUUUGACCUCACCUUUCAUCGGUUGGCCUUUUGGUUGAAGUCCUUUGUUAAAAAUUUCAGCUAUACGGGCUCUGAUCUUUAUAGGAAUCCUGAAUGUAUUAUGAACUGGACUAACUAGUCAGGUCUUUAGAUUCCUUGUUUUCUUAAUGUAUUUUUAAUUUCCCAUGUAAUCUUCCUUAUCAGCCCUCAUCUCCUUAAUGGGGGCAUUUUAUUUAUACUAUUCUCGAUUACUAUCAAAAAAAGAAGAGACAAGAAACCACCUUCUAUAUAUAAUCAAAGCUUGAUUGCAGGGCUUCUUCGUAAUUUCACAAUGGCUUAAACUUGUGGUCUAUACUCUCGUUCCUUCGCCUCAUUCUAUUUUUCUUUUCGAAUUUUUGGUUCCAUUUUUUAUUAUUUCUAUUUGUUUUAUUUAAAUUUAAUUUUAAAAUUAAACUUUUUUUAAUUUGAUCCUCCUUCAAUUUUCUAGUUUAUCAAAUUUAGUUCAUAUUAUUUUAAUUAUUUUUUUAUUUGAGAUAAUUUUUUAACUUGAUUUUUUUUAUUUCAUCCUCUUUCAUUUUUUUUCUUUUCGAUUUGAUGCUCAUUUUUUUUUUUGAUAAAUUUUUUAAAUUGAGAAUAUUUUUAUCGAUUUCAUCCAUCAACAUUAAAUUGAUUGAGAAUUGAAUUUCUUAAUUACACUCAAAUCUACAAUUUCAUGGGUUAUGAAUUUGAAAUAUUAGCCUUUAGAAAGUUUGGCGCCCUAAUCAAUUACUGUGGAUUGAAAUUGUAAAUUUAUGAUAUCAUUUAAACCCUCCAUUCAAUUAUGGUGAAUUAGAUAUUUUUUAAAUUAUCAAGGUUAGUAUUUGUUUUUUAGGUAAGUUUUCAAGUUUAUUUAAGGAUUUGUAAGCCUUCUAGAGAGACAGACAUCUUAAAAAAAGUAUUGAGUAAUAAAAUUAUGAAUCAAGGUUUUUAUGUGAUCCAUAUCCGACAUGAUUAUGUGUUCUUGUUCUUAUUUUUUUAUUAUUUUUGUAUUGCUUCGGUCAGCAUCAACUAUAAUAUUAAGUUAUAAAUAGCCAAUGUGUAUUGAUCAUUCAUUAAGCAAAUAAACAAUAAGAAUUUAUUAAAUACCUUUGAAAAGAUUUUCUAAACCUAUCUUUCUCUUCUAUUUCUACAUGCAAUUUUAUCACUUGUGUGUGACUCGAGGUGUGUGUCGCAAAAGUGAGAAACAUAUUGAUGAAGUCAGAAAAACUUUGAUAGGGAUCUAGGUCUUUCCGCUAAUGGAUGGUGGGCUGACGAGGUAGCUAGACUUGGCCACUGGUUGUAGUAGUAUGAUUUCCAUACUACUACAAGAAUAAGAAAUUCCGAUUGUUAUUUAUCCCAUAACUCAGCUAUUCAAUGUUCCUUUGAGCCAGGCUUUGAAGGCAAUCAUUUUAUUCUUGACGGCUGUGAAGGUAAUUUAAGCAUUGAAUCCUUAAUCUAAUAGCUUUAACUUCAAGCCUUUAACACAUAUCUUUUUAUCCAACUAUACUUUAAUCAACAAAAUCAAACGUUCGAAAACCAAAUUAUGAUGAUACCAGUUAGGAAUAAAUUUGCAUUUGAUGUUAUGCUAGAUAAUUCUAUAUAUGUGUGUGAUGGAGGAGAAUUCUUUCGGGAAAAUAUUUUUUUUUUGGUGAUUUUAUUUUAUUCUAAACAAAUAUUUGAGAUUGAUAAUUUAAGUUGAUUUUUUGGCUUAUUUAAGAAGAUGUAAACCUCUAAGCCUCAUAAUAGAAUUUUCUCUUCCACAAUAAAAUUAUAAAUUAAGAUUUUUGUAUUCUACCCCAUUAAUAUGCUUUCUUGAUAUUGUCAUAUUAUUUGUGCUCCUGCCUACAUCAGUAUAUAUGUACAGAUAUUAAUCAAUGCAUGCUUUGCUGUGAGUAAGCCGAUCUGUGUAAAUUCAGAAGGUGGCUACGUACGGUUGUAUCACACCAGAUAGCAAGGAGUCAAUGGACUAAAGGAGCCGGAGUCGCUUUAGGUAUCUAAUUUCACCAUUUAUUUUUAUUAAGACAGCAUUUGGUACAAGUUUAAAAAAUAAAAAUAAAAAAUUAUACGAAUUUUUAUUUUUUAUGAGUUUACUGAUUUUUAUUGAAAAAUAUACCAGAGUAAUACUGAAAGUGUUUAAAAGAAAAAUGUUUACGUGAAGAAAUGAAGAUAGGAAGAAGAGAAGAGACAGCAAAGAUUGUAUUUGAAUUUAUUGCAGAUUGAAUGAGAAUCAGAUUGUAUACAAUUUAUUGCAAUCUUUACAAAUAUAUAUUUAAACAAAACAAAACAGAAUUGCAAAAUUAUAGCAAUAAAUCAUGAUAUGUUAACAGAUUAACUAACUCCUAGAGUCUAGGACAAUAGUUUAUUAUUUGCAUAAAAACUGAAAACAACAAAGCAGAAAUAAAAUCUUUGACAGCUCCUGAAGCAAUCUUCAACAAAUACCACAAGAUAAAUUUUUAAGAGUGUAAAGGUUGGGUUUCAAGUGUUUGGUGUGUUAAUAAAGUGAGAGAUAAAUUGUUAAUGAAAAGUGAGAAAAUGUUAAAAUAUUAGUACUGAUCGGAGAAAAGAAGAUAAAAAUUUAUCUUGGAUAACGGAAAUGUGCCUAUAAUUUUGUCUUUUGCUACAACUGCAGGCAUUGAAUGUCUUCGGAUAACCCAGUGUAGGCCUAGCAUAUGCCGCUAGAAUCUGCAAAUAUAAUAUGUCCCUGGAACUUGCCAACUGAUUAAACGAGAGGUACAUUACAAGGCGCAGAUAAAAUUAAUAUGUUAAAUAUAGUUUUCCUGUGUGUAUAUACUUGAUUAGUAGAGUUGAACGAAAUUACUGAAUGGAAGCUGUUGAUAAUGGAGACAAAAUGGCCAUCUGGAAUGGAGACUAGAUGUGAUAGAACAAUGAGCUGAAAGUGCCAGGGUAUUAGGCUGGCAAGGGUUGAGUUCGUCUGCCAUUAUUGGCAGAAAUCUUGGAUAGAAAUGGGAAUGCCCCCCCUCUCCCCCCAAACCAUUUCUGCUAUAAAUGAAGCUCAAUUGUGCAGCAGAGUUAGAGAAGAAGAAGCAACUGCAAGGUGCAGAAAACAGCAAGAACAGCAGCAAGAGAAAUAGCAGCGAAGGGCAAGAGCAGCAUAAGGUGCAGCGGAAGUGAGAGGAGAGAUAUUUUGAUCAAAAGUGAUAUAGAGAGCAUUAGUGUGUGAGAGGAAUGUAACGCCAUUUAUAAUUCUCCACAUGUUGAAAAAUUGUUUCUCCAACGCCCGUAGGUAAACUAUUUGUGCCUUUUUGUGCAUUACUUUGAACUUCUGGGCAUUCGCUUUAAACUUCCGCUGUGCCACAACAGCAGCUACAUCUACAUCAGGGUGGAAAAGAAAGGGAAUGGCAGCUAUUCGAUUAGUAGUGUACUUUCAGGUAGUUCUUUUGUUGUGGUCAUUUAAUGAUUCAUUGCUUACUGCAGAAGCACAGGCAAAGACUCUGAAAAUUGUCCAUCUGCCUGUGGCAAUGUUAGCAUUCCAUAUCCAUUUGGAAUGAGAGAAGGUUGUUACCGAGACGAAAGCUUAAAAAUACAUUGCAACUCUAGUGAAAUUCCCCUACUUUCAAUAAACGGCACUGAUCCGGUGGUGACAGACAUUUCGGUUCAUGACAGCACCAUUACGGUCAACUUUCCAAUUGUCUUUGCAAAUUGUGGUGGCAAAGAAAGAAACACGGUUAUUGACUUGGAAGGAAGCUCUUUGUUUUCUCCUCCGAUUUGAAUUACUUAUUUCAAGUGGUUGUGACAACCGUGCCUUGCUGAUUCAGAAUCAGUCAACAGUUGGUGGGUGCAUGUCAAUCUGUGAUCAUGAAAGUAGCGAUGACGACUUAUUGAGUAGUUCCAGCGGCAUCAACUGCUGCCGGACUAGUAUCCCUUCACAUCUCAAGGUUUAUAACGUAACCUUGGGAAGGUGUUGAUGAUGGGAAAGGCUCUGGAAGAAAACAUCGGGCGAACAAAUUAUGGAGGCAUGCCUAUUUAGUUGACGAAAAUUGGAUGAAUAAUAGUGUAUGGUAGGGAUGAAAGCAUAAUGACCCCUUUUGACAUGAGAGAGAGAAGUUCAAGGACUGAAUGGUUCCCGACAGCAAGGUCUACAUGUAAGUGUCGAGUUCUCAAUCCUCCCAUUCAUUCAACCAACCAGUUCGCAACAGUUCAAUUUUCUUGUACAUGUAGGUAAUCCUUAUUUAGGUCAUUAUGGAGGUAAAUUCCUGGUUAAUUUUACAAUUUUCUUAUUUUCUUUGGCAUUAUAUUUCCUAUUCCAUCGAUUCUUCACGGAUUUUUUACCAUUACAUGGUGCAAAGAUCAACCAUGUUACUCUAUGUGACAGAGGGUCCAGACUACAUGGAUUACCAGGGACAUGUGAGAGGAAAAACGUUGGUCCUGGUUAUGUUGCUGCAUUUGCAUUCUAUAUCAUCUAAGAAAUGACAAUUGCUUAGGAGUAAGAGUACUUGUAUUUUUCCUGAUCAGUUCCCUUUCCCUAUCUGUUCAUAAUUGCUUGACUCUUGUAGGAAUUGGAGUGGGAAUUGGAGCAUUGUUUAUGCUCAUUGGUCUGUGGUGGUUGUACAGAGUAUUCAAGAGGAGGAAUGAAAAACAGAGGAAAAAAUACUUCGUAUGGAAUGUCUUCAGGUGAAGUCCAUGUUGAGAAAAUCAAAUUACUAGACAACGCCACAGAUCACUACAAUGUGAAUAGAAUGCUUGGCCAGGGAGGUUAGCUGAUGGAAAGAUCAUUGCAGUUAAAGAGAUCCAAAAUUCUUGAAGGGAAUCUCAUACAAUUUAUCAAUGAGGUGGUCAUUCUUUGUUGACAGUUGCCUCAUUUUCUGCUGAAGAAGAGGUCUUCGAUGCUGUGAAGAUCCAGUCAAGAUUGACUCCAGAUUGUUAGGAUGUUAGUUGCAAAUAAAGUUGUCAUAGAUCAGAUCUUUCUCUGUUUUUAUCUUUUCAAUAUUUUUCGGAAUUCUGUUAUCAAACUCUUCUAUAAAAGAGUGUUUUAUCAAUAAAGAAAGUACACUUCAAUUCAUAACAUUUAUAUCUUUAUCUUAUUGCUGAGUUCUUGCCUGUUCUUAUACAAUUUGUUACUGUCGUAAACUACAAAUUGGUAUCAGAGCACAUUGAUUUUAAAGGGACCAGCUUGUGAGAAAGAGAGCAACCUGUGAGAAACCCUUCUUCCACCAAAAAACCACAAAACACCAAAACCAAAACCUUUCAUCAUUCUUUCAAAUGGCAUCCAACACUUAUUCUCUUGCAACACCACCAGUAUUUACUGGUGUGAACUACCAAAUGUGGGUUGUGAGAAUCAAAACUUACUUACAAGCCUGCGAUUUAUGGGAUGCUGUUGAACAAGAACAUGAACCUCAGCCUCUUCCUGCAGAUCCAACCAUAGCCCAAAUCAGAAAUAAUCGUGAGGAGAGAUCAAGGAAGUUCAAAGCCAAAACUUGUCUCUAUGUUGCUGUUUCUGAAGCAAUAUUUCCAAGAAUAAUUGCUUUUGAUACAGGCAAACAAAUAUGGAAUUAUCUCAAGGAGGCGUUCCAUGGUAAUGAGAGGACAAUUCAAAUGCAGGUUUUGAAUUUGAGAAGGGAGUUCGAAAUGCAGAAGAUGAAGGACUCAGAAACUAUCAGAGAUUUUUCUGAUAGAUUACUCUCCAUAGUCAACAAAAUAAGACUAUUGGGAGAGGAGCUUUCUGAUCAAAGGGUUGUUGAAAAGAUCCUUGUGACUUUACUCGAGAGGUUUGAGUCAAAGAUAUCCUCAUUAGAAGAAGCCAAAGAUCUGUCAAAAAUAUCUUUGGGAGAAUUGUUAAAUGCCUUACAAGCUCAAGAACAAAGGAGAACUAUAAGGCAAGAAGAAUCCAUGGAAAGAGCUUUUCCAGCAAAGGUGCAAGUCCAAGAAGGUGACAAAGGGAAAAGGAAGAACAUCAAAUACAAGGGAGCAGGCAGUAACAAUCGAAGAAUUGGAACCUUUCCCCCUUGUCAACACUGUAAGAAAACAAAUCACUCACAAAACUACUGGUGGUGGAGACCUGAUGUUAAAUGCAGGAAAUGCAAUCAGCUGGGACACAUGGAAAAAAUCUGCAAGAACAGAACAAAUCAACAGCAUGAAGAGGCUCAAGUUGCUGAUCAACAACAGGAGGAACAAUUGUUUGUGGCCACCUGUUUUGUAAGCAAGCAUGCAAGUGAUUGCUGGUUGAUAGACAGUGGUUGCACAAAUCACAUGACAAAUGAUGUGAAUUUGUUCAAACAUCUUGAUAAAUCAAGUGUCUCAAAAGUCAGAAUUGGUAAUGGCGAAUAUAUUCCUGUCAAAGGAAAAGGGACAGUGGCCAUCGAAGGGAAUUCAGGUAUUAAACUCAUUUCAGAUGUCCUUUUUGUACCUGAAAUCGAUCAAAACCUGUUGAGUGUUGGCCAAGUUCUUGAAAAAGGAUACUCGGUUGUUUUCAAGAACAAACACUGUUUAAUUUCUGAUCCUACUGGAUUAGAGAUUUUCACCAUAAAAAUACAAGGGAAAAGCUUUUCUCUAGAUUGGAUGGAAGAGGAGAUAGUAGCAGUAUCAAACAAAUGAAGCUGAAUUAUGGCAUAAGAGGAUGGGCCACUUCAAUCAAGCAGCUUUGGUUCAUAUGCAGAGAAGGAAGAUGGUGAGAGGGGUGCCCAGCCUAGAAGAAAAAAUCACGGUUUGUGUUUCUUGUCAAUAUGGCAAGCAACACAGACUUGGAUUUCCUCAAAAUAAAGCUUGGAGAGCAAGUGAAAAACUUCAGCUUAUUCACACUGAUGUUGCAGGCCCUCAGAUGACAGAUUCAUUAAAUGGCAGCAGGUAUUAUGUUGCUUUCAUUGACGAUUAUACAAGAAUGUGCUGGGUGUAUUUUUUAAAAUCCAAAGCUGAAGUAACAGGUGUUUUUUUGAGGUUUAAAAACUGGGUUGAAAAUCAAAGUGGUCAUAAAAUUCAGAUUGUGAGGUCUGACAAUGGCACAGAAUAUACUUCAAACAAAUUUGCCUAGUUUUGUCAUGAUGCAGGGAUUGAACAUCAAUACACUAUACCUUACACACCUCAGCAAAAUGGUGUGAGUGAGAGGAAGAACAGGAAAAUCAUGGAGAUGGCAAGGUGCUUAUUAUUUGAGAAAGAUUUGCCCAAGAAAUUCUGGGCAGAAGCUGUGAACAUUGUUGUGUUCUUGUUAAACAAGCUGCCAACAAGAGCAUUACAGCACAAAACACCUUAUGAAGCUUGGCAUGGUUAUAAACCCUCACUUCAAAACUUAAAAGUGUUUGGAUGCUUAUGUUUCACUCAUAUACCUCAGGUGAAAAGAGAUAAGCUUGACAGGAAGGCUGAAGCUGGAAUUUUCUUGGCUAUAGCAAUGUCACAAAAGGCUAUAGAGUUUAUCAACCUGCAACUGAAAAAGUCAUAAUCAGCAGAGACAUUAAAUUCGUUGAAGCUGAAAAAUGGAAUUUUGAAGAUACAACAAGCAAUGCAAGUAAGGAGAUCAUGCAAGAUUUUGAUAAAGAUGUUGAUGACACACCAGUCAGAGGAACCAGACUUCUUGCAGACAUUUAUCAAAGCUUCAAUGUGGCUGUGCUUGAACCUGCAGAAUAUGAGGAGGCCAAAAAUGAUCCAAGAUGGGUCACAACAAUGAAAGAAGAGCUAAGCAUGAUUGAGAAGAAUCAAACAUGGAAUUAGUGGAUAUGCCGACACAUAAAAAACCCAUUGGUGUGAAAUGGGUUUACAGAAAAAAUUGAAUGCAGAUGGCACUAUCAACAAACACAAAGCUAGGCUUGUGGUCAAAGGCUAUGCACAAGUCUUUGGUGUGGAUUUUUCAGAAACAUAUGCCCCAGUAGCUCGACUUGACACCAUCAGAAUGUUGCUAGCAAUUGCAGCUCACAAAGGUUGGAAAAUAUUUCAACUUGAUGUGAAGUCUGCAUUUUUGAAUGGUUACCUGCAGGAGGAGAUUUACGUGGAACAACCUAAAGGUUUCAUGGUAGAAGGAGAAGAAGACAAGGUUUACUUAUUGAAGAAAGCUUUAUAUGGACUGAAACAGGCUCCAAGAGCCUGGUAUAGCAGGAUUGAUGAGCAUUUACUCAAACAUGGCUUCAACAAAAGUUUGAGUGAAUCGACCUUAUAUAUCAAGAGUUCAAACACUGGUUUUAUGGCUGUUUCACUUUAUGUGGAUGAUUUAUUUGUUAUAGGUAACAAUUCAACCAUGAUGGACAUCUUCAAAGCUGAAAUGAUGGAAGUUUUUGAGAUGACAGACCUUGGUGAAAUGUCCUAUUUUCUUGGCAUGGAAGUGCAGCAAAAUCAGCUUUUGAUCUUUGUUUGCCAACAAAAGUAUGCCAAAGAGAUUCUGAAGAAAUUCAAAAUGGAAGACUGCAAAUCAAUGACCACGCCCAUGAAUUUGAAAGAGAAGUUCAGUAAAGAAGAUGGGGCAGACAAGGUGGAUGAAGCAAUUUACAGGAGCUUAAUUGGGUGUCUAAUGUACCUUACGGCAACAAGGCCAGACAUCAUGCAUGCAGUGAGCUUAUUAUCUAGGUUCAUGCAUUGUGCUAGUGAAAUACACUUCAAGGCUGCAAAAAGAGUGGUGAGAUACAUAAAAGGUACACUAAACUAUGGCAUUCAGUUUAGUUGUGCUGAAAACUUCGACCUACAAGGAUAUGCAGAUAGUGAUUGGGCUGGCAGCUAUGAUGAUAUGAAGAGCACGUCUGGAUAUUGUUUUAGUUUUGGAUCAGGAAUUUUCUCCUGGUGUUCCAAAAAACAAGAAGUUAUUGCUCAAUCAACGGAAGAAGCAGAGUAUGUUGCAGCUACUGCAGCUGCAAAUCAAGUCUUAUGGCUUAGAAAAAUCCUAGCAGAUCUGGACAUGGAGCAAAGGGAAGCUACUAAAGUUAAUGUUGACAAUCAAGCUGCAAUUGCAAUAUCUAACAAUCCAAUUUUCCAUGGGAAAACAAAGCAUUUCAAGCUCAAGUAUUAUUUUCUGAGAGAAGUUCAGAAAAAUAAAAAACUGCAACUGAUUUAUUGCAAGACAGAAGACCAGCUUGCUGAUAUAUUAACCAAGCCAUUGCCAAAAGCAAGGUUUGAAACUUUGAGGAACAAGAUAGGAGUCUGCAGCAAAAGAUGCAAGGAGGAGUGUUGACAGUUGCCUCAUUUGCUGCUGAAGAAGAGGUCUUCAAUGCUGUGAAGAUCCAGUCAAGAUUGACUCCAGAUUGUUAGGAUGUUAGUUGCAAAUAAAGCUGUCAUAGAUCAGAUCUUUCUCUGUUUUUAUCUUUUCAAUAUUUUUCGGAAUUCUGUUAUCAAACUUUUCUAUAAAAAAGUGUUUUAUCAAUAAAGAAAGUACACUUCAAUUCAUAACAUUUAUAUCUUUAUCUUAUUGCUGAGUUCUUGCCUGUUCUUAUACAAUUUGUUACUGUCGUAAACUACAUUCUUUCACAAAUUAACCACAGAAAUGUGGUUAAGCUUUUGGGCUGAAGUUCCAUUGUUGGUCUAUGAAUUCAUUCCUAAUGGGACACUUUCCCAGUUUCUCCACUACCCAAAUGAGGAACUCCCAUUAACAUGGGAAAUGCGCUUAAGGAUUGCAACAGAGGUAGCAGGGGCACUCUCCUACCUGUAUUCAGCAGCUUCGAUCCCCAUUUAUCACAUAGACAUCAAGUCUACAAACACACUGUUGUAAGCAUUGACCAGACUCAUGUCAAAACUCUGGUACCUUUGGAUACUUGGAUACAGAGUACUUACAAUUAAGCCAGUUCACCGACAAGAGUGAAAGACAAAAGGCAUAUACUUGGAUACUUGCAUAUAGCUUUGGUGUAGUCCUCGUCGAGCUACUCCCUGGACAAAAGGCAGUAUCCUUUAGCAGAUCGGAUGAUGAAGCCAGAAGUUUAGUCGCAUGAAAGACAACCAUCUGUUAGAUAUUCUUGAUCCUCAAGUCAUGAUGCAAGGGAAGAAAGGGCAUGUGUUGAUGGUUGCUACCUUGGCUAUGAGUUGCUUGGGGUUAAAGGGGAAAGAAAGGCCUCCGAUGAAAGAAGUUGAUUAAAAAAAAAUCACUUAGGAAUCAAAUUUCAGAGAAGGAUUUCAACAUUUCACACGAGAUUGAAAUAUGAUAAUGGUUAUGAAGUAAUUGAUGUUCGUCGGGACCUUGCUUCUACCUCAAUAGGCUUUGGUUUUGACAAUGGUGUUGCUUCUUCAAAAGAAACAACACUACUCUUGCACACAUUUUAGAAUUUUUUUUCUUUUUUGUAAUUUUAUGUUUUGUUGUAACCAAAUAGUUGCUCCUGAUCAUAUGAAUAAUAUAAAGAAUUUUUUUUAUUUUCCAUUUUUUUAGUAUCCAUUGUUCUUGAUAGUAUCCACAACACUAUCAAGAACAACGUUCGUACGUAGAUUUAUUUGGUGAUAUAUGUAUCCUUGACUGGUUCAAGAUGACGCACUCCAUGAGCAUGCUGUGUUGGUCACAGGCAUUCAUUAUCAGUCAAGAAUGGCUCCUGGAAUAAAUAGAGUUUCGAAACUUAUUCAAAUAUUAAUUUAAACCUUGAAAAGUUAUGAUACCGCAAGUCCAGUGAUGGUAAGAAGGAAAUCAUUUGACAUUUCUAUAAUUUCUAGCAUUCACGCGUUAUGAUUGAUUAAUUUCCUUGCAAGAAUUAAAUUAACCAAGAUAUUUCUUUCUUUUCUAGAUGAAUGGACAAUGAAUACGUCAAAAAAUUAAGAAUUAAUUCAUAAUUACAUAAUUAUAUAGUUUAUCAGAACUAAUAAUUAAUGAGUCCUUUAGUAUGAAAAAAAUUACUUAAUUCGUUCACAAAUGUUUUUAAUUUGGCACUUUUAUUUUCAAAAAUCUCUUUUCUUCUUUAUCAAAUUUUCUCAUCUUAGACAUUACACAUCUUUUCUUUCUUUCAUAUAUUAUCAGUCAAGAAUGGCUGUAGAAUUUAUUGGGGUGCGAAAUUUCAAACCUUAUUUAAUGAUUAUUUUAAAAAAAUAAAAAUAUAUAAUAAUACAUUUUUAAAUAAAAAAAUAUUUUUUAAAAAACCGUUAUUAUACUUUCAAAUACAUUUUAAUUAUUAAUACUUAACUCAAGAAAUAGAGAACUCACUCAAUAAAAAAAACAACACCUAUCUUUUCUUAAAAAAAAAAUACAAUUUUUUUUUCUUGAAUUUUUACUAAAGAUUUCAAAUAUUAACUUAACUCUACCAUCAGUUUAUUACAUUGAAAAAAAAAAUUAAUAUGAUCAUGGCUUUUCUAUUAUCUUCACUCUUCGGGACCAUUUCAUUGAAGAUCACAGUUUUGUUCCAUGCAUGAUUGCUUGAUUUUUAUCCCCUUCAUGAAAUCCUUUAUAUAUAUGCGCGUGCAGUAAAAAUUGUUAACAAGCUUUUUCUAAUUACGGGCAGCUAAAGCACACAAUUACAAGAAAAAAGGAGGCAAGUGCUACAAGUCUAAAACCAAUACCACAAGCCUAUUUAAGUUUUACAUACAGACACAAAAUUAAAACAUGUAGUAAAUAAUUUCAACAUGUAUGUAAGAGUGGUUUUUCAUCAAGUGAUGAAGGAGCACCAAUAUCGAAGCUAGAAAUUGUUGAGGCAGAAGUAACAUCCCAAGGUGCUCCCAUCACUUCAUUUCUGUCAUAUUCAUUCUCUUGUUGGACGAUCAAGUUUUCGGAUUUUAUAAUCCUCUCCAACACCAUUGUGACUUCUUUCAUCGUAGGCCUUUCUUUCCCAUUUAACCUCAAGCAGCUCCUAGCCAAGCUAGCUACCAUCAGCACUUCCUCUCUUUCCCCUUGCUUCACAGCCUGAGGAUCAAGAAUAUCAAACAGACAGUUGCUCUCCAUGGCCAUUAUGAAAUAUGCGGCUAAACUUCUGCCUUCUUCUGAUCUUGUGAACGAGAUUGCCUUCUGCCCAGUAAGCAGCUCAACAAGAACUACACCAAAGCUAUAGACAUCACUCUUGUCUGUGAAUUGGCUUGAUUGGAAGAACUCUGGAUCCAAGUACCCAAAGGUGCCUUGUACUUGAGUAGUGACAUGAGUCUGGUCGAUGCUUACGGACCUUGAAGUCCCAAAAUCUGCAACUUUGGCUCUAUACUUCUCAUCAAGCAGGAUGUUUGUAGACUUGAUGUCUCUAUGAAAAAUGGGGAGGGAGGCUGCUGAAUGUAGAUAGAAAAGUGCCCCUGCUACCUCUGCUGCAAUCCUUAAGCGCAUUUCCCAAGUUAAAGGGAAUUCCUCGUUAGGGUCAUGGAUAAACUGGAAAAGGGUCCCAUUAGGAAUGAAUUCAUAGACUAAUAAUGGAAGUUCAGUCUCUAAACAACAACCCAGAAGCUUAACCACAUUUCUAUGGUUAAUUUGGGAUAGAAGGACGACCUCGUUGAUAAAUUGUCUGAGAUUCCCUUCAUCAAUUACUUUGGAUUUCUUGACUGCAACGAUUUUUCCAUCCGCCAACAUCCCUUUGUAAACUGUUCCUUGGCCUCCCUGGCCCAGCGUUCUAUUCACAUUGUAAUGAUCAGUGGCCUUGUCUAAUUCUUUCGAAGGAAACAUUUUGAUUUUCUCAACAUUGACUUCACCUGAAGAUAGUUGUUCUUGCAGUAAGAGACCACCAUUCCUCUUAAAGUACUUUUUCUUUAGUUUUUCACUCCUCUUUCUCUUGAAUACUUUGUACAACCACCACAAACCAAUGAGUAGAAAUAGUGCUCCAAAUCCCACUCCAACACCUGCACAAGUCAACCAAUUGCAUUCAAUUCUUUUAUUAGGGCUGAACUCAGAAAAACAAAUUCUGUGUGUUUGCUUGAGUAAUUGUACAUUGUUAAGCGCAGUGUUGUAGUUUAUCUCGAUAUUCUACUUUAUUCAUGUCAGUUUUGAAAGGAGAAUUUGAUUCUUGAAAAACAGUAAGUUAAAUUUUAGUUUCUUUUUAUAAUUUUGAUGGUCUGCUUUACUAAGUGUACAAAUCUUAUUUUUAAUCUUAUGUGAAGAAAAAAAAAUUAUUACUAAUUAUUCUUACAUUUUUUUUCAAGAGCGCAUUAUUCAUACUUGGGAAUGAAGAAAAUUGUGAAACAACGAUCUAAUUAAAAAUGAAAUUUGAAAAGAAGGGCACAAAAAUGAAUACUUUAGAAGGCUAAAUUGUACGAUUAAUCUCCAUGAGUAUAAUUGGUUAAAAUGGCAUCAACAAAAAAAAUUCAUGUAAUUGGUUCUUGAAUAAAUUGAUUGAUUUGAUUCAGUCCAUCAAUUUACAACAAAUUAUAGUAUGACAUAUAUCAUAAUUUUGCAGAUGGAAAUAUUUAAAACUAGAGUGGUAUAUAAGAGAAAUUUUAUGGUGUUUAUAAAAUAACUAGUGGUAUAAGAAAAAAAUGAUAAGCGAAAAUAUUUUUAGCAUUUUAAUAGUUCAUAGAUUUUAUUUUUAUCUUUCUCCAUGUAUCUGUUUUUAUUUUCAAAGCAAAUAUUAAAAAAUAACUAAGAGAAUGUUAGUAAAAAAAAUUUGUGUGUAUUAUAAAAUUUAUCGUACACAUGUCACAAUAUUUAAUUAAUUAUUACUAGUUUUAGGAGCAUAAAUGUAUAUACUACAAAAAAAGAAAAAGAAAAAUCGUAAGGGGGGCUGCUGAUUGUUUUCUUGACCCAUUUAAAGUGUGACAUAAUCUAUAGUCAUUUCUAUCAUGAUGAUAUAGAGUGAAAAAGCAGCAACAACAUACCUAGGCCUGCCAUGUUAGCUUUGAUUUUACGCCGGUAAUGGGCGUAUGUUCUACCCUCUGCAACACAUGGAGAAACCACAGAGUUGAUGGAUCAGUAAACCAUUCAAUGGUAAACCAUGCCAGAAGAAUCUAUAGAGUAGGAAUUGUAACCAGGAGUUUACCUUGACAACUACCAUAAAUAUAAGGAUUUCCUUUGAAGCCUGGAUUGCAAAAGCAUUGAACGAUGGAGCUCUGGUUGGUUGAAUUAAUGGAAGGAUUCAGAAACCCACACGUAGAAGAAUAAGUUGACUUAUAGGAUGAUGCAUUCAAGACCCUUUCGUCUAUCCCCCAAUCCAGCACUACGGGAACAUAGUCACUCUGACUCAUGUCAUUAGGGUCAACGUUCCCUCCGCCAGAAUAAUACCUCCCGUAGUUGUUGAUCUGUGUUUGAUCAAUUAAAUAGGCAGACCUGCAUUGCUUUUCCCCACUGCUUCCUUUUCCAUCACCUAUCCCCUUCAUGGUUACAUUAAAAACCUUGAGCAAUGAAGGAAUCCUGGUCUGGCAGCAGUUGAUCCCACUGCAGCUAGCCAUCGUGCUAUCACUGUUUUUGUCACAAAUUGACAUACACCCACCAAUAGUAGAUUGAUUUUGGUUCAUCAAGGCAAAAUUGCCACAAGGCCCUGCAAUGAAGUAAUUCUCGGAGGAGAAAACAAACGGGCUUCCUUCCAAGUCAACAACUGUGUUUCUAUCUUUGCCACCACAAUUUGCAAAAACAAUUGGAAACAUGACCUCAAUCGUACUGCGACUAACUGAGAUGUAACUCACCUCCAGAUCAGUGCCGUUUACUCUAAGUUUAGGAAGUACUCCACUACUGGAGUUGCAGAGUAUUUUGAACCUUUCGUCUAGGUAACAUCCUUUUUCCUGUCCAAAGGGAAAUAGAAUAUCAAUGCCUCCACAAGAAGAUUCACAAUCACGCAAUGGCAUCAUAACCUGUGAUUCUGCAGUACGCAAUGACCAGAACAACAGGAUGACCUGAAAUACUGUUAACUCAACAGCUGCCAUAUCCUUUUUCUUCUUCUUUCAGACAGAGUAGCUUUUUAGAAGAGAGAAGCUAUAAAACGGGCUCUUACUUGGCAAGCAACCCAGCCAUAUGUUAAGUUAUACAAAAUCCUCUUCUUCUUUCAACUUAUUCUUUCUUUCUUUGUUUUUUCCUUUCGCCUUCCAUGAGUAGAAAGUUCAAAACCAAAGUCUUUAGAACCACACAAAGAAUUAAGCAGCCAGACUUGACCGAGUCAGUCAAUUACACUAUUAAUUAACAGAUACUCUAACACACUUAGGUUUUUUUUCUUCUUUUUAUUCGCUUUUAUUUCUUCAUUUUUUUUACAUGUUUUUUUUUUACCCAAAAUUGACUUCUUCUUCUUUUUCUUUUUUAAUUUUUUUUUUCAAAAUUAUCUUUGCUAAUAUUUUUAAAUAUUGAGCUGUUUGAAAAAUUAACUAUGUAGCUUUUUUCUUUAAACUAUUGUGGAUUGCUAUAAUAUUCUAAUACAUUGUUUUUUUUUUUAUAUAAUUCUUUCCAUACAUAGUUUUUGCUUUACUGCAAUGUUUCCCCAUAUAUUUUUUUAAAAAAUUAUCUUUAUUGAAUUUAUUUUUUCAAUAUUAAGCUGGUUGAUAAUCUAUCUUUAGCUUUCCCCACAUGUUUUUUUUAUUUUUUAUAUUUGUUUUUACCCAAAAUUUACUUCUUUUUUUUUAAAUAGUCUUUGUUGGUUUUUUUUUAUAUAUUGAGCUAGUUGAGAACUUAGCUUUGUAGUUUUUUUCAAAAAAAAAAAAAAAACACUAUGGAUUACUACAGUGUUUUUCUUACAUGGUUUUUGUUUGGCUGCAAUGUUUCCCUCACAUGUUUUUUUUUUUAAAAUUAUCUUUGUUGAAUUUAUUUUUUUAAUAUUGAGUUGGUUGAGAAUUUAGCUUUAGCUUUUCCCACUUUUUUUUUUUUUUUUGAAUUUUUCUCAAAAUUGUCUUUCUUCUUUAUAUUUUAUUUUUCUUUUUUCAUAAUUAUUUUUUUUGAUUUUAUUUUUUUACUAUUAAGCUGAUUGAGAAUUUAGUUUUUUUAAUUUUUUUCUUUAAAACACUAGAUUGCUACAGUAUUUCUCUACAUGGUUUUUUAUUAAAUAAGUUUUUUUCAGAAUUAUGUUUGUCGAAUUUAUUUUUUUCAUAUUAAGCUGAUUGAGAAUUUAGCUUUGUAGUUAUUUAAAACAUAGUAGAUUGCUACAGUGUUUUUCCAUAUGAUUUUUGCCUUGCUAUAGCGUUUCCUCACAUGUUUUAUUUAUCGAUAUUUUUUUUCCAAAUAUGUUUUUGUCAAAUUUAUUAUUUUCAUAUCGAGCCGGUUGACAAUUUAGCUUUUUUUUCUUAAAACAUUGUAAAUUGCUAAAGUGUUUUCCCAUAUGAUUUUUUUAGUUAUGUUUUUUUUUUUUGAAUUGUCUUUGUCGUUUUUAUUGUUUUUAAUAAUGAGCUGGUUAAAAAUUAUUACUGUAGAUUUUCUCAUGAAACACUAUAGAUUGUUAUAGUAAUCAAAUUAAAAAAUUACACAAUAUAUAUAUAUAUACUAGCCAUGAUACCAACACUAUGCUGCGGGUGUUAAAAUUUGCAAUAUUUUUUUUUGCACAUGUUAUAUAGGAAUAUGUAGCAUAUUCAUAAAGUUAGUUGCAAAAGUUAAGUGGAGAUAGUUAAAUUCAAGCGUAACAAAAGCAUCUAGAGGUAAUACUUUAUGCUUUAUACAUAUAGAUAUAGAAUUAGACGCUAAUGAGCGGCAAGUUGUAUUAACAACGCAGAUGAUGAAGACGUCGAAUGAGGUUGCGAUGUUGGAUAAGAAAGCAUUGAUUAACUGAACGUUAAUCGUUUUCCUAUUGUAAAAAAUAAGUGUAAUGGUAAGUUAUAAAUUAUGCAAAGCGAUAAAUAUUAAAUGUUUUUAAAGAUAAAUCAGAAAUGAGAAAUAAAGAUGUAAUUGUUGUUGAGCAUGUGAGUUCACAAAGAAAGGAAAGUAAUUAGAAGUAGAUGCUUACCUUUUCAGGUGAUGAAAUGGAGAGGUGCUGCUUCUUUGAAAGUUGUGGUGCAGGAUUGUCAUCAUUUUUGUAGACAUGUUCCUUUGAUGAGUCUGCAAAAUCUUUCAAGGGUCUUGGAUGGGGAAGUUGGGUGCUGAAUCAUAUAUUGAAAGGAAGUACGUAAGGAAUGGCAAGUGUAAACAAUAUGAAGAAUCAAGUAAUAAUUUUCAUGGGAAUGAAUGUAGAUGAAUUAUGAGAUAGUGGUGUGUGGCAGGUUAAUAUCUUGAAAUCAAAAAAUAAGAAUAAAAAUAAUGAUACAGUUUAAAAGGAUUCAAUGGGAUGAAUAUUAUAUUAGGGAAUGCAUAUUAGUUUGGUAGGUACCAAAACAUCACUCUCUGGCCAUUGUGAUACCAAAAUAAUAUAUUAAGAAUGAAAAGGAAGACUAUUUAUAAAGUUGUAGAUCAGCCAAGGAAUAAUUGUUAAAGGAAUGCAUAUGACGGAAAUGAGAUAUUGGCUUCGGCUGGUGUGUUAUCUUUGCACUGGGAAAUAAGAAAUCAAGAUUUAUGAUGGUUGAAGCACCAUCGCGCAGGGUCAUAAAUUGUUGGUACAAUACAUGAAUUAUUUGUUAUGUGCGGGGAAGCAAAACAAACAUGUCGUGUGGCUCAGCAUCAUUAAAGGUUAGUGCUCUUUUUGACUGGCGAUGGUAGCUGUGAUGAAACGUGUCUUUUUGUGGAGAGGUGUGUUGCUGUGAAGCUGGAGUGUGAAUUUGAGAUUGAUCUACAUCCAGGGAUCUGCAAGGUUCGGUGUUGGAGGGGUGAAAGUCAUGGAACUUCCAGCAGCAGAGGUUAUUGAGGUUGUUGUGUCAACAUCUUUAAUGGGGCUAGCUGGGCUAACAGAUGCUUCAGUUGGAAAUCGAAGAUGUUGCAAACAUAUAUUUCACAUCUGCUGAGAAGAGAUUUGUAUGCUCCAAAUCGAAGCUGAAAUAUUUUUGUUUUGUUUAAUUUCUCAAUCAUUUGAGGUGGAACAAUGAAUGGGUCAGUGAAUUUUUUAUCGAACACCAAAUGAUGAGCUGAAGCAUUGAAAAAAUACUCAGCUGUCUUGCCAGAGAGAAGAAAGUUGGUGACAUCUUGACCAUCACUAACGAUGCAAUUAAUUCUGAACCUAAAAGAUAUGAAAAAGAGCUUCGGUUAAUAACGAAAUAAAAGCAUGGGUUAAUAUAUGUUUCAGUUGAAAACGCAAUGAUGUUUUGGUAUGUAUAUUAGUUGAACCAAGGGACUGGUGCAGAGGUUGGAUAGUCAUGCUCCAUGCAUCAUAAACUAUUAAAGAGUUCAGAGAGUGGCUUGUUGCAAUCUGGACAGCUUUGACACCACCAUCCCUUGAAGAGAUCAUAAUCAACUAUGAAAGCUUUACAUGUAAAUCUUUCAUUCUGCAGGUGUCAAUUAAAGUAGAAAGUCAUAUAAUUUUUUUGAUAAAAACGAAGGUGAUGCAGUGUUGAUGAUUGUUAACAGUAGUGUAAUUAUAACAAUAGCAUUUACCUGUAAUAUUAGGAAAUUGAAUGAAUAGAAACCACUUGCCAGAACAAUAACGAAGAAAGCUUCUUCUCGCAGCAGAGUCCCGAGAAGAAGCUUUUCCGGCUUUUGUCCUAAGCAAUAAAUCAACAAUAUGCGGCAAGCAGCUAAUUUCCAUAUGCAAGAUGGCACUAAGUCAUUUAUAAGCAAAUUUGAAUUCUAGCACCAGAAACGGACAAUUUGAAUUCUGAUAAUCACUCACCCACCCACCCAUCCUCUUAGAGCUACUUGUUACGGCGUUGAAACUUGAAAGGCUUUUAAUUUUACAAAAGCUUCCCUGUAAUUUUCAGCCCCCAUUUCCCAUCCUUAUUAUCAUAUGGUUGAACAGACACACUUAUAUAUGAACUUUAAAUUUUGAAUUAAAUAAUUAACCAUAUGCGCUUUCUCUUUAUACGGCUGUUCCAAAAAAGAUAAUGUAAUUGCAAAAACAUUAAGAUUUAUAUAGCAAGUUUUGAGUUUAAACCACAACAUGUAUUUUUUAUAAAAUUCUAAGAUAGCUAGAAUUUUACUUACUCAUUUCAAUUUAUAAAAUACAUUUUUUAAGAAAUGACGUUUAAUCAGAACCAAAAAAUAAAGUAAUAGUAUGGGAAUUUUAAGACUUAAUUAAUCUUUCUCAAGGACAAAAUCAAUACUGCAAUUGAUAUAUUAAACUUUUUCAUCACAUGAAUUAGGAAAUGCUGUCUUUGAGUUAACGAACAAAACAUGCAACUCUUUGAUUCGACAAAGCUUGGUCUCUUUUCCAUUCUUUCAAACUCGUCCUCUUUAAUGUAUUCAGGUGCUAGUUUUCAAACAAGCAGUAUUUAAUAUAAUAAAUAUUGUUUUGAGCCUUUUCAUGACAAAAAGUCUGUUGAAUAUUAUUUCGAAAAAGAUUCAUUUUUCAUAUUUUUUAUUUUUAUUUUUUUAAGAAGACAAAAAAUUAAACAGUACAUAUCAUUGAAUAUUGAUGAUAUUUUAUUCAAGUUACACCUAUGAACCAUGGGAAACUCUUGCACCAUUUUGUUUUUUUUAAGUGCAAGAGCAAUUUUUUUAAUUUUAAAAUAUUUUUUGAUGUUUUAAAAUUAUUUUUUUAUAUUAAUGUUAAAAAUAAAAAAAUAUAUAUAUUUUUAAAUAAAUAUUUUAAAAAAUAAAUCUAAAUAGGCUCUCCAAUCAUUUGAGCGAAAGAUUAAAACUAUAAGUAUUUUGUCUAAUAUUCUAUACACUCCGCAUUAAAAAUAGGAAAGGAAAAAAAGGGGCUAGGGGAAUCUUUUGAAAUAUAUGUCAAAAAAGAGAGAAUCAAAGGCCACAGUUGAAGGGGCUCCUAUAAAGCCAUCCUAUACAGCAAGCAGUUUUGUUUUGUUUGCAAUAAGCAAUAUUUAAAAAUAACAUAAUAGAUACCUUGUGUUCAAAUGGGUCCAUACAGAGGAUCUCUCUUAUUGUUCUCCUAUUUUCAUUUAUUUGAGUUUGCAAUGAUAUAUAGAACAACUCCUGAUGAUGGAGGCAACUGGUGCAAGUCAACAGGCAGUUGAGCAUAGCUACGUAAAGAUAAAGAAAAAGGUGUUGAGAAUUAAUUUAAACAUUAAUAUAUAAAUUGGAUUUUAACAAAUGUAAAAGGUUCGAAGAAUAUAGAAAUUUUACUAAUGUUUGUAUGCUAAUAACUCUGGUAUGUCCGGGUUAAAAUACCAAAGUGAAGCUGCGGUGCCAAUUAGAUUUGCAGAUCCUACAAAAAAUGUAAUAAAUACAUAUUUACUGGUGUAUAUUUAAUGUCAAGAGGUUAUGAAACCUGAACUGAAAAGCUAAUAAAACUGAAUGAUGGCAGCCUUGAUCAUAGAACGAAGAAUACCUCUAAAUUCAGAGACACGAAAACCAGCAAAAGCAAUGAUAACUGAAGAAUUCCUAUUAUGCCAAAGAAGCGUCACCAAAGCUUCGAGCAAUGUCACCCCAUAAAGUAAUACGAAGCUCAUCGCCACUAAAUAAAAUAAAAGCAUAUUAUAGUAAUGCUAGCAGGAAUUCAAUAUAAUAAAUAAAUUUAAUUUAUCAUUAACCGUAUAUUUUCAAUGAUGAACUCUCUUUUGUCUUCAAGUGUUUGCCCUCGAACCAAAAAUUUUUCGAUUGGUUGUAUUGCUUUCAGCCUACCAAGAACAUCUAUAUAAAUAAUUGAAUAAUUGUGUUAGUGUAAUGAAAAAACUACGUAUGAUACAGUUGGGUAGAUAAGGUUAAGAAUGAAGAAUACCUGUGAGAAGUCUUGAUCCUUUUUCUUUGUUAAGGACAUGUGCAAAAUUCGUGAAAUUAAAGUAAUAUCGUGGAAUCGAAAGUGGGAGAGAAUUGAGGCGAGUUUCUUUGGUGUUAGACUUAAGAUCAAUAACAGCUUCAUGGCCAACAACAACAUUCAUGUAUCGAUUUUCAAAGGUGUAGAAGUUUUUGACUUCAUAAUAUUCACCUUUAGUAAUGAUUGAAGAAAAAUGUGCAGCAUCUCUAGAUUUGGCUGAUCCUUGUAUUGCACCACCCUUGUUCAUCAAAAUAAGGUAAAUAAUUGGUGUCAAUGCAUAAUGGUAAGGUUAAAAUAUACAGAAUGAUGGAUGAGAAGAAAAAGUAAUCUUGAGCAUGGUAAAAUUAUAGCCUCUGGUUUUGAGGUCUGAUUGAUAAAAUCAUUUUGUGUCAUUCAUGUAGGGAUAUGUUAUUCUUAAGAAUUUGUUUUGUUAAUGCAGACAAUAAGGGGUGGUUGUUUUUGGCUAUAAUAUUAGAAAAAAUUGAAGAGGUUUUUCGUAUUGCACUAUGUUCUAUCUGUAAAUUUAGUUGAAUGGGUUAGUUGUAUAAUUGUGGUCCUAUAAGAAUUUCAAACUAUUAUUGUUAAUGAAUGAAUUAUUCUUAGCAUCUGUACAUAGGUAUGGUUAGUUUAUUAAGUUUGAAAAGACUAUAGAAAUAAUAAAAGUAUUUGUGUGGCAAAUAAGGGAUUGAUUAUAUUCCUUAAAUAUAUCCAAAAAAAAAGAAAAGAAUGCAAGCAGAGGCAAGAAUUUGAAGAAAACAAUAAUAAAGGUCAUAUUAGCAGAUAUGUUGCAUACCUCACGAUCAACAAACAGACAAUUGAAGUUUGUUGGUUGUCCAUUUUGUUUCGAAACCCAAACACGACAUACCUGAGCUCGGAUUAAAGGGUAGAAAACAUAUUUUUUAAUGUUGUGCAAAUGAAUAGCCAUUAUUCUGCAUAAAAAAAAGAGUAAAAAAUCAACAAAUAAGUGAAUAAUUAAAGAUGAGAUUAAAAUAUAAAGACAACAGUAGAUGCAAAUGGAAGUUAGAUAUGAAAAUAUAAAGAUAAUAUGGCAGAAAAGUGUCAUCAAAAAAGUAUAAAUCCUAUUUAAUUGCAUGAAGUUGAGAAUAAUGGAAUGUGUUAGGUUGUGCCUUAGCCAACCUUCCUAUUUAUAUAGAGGCAGUAGAACACUGCAGUAACUGUAAUGAUUACAACAUCCUAUAUUAGAAUCCUAUUCUGAUAGAUACAUGAGUAACUGUAAUGAUUACAACAUCCUAUAUUAGAAUCCUAUUCUAUAAUAUGCCCCCUCAAGCUGAGGGUGGGGGAUCAACCCGAAGCUUGAAUCGAAAAGUAGUAAAGGAUGCAACAGGAAGCGGUUUAGUGAAGACAUCGGCAAGUUGAUCUCGAGAGGGAAUAAAACGAAUCUGAAUUUCUUUCUUAGCAACACGGUCUCGGACAAAGUGAUAAUCCACUUCAACAUGCUUAGUACGAGCAUGGAAGAUAGGAUUUGCUGAGAGAUAGGUAGCACCAAGAUUAUCACACCAAAUGGUAGGGGCAAAGACUGAGGGAACCUGCAAAUCUGUUAACAAGUAUUGAAGCCAAAUGACUUCAGCGGUACCAUCAGCAAGGGCUUUAUACUCAGCCUCAGUAGAGGAGCGAGCAACAGUGCGUUGCUUGCCGGAUUUCCAAGAAAUCGGCGUCUGACCAAAAAAGACAAGAUAGCCGCCCGUAGACUUGCGAUCAUCAAUACUACCAGCCCAAUCUGCAUCUGUAAAGCCAUGUAGAGCAAAAGAGGAGCCUCGAGUGAUAUGGAAACCAUAAGAUGUCGUACCUUUAAGAUAGUUUUUGACAGCGGCCCAAUGAGAAUCUGUAGGAGCAUGCAUAAACUGACAGACUCUGUUAACAGCAAAGCAUAUAUCUGGACGGGUGAAGGUAAGAUAUUGAAGAGCACCCACGAUUUGACGAAAUCGUGUAGGAUCAGAGAAUGAAUGAUCCGGUAAUAAAAUGACUUUCGAAGGGGAGACUGGAGUAUCAACUGGUUUGCAGGAAGUCAUACCAGCUCGGGUGAGGAUGUCAAGAAUAUAUUUAUGUUGACGCAGCAUUAAACCCAUACUGGUAGACUGAACUUCAAUACCCAGAAAGUAGUGAACAACACCUAAGUCACGAAGCUUGAACUCAGAGCUGAGUAACUGUAUAAGGUGAUGGAGCAUAGCAGAGUUGCUACCGUGAGCAGAAUAUCAUCAACAUACACCAGGAGAUAAAAGAUAUUAGUACCAUCAGAUAAGAUAAACAGGGAGGUGUCAACCUUGGAAGCUCGGAAACCGAUGGAGAGCAAAAAAUCACUUAGACGAGUGUACCAUGCUCUCGGUGCCUGUUUCAAACCAUACAAUGAUUUGUGCAAUCUGCACACAUGAGAUGGAAGAGAAGAGUCAACGAAACCUGGAGGUUGUUUCAUGUAGACCUCUUCAGUAAGAACACCAUUGAGGAAGGCAUUAUGAAUAUCAAGCUGAUGAAUCUUCCAAUUUCGCGAAACCGCGAUAGAGAAAACCAAUCGGACAGUGGCCUGCUUAAUAACUGGACUGAAGGUUUCAGAAUAAUCAAUACCUUCCUGCUGGGUAAAACCUCUAGCAACAAGCGCGCUUUAUAGCGCUCAAUACUACCAUCAACACGACGUUUGAUCCGAUAUACCCAUCUACUGCCAACAACGUUCAUCGAAGGAUGAAAUGGAACCAAAGACCAAGUGCGAUUUUCGCGUAAAGCGGCGAUCUCAUCACACAUAGCAUUAUGCCAAACUGCAUACCGGUCAGCAUCAGAGAAUGCAAAAGGCUCAGAAGAGGUACAGUACCCGUGUGGAGGUAGAAGUAGCGGCAGCGGAAGCAACCAGAUUAGCUGUCUUCGGCUGCCGCGGUCUAAGAGUCAUAGGAUGUCUGCUGUGCUGGUGGAGACGCAGGGGAAGACGGUUGUAGCGAGGAGACCUGUGGCAGCUGAUAAGAAGACAAAUCAACCAUAAGUUGCAGACCAGCGGGAGAGGAUGAUAAAGAAGCAGCCUCAAGCACAGGACUGUCAGCAGAGGAGGGGCUGGAAGUAGAGACUGAAGCUGCAGGAGUGCUGGCCAGGGGGGCGAAGCAGAGGAGGGACUAGAAAGUGCCCCAAGACCAUGAGGAGAGGAGACCAAUUGACGAUCUGAACCUGCAUCAUAAGGGUUAGAUAAACAAGCAUGGGAUGAUGGCCAAGGGAUGGGUGGAGGCUGUGGUCGGGUGGCUGUUUGGAGUGGCAAAGCGGAGUGUUGUGGGCUGUUUGGGUGGCUAGUGAAAGUGGGUGUGGGUGGUUUAGCAAAUUUGGGAGGGUGACAGUAGCGGGUGGGGUGGGGUUGUGGUGGAGACCUUUGCAAUCUGUUCAGAAUUAUCAAAUGGAAACACAUGUUCAUGGAAGCGGACAUGACGGAAAUAUAAAUACGGUGAGAUGCAAUGUCAAGACAUCGAUAACCAAGAUGCGAGGAACUAUAUCCAAAAAACACACAUGGAGAGGAACGAAAAUCCAAUUUAUGAUUAUUAUAUGGACGCAGAAAAGGAAAACAGAGACACCCAAAGGUACGCAAAAAAUGAUAAUCAGGAGACCGUUGAAAUAAACAAUCAAACGGAGAGCGAUGGGCAAGAAUAGGAGUAGGCAUGCGAUUUAUAAGAUAAACAGAGGUUUCAAAAGCAUAAUUCCAGAAUCGAAAAGGUGCUUUACAUUGCCCUAAAAGAGUAAGACCUGUUUCCACAAUAUGCCUAUGACGACGCUCUACUGUUCCAUUUUGUUCAUGAGUGUGGGGACAAAUCAGACGAUGAUGAAUACCAAUGGUCUGAAAAAAUGUGGAUAGUUUUCGGUAUUCACCGCCCCAAUCAGUUUGAACAGAUUUUAUUUUUAAUGAAAAUUGACGUUCGACAAGAGUCUGAAAUUGAUGAAAAACAGAGUAAACAUCAGACUUGGCAACGAGAGGAUAAUACCAUACAUAUUUAGUAUAAGCAUCAACAAAGAUAACAAAAUAACGAUAGCCAUCUGAAGAAAAAAGAGGAGCAGGGCCCCAUACAUCACUAAAAAUUAAUUCAAGUGGAGCAGAAGUUUUGUGACCGUAGGUCCUAAAGACAAACGCGAUGAUUUUCCUAAAGGACAACUUUGACAUUGAAAAUUAAGACGUUUGUUGUUACAAAUGAUCUUAUUUUUCGAGAUUAACAAUUGAAAAAUACGUGAAGUAGGAUGACCUAGUCGACGAUGCCAUAAAUCGGCAGAGGCAGAAGUGCAGGGAGACCAAUAGGCUUGAGGAACUGACGUGACGAAGACUUGGUCAGGGCAUAGAGACCAUCUUUACUCUGACCUGAGAGAAGGACUUCAUGGGUGUUGAAAUCCUUGACAUAAAACACACGAGGGUGAAAUUCAAAAUAAACAUUAUUAUCAAGACAAAAUUUCUGAACAGAGAGAGAGGUUUUGUGAUUGCAGGAACAUGAAGAACAUUAGAUAAGGUGAAAGAACGAUGUGGUGUAUAUAUUUUUGUAUGACCAAGAUGAGAUAUAGGAAGGCCCUUACCAUCACCAACAUGCAAAUUAUCAUUACCAAGAUACGGUUCUGAAGCGGUCAAGGUGGCAAGAUCAGGUGUGACGUGUUGAUUGGCACCGGUAUCUGGAAACCAAUCAACAGAACCGGUUGAGGAGAGAUUGCGCUGCACCAGGUUGGCAGUAGGUUGUUGGCCAUAACCUCGCUGCUGGAAUUGAGGGCAAUGGGGAGCUGUAUGGCCGAAAUUCUGACACAGUUGGCAGCGUGGAUUCUGCCCCUAUUGCGCUGCCAAGAGCCCUGCCUAUUGUCACCGAAGGAGGAGUUUUGGAAGCUGCGGUGAUCAGGUCUGGAGCCAGCAAAUCGGUUGCCUCUGCUGUUGGACUGGUUGGGACGCCAGCCACCGUUGAAGCGGCCCUACGCCAGAAUUGCCAAAAGUCUGGCGCUGCAACAAGAGCAGAAGAUGGAAUGCUGGGUGUGGGCAGCAGAGGAGCAUGUAUGGCAGCAGAAGAUUUGUGAAGAAAUUCAUGUGUGAGGAGAUGGCUGUGAAGAUCUGCAUAUGAUAAAGGUUCAGCCUUGGUAAUAAGACUGGUAACUAAGUCUUUAAACUCUCCCCGAAGACCACGAAACACAUAUAAAUUGAAAUCUUCAAGCGAAACUGGCCGACCAGCAGCGGCCAAUUCAUCAAAUAAGGCCUUCGCUUUUUGCAUAAAUUGAGUUACUGAUUCAUCACCCUGUCGAAGAUCCUGAAGAGAGCCGUGAAGUUGCAUAAUACGAGAGUUGGAGGUGGAAGCGAGAGCUCGCUCAAGAGUGCCCCAAGCUGAACAAGAACUUUGACAGCCAACAACAAGAUGCAAAACUUCCAUAGAUAGGGAGGAAAGAAGAGCACUUAGAAUGAGUUGGUCCUGUUGUUUCCAGGUUUGAAAAAGCGGAUUUACCUGAAGAGAGAUACCAUCAUGGGCAAGAACAUGUGUUGAUGGACAUGUGUUGGAGCCAUCAACAAAACCAAAAACUCCUUGGCCUAGGAGAUAAGGCAGCAUCUGCAUACGCCAAUAUAAAUAAUUGGUGUUUGUUAAUUUGAGGGAGAUGACUUGAUGAGUGUGAGAAAGGGAGAUAAUGCUUGCGGCAGUAGAGGCAGCAGACGUGGGCUGCAAGAGGAGGCGUUCACCAGCCAUGGCAGAGGAGAAUCCAGGCGGUGACGCAGUAGAGGAAAGCAGAGGAGGCGCUGCAAGAGAAGAGGGUUGCACUGUCGGAGAAGAAGAAAGCUGGACUGCUGGUGCUGCAGAAUUUGAAGAUGUAUGUGGCGGCUGUUCCAUUGAAGAAGGGAGGUUGGGAGGCUAUGAGAAAAUUAGGUUUAAUUUAUUUUAGGGUUUUGUGGCUCUGAUACCAAGUUGAGAAUAAUGGAAUGUGUUAGGUUGUGCCUUAGCCAACCUUCCUAUUUAUAUAGAGGCCGUAGAACACUACAGUAACUGUAAUGAUUACAACAUCCUAUAUUAGAAUCCUAUUAUGAUAGAUACAUGAGUAACUGUAAUGAUUACAACAUCCUAUAUUAGAAUCCUAUUCUAUAAUACAUGAAAUGUUAUUUAGAUCAUGAAUACAUGUGUAUGGCAAUUGAUUAUUUUUAUACAUGUAUGGCAGAGGUGAAAUUAAUAGAUGAAAUAAAUUAAUGGUUAGGAAUAACAAAAAUUAAGAAUUACUUUAAUAGAUGUUUUAUACUAUGUUUUGAAACGAUUUGCAUGCCCAUGCAUUAUAGAUAGUAGCAGUAUUUCUCGUAUAAACAUGUUAAAAUAUUGGAGAGAAGGUCGGUUCAAAUUUUAUAUUUGUAGUCGAAUUAUGACCUUAAUCAAUUUGAAAUCAAGUUGAUUUCAAUAAUAACUCUACAUGCACGCUGGAUAGAAAUAUAAAUAAAUUUGUUGAGAUAUUUUAGAGGUGUAGAUAAAAUUAUUACUCAAAUCUUGGAUAAAUCAAUUACAAUAUUUCUAUUUGGAUUAGCAGGUGGCAUAGAUAUCUGAAUUAGCUAACUACAUAUAUAUUAUAUAUAUAUAUAUAUAUAUAGUAUCAUGUAGCAUUCCACCAAUCACACGUAAAAGAAAUAAAGAGAAAGAAAGAGAGAUGGCUGAAGGUGCUUUUAUUCUAGCACGUGGUGGAAAGGAAUACGUUGCAAUGUUAACUUUCACGGUGUUCCUGAGUUGUUUUUUUGCAGCAAUAGGAGGUUUGAUUUUUCGUUAUGAUCGUGGCAUUUCAGGGGCGUAAUAAUGUAGAAUUAAGCAGUUUAUAUUUUAAGAUGCAAUAAUCUUAUCUUGAUUUUUAUGUGUUUCUAAGUAUUUAUUUAUUUUGUAUACUAAUUUUAUGUCUAUGAUGUUUGUUGGUGUUGAAGAAGAAAAAAAAAAUUAACAAUGAUUUGCACUGGUUUUGUUUGUGUUUAGCGUGAAUGAAUAAUUAAUUGUAGGAAUUCGAGGUUAGUUGAUAAGAGGUUCGAAGAUUGGAAUUAGGCUUUUUUCUAUAGUCUUGUGUGGACCUACGAUGCACACUUUGUUCAUGAGAUGUGUUCUAAAUAUAAGUUACGUAAUAAAUUCGUUGUGUAUUAAUAAAUUUUUGCUUUAUUAGUUGUGUGUAUUGAUAGAGAAAAUUGAAGAAUUCAAUCAUUGAUAGUUUGAUUGCCCUGUUAUCUCUGUUUUUUACAAUUCGUGUGUUUAUUAUUUGCUUGCCUUAUAGCUCAACAUAGCAUUCAAAGGACUAUAAUAUUCACCUGAUCAGAUAGUUCUAUGGGGCGCAGCUAUGGUGUUAUGUUCAAGCAAUAUUGCAGCUGUCAAGUAAACUAAAAAAUUAGUCUCGUGAUGGGCACAAAAAAAUCCCCGAUAAGUAAGUUUUUUGGGUCAUUUUUUGAAUUUCUUUUGAAAUUUGUAGUGAUUUCUGCUAAAUGUUUUCUUUUUGUUUAAAACUUGUUAAGGCAUUACUGUCAUUGUUGCAUUUGAGAACAGAAGGAUGUACAUUUAUUUAUAAUGAUUUUGUACUGGAUAUUUAAAUAUUGUGUGCCUUCUCCAUUGAUUGAAUUUUGUUGAGGUUUUUUUAAACUAAUAUCCUGAUCCAAUCAAUUGCGUAAAAUUUUUAAUAUAUGUGAUAAUUACAGUAUGUUGCUGUGAAAAUUUUCAUGGAGCAAGGCUUUCAUGCUGAACGCUUUAAGGAAUUUCUUAGGGAGGUGUGUUUUAUCUAGAAUUGAUUGUGAUGUGCACUAAGCUGAAGAAUUUUUUUGAAACAUCGCUAUUUAUGUUCCUUGGAAUUGUCGCUCAUAAAGUUUGAUUGUGAAGUGGAGAAAUAAAUAUGCUAAGAGUUAUAAGGAAAAGUGGAGAAAUAGAGAAGUGAAACUUGUAUAAUACAGCAGUGAAAAAUAAGUUUACAUGCAGAGGCAUGAAAUAAGACGAAAACAAAAAUAUUGAAUGCAGCUGAUACGGGUGGACCAAACUGGACAAAGAAAGAAAUAUGAAACCAUAUGGGUUAGGAGUUGAUGAAACCAGCACACGCUGCAGAAUCGUAGAAACAAAAAGAAAAGAGAAAAGACAUAAGUUUCUUUUUGAUGAACAUGGCAAUCAUGAAAAGAGGCAUAAAUGAUGCACAACCAAACUGCAGAAUCAGACAUAAAGUCAAAGAUAGUUGAUGUUUAAUGAAAUAAAAUCACUCGUUUGUCAGGUGGCUAAUUCAUGUAAACGUCGAUAUUUAGAGAUUUGUGAUUCUAAUUUUAUUUCUAUACCACUGUUCUUUCAAGCGAUAUUUAGAGAAAGCUUAUGAAGUUUAUGGCUACCAAACUAUAGGUCCAUCAUGGCUACCAAACUGCAGGUAGCGAUAUUGACAAAACAUAUCAAAUUUGCAUUGCAUGGACUAAGGGCUGUGAAGGAAAAAAUACUUACAUGAAAAAACAAAGGUAGGCAGCAAAGUCGUUGAUCCAAAGCAGAAAAAUAAAUAGUAGACGAAGCGAGAGACUACCCUGAAAAAACAUGGAAAAAACUUAUGAAAAAUAUAGGAGCAUGAGAAAUUAUAGUUCGUAUGCAGCAAAAAACAAAAGGUCGAAAAACUUAAAUAUAUUAUAGUUAAAAUGGAAUUAAGUUUGAAUUUUUUUUUUUAUGUUGCAAGAAGACUCAUAGAUGUUCAAGCUUGUGAUUAGAAAAUUUUAACACACAAAAGAUACAACAAUGAAUAAAAAGAUUACCUUUUGGUAAUAAUUGAAUGAUAUCUUUGUAAACAAUGUUUUUGGCAUAACAUGAUGGUUUUCCUUCAUGAUCGAAGGAAAAGAUUUUAAGCCCAUUCUUUGAUGUAACUCUUGAUAAAGCAACAUAUAAUUGACCAUGACUAAAAACUUGUUCUUUCAAGAAGACACCAACAAUCUUAAGUGAUUGUCCUUGGCUUUUAUUAAUAGUCAUAGCAUAGCAAGGCCUAAUAGGAAAUUGUCUUCGUUUGAUUGUGAAGGGGCAUUUUUUAUCAUUAACUGGAAAGACAAUUCGUGGAAUAAAAACUCGAUCUCCAAUGUUAGACCCGGUAAUAAUUUGGGCUUCAAUAAUUUGCUCGGCAAGCUGCGUAACAAUAAGCCUUGUUCCAUUACAUAAACCAGCAGAGGGACUAAGGUUCCGAAGUAACAUAAUCGGUGUGCCAAUUUUCAAAGAAAUACUGUGUUGGGGCACACCAUUUGUCAUAACCCAAUUUUUGACCAUUUUUAUUUUUUAUUAUUUUAUUUAUUGAAAAGGAAAAAAAUUGAUGAAAAAAUAAUAAUAAUGAUGAGAAAACAAGUAAAAUGAAAUAAAUGAAGAAUGAAUUAAUAUUUGGGUUAAUGGAAAAAUGAUUGAAAGUUUUGGGGUUUAAUUAAACUUUGAAAUUAAUUUAAUUAAUCUUGGAGUUAAUUUAUUUAAUCCAAUUAAGGGUUUAAUUGGAGAAUUGAUAAGUUUUGAGAUUUAAUUAAGCUUGAAAUUAAUUUAAUUCAUCCAAUCAAGGAUUUAAUUGGAGAAUUGAUAAGUUUUGAGACUUAAUUAAGCUUGAAAUUAAUUUAAUUCAUCCAAUCAAGGAUUUAAUUGGAGAAUUGAUAAGUUUUGGACUUAAUUGAGCUUGGAAUUAAAUUAUUCAGGGACUUAAUUAAGAAAAUAUCAAAGUUUGGGGUUUGAUUGGGGUUCAAAUUGCAAACAUCAAAAUCCAAGGACCAGCUUGAAAAUGGCGCCGAAAUGCAGGGGUCCAGUUACAAUUUAAACAGGGACUUAAUUACAAAAUUGUCAAAAAUGCAAGGUCGAAAAUGCAAAUAGCAAUUAAACACCAAAAACGACGCCGUUUUCCCUUUGCUGUUCAUCUUCUUCCCGACUGAAACGGACGCACACCGCCGCACAGCCAUUACUCCUGCAGUUAUCACACUUAAUGGUUGGAAGAAAACGCAUUGUUUUCUCUGGCUAUAAAAGCCAUGGAACGACUGAACACCAGGGGCGGAUUUUUUACUGAAAAAAAAAAAAGAAAAGGAGCAGAACCGAGGAGGGAGAAAGAAAGAAAGCCAUGCACGGCAGGGGGAGAGGGGAAGACACAGAAUCAGUUUCAACCAUCUCUUCACCAUCUUCAGCAACUCUUCAGCCUCCAGCAACCCAGACAGGAGAAGAACCCCCAUCGACUUGACUAAGGGAGAACACUGGAAACAAAGAACGGAGCAGAACGAGACAGACAGGGGAGACCGAGAGAAGACCAGGAACCGAAACAAAGAAACACAGAGGACAACACAGAAAAAAAAGGGACGACUGGAGAAGCAAACGCAAACAAAACCAGAGGAAGAAGCUUGAAAAACGAAGAGAGGACCAGCGUCACCACCGACUGCCUCUUCUCCAGCAUCAGCUUCCAAAACCAGAGGAGGAAGCUAAAAAGGAGAGAGGAACGAGCAGCUGACAGAAGGAACACACCGACAGAAGGGAAACGAACGAACACAGGGAUCUUGAGGACCAAGAAAGACUGAAAAAAUCCGGACUGCCAUUUCCAGCACCAGGUAAGUUACGUUUUCCCUUCUUGCAUUUUAAUUACCAGCUCCUACAGCAGGCGUGCGUGAGCUGCUCACGCACGCCUGCUGGUAAAAAAAAAUGGCCAGCCGGGUCAAGCUUGUGACCCGGCUGGGCUGGCUGGGUCUAGCCCAGCCCAUGUGGGCUGCGCUGGGCCCAGCCCCAAAAAAAUAAAAAAUAAAAACAGAAAAAUAAAAAAGGUAGAAAAAUAAAAUAAAAAAUGUGUAUCAUGAAUAAAAAUAAUGUAAAUUUAUUGGUUUAUUCACUGACGCCAGAGUCAGGAAUAAAAAUACCAGUUUAAAUUUAUAUUAUUUUUAUUCGUUGUAUUUUAUUUUAUUUAGCUAGAAAAAUAAAAAAAUAUAUGCAUGCAUAAAAAUAAAUUUAUUUUUAUUUGUUCACUGGUGCUAGAGUAGGAAAUAAAGAAUAUUGAUCUAAUUGUUUAUUAGCUACGAAUUUUUAUCAACGCCAGAGUUGGAAUUAUUCGAGCUCGAAUAUUCACUGACGCCAGAGUCAGGAAUAUUAUAAACAAAUCAUCAUAGCAUAAAUUAAUAAAUAUUUAGCAAUUUAAGACAAAACCAACAAUGCAGUCUGCCUUAGGCAGAACGUUUAAGGGGUGAUAAUAUCUUCCCUUUUACGUAACCAAUCCCGAGCCAUAGAAUCUCUGUUGACCAGUUAGGGUUCCUAGUGACCAUAAUACUAGGUGGCGACUCCUCAAACAAGACAUUUUUUUUUUCUAAAAGAACCGGAUGCCAGAAUCUGUUCUUUUUCCAAAAUCAAGAGAAUUAUAUUUUUAGAGCCGCCGCGAUGUCGGGUGUGACAGAAUGGCGACUCCACUGGGGACUUAGGAUUAAGCUUUGUCUUUUGUCUUAUUAUUGCUAUUUUUUAUUAUUAUUUUUUGUUGUUGUUGUGUUUAUUUGAUUAUUUUUUCCUGCAUUUAUUGCUUUAGCAUGCAUCCUUGUUUAUGUUGUCAUGCAUCACUUUGGGAGCACACACUUUACAACCUAGGAUAAGUGGGGAAGUAACGGUACCCCAAUGGCUUUAGCCUGGGUAAGACUCAUGAAACCAUCCAACUCUCGCUUGAUUGUUUACUUGGAAGUGGUUGAUAUGCCAAACUGAUAUUACUCAGGGCCUCUAUCUUCACACUACUUGUAAGCCUCAUAUCGACCUUUCAUGGACGAUCACUGAGCAUGCGAAAGACCCUUUGAGACUAGAUAAUGACCAACCCCUUGAUGCACUCAAUAAUUAGGAUCUUCCAAUUAGGUUGUCAUCCCGUGAAGGGCAAGUACGCAUUUCAUAUGCAUUUUUUUUAUUUUUUAUUAUUGCUUUAGCAUUUUUGCAUAAUUGCAUGAUUUACAUUUAGCAGGUUGAAAUAUAGGUCCCCCAUUGAAACUCAUUUAUAAUACUCUUUCGAGAAAAAGACAAAUGAAAAAUGAAGAAAGAGCCCAGUUGGAAGCCCAACAUCAAAAAGAGGUGGACAAUCUUAAGGAAGAAGUCGCAAGGCUUACUAGUCUACUCGAGCAGGCCUUGAGAGAUAAAUCCGGAAAAGAAACACUUAUAGCUCAGCCUGGAUAUAUGCAUGUAACUCAUUUCGAUCCACAGAAUCUGGGGGCAAAUAGGGAGUCAUCUGAAUUUCAACAAGCUAUGCAUUUCCAGCCAGCAUACCCUUCAAGAAUUUCAUCUACCACUGAUUCCACCGAGAAAGAAUCUCAAAAGGGCAAGAUGGUGAAAGAAGAGGAUUUGGAAAAAUGGACUACCCUAGAGAAGAGGAUAAGGGCAGUUGAGGGAAACCAUUUGUGUGACCUGGUGAAAGCUGUCAAUAUGUGUUUGGUGCCCAACGUUGUCAUUCCCAAAAAGUUUAGAGUGCCAGAAUUUGUCAAAUAUACGGGAACUCAAUGCCCUAUAACUCAUCUUAAAGCAUAUUGCAACAAAAUGGCUGAGGUGUUUGAUGAUGAGAAACUGCUGAUUCAUUUUUUUUCAGACAGCUUGAGUGACGCUGCCCUCACUUGGUAUAUGUGGUUGGACAAUACCAAGGUUAAAAAAUGGAAGGACUUAGUUGAUGCCUUCAUGAGGCAAUAUAAGUUCAAUAUAGACGUGGGUCCUGAUCGGUUAAGCUUGCAAGCUAUGGAGAAGAACAACAAGGAGUCCAUAAGAGAAUAAAAACAGAAAAAUAAAAAAUAAAAACAGAAACAGAAAAAUAAAAAAGGUAGAAAAAUAAAAUAAAAAAUGUGUAUCAUGAAUAAAAAUAAUGUAAAUUUAUUGGUUUAUUCACUGACGCCAGAGUCAGGAAUAAAAAUACCAGUUUAAAUUUAUAUUAUUUUUAUUCGUUGUAUUUUAUUUUAUUUAGCUAGAAAAAUAAAAAAAAUAUGCAUGCAUAAAAAUAAAUUUAUUUUUAUUUGUUCACUGGUGCUAGAGUAGGAAAUAAAGAAUAUUGAUCUAAUUGUUUAUUAGCUACGAAUUUUUAUCAACGCCAGAGUUGGAAUUAUUCGAGCUCGAAUAUUCACUGACGCAGAGUCAGGAAUAUUAUAAACAAAUCAUCAUAGCAUAAAUUAAUAAAUAUUUAGCAAUUUAAGACAAAACCAACAAUGCAGUCUGCCUUAGGCAGAACGUUUAAGGGGUGAUAAUAUCUUCCCUUUUACGUAACCAAUCCCGAGCCAUAGAAUCUCUGUUAACCAGUUAGGGUUCCUAGUGACCAUAAUACUAGGUGGCGACUCCUCAAACAAGACAUUUUUUUUUUCUAAAAGAACCGGAUGCCAGAAUCUGUUCUUUUUCCAAAAUCAAGAGAAUUAUAUUUUUAGAGUCGCCGCGAUGUCGGGUGUGACACCAUUAAAGUCAAGCUGGUUGAUAAAUUCAAUUGGAUACAAUAAAUCGAUGUUGUCAAUAUCACCAGAAGUUGUUUGGAUAGAAUCACAACUAAGAAAGUUGUAUUUAUGACCAGGUAUAAUAUCAAGGAUAAAAAUAUUAAUCUCAGAAACAGUUACAUUCUUCGGUGUAACAAUUGCUCUGUCUUUAAAGUAGAAUGGGUCAAGAUGAGCCCUUUCAAUGUCAGGAUAUAUGGCAGAGACAAUAGCUGCAAUUGGAGAAUCAAUCACUUCAACCUGAAGCUCACAUGGGAUUUUGAUAAAUGCCGCAUCAUGAUCAUCCGAAACAGCCAAAUCACAUAUUUGUCCAUCACCAAUUAAAAGGAUUCUGCAAACUGUCUAAGUUCAUCCUUUUGGUCUAGGCUUAAACCUUCAGCUGAUAGUCACAUAUUUUGAUUCAAAGUAAGGAAUGUGAAUGCAGACCAAAGCAAUGAGCUAGUAAAAGAAGCAUUAAUUAUUUCUUCUUUUGUUCCUCCAGGUAUAACAGGAAGAAUUUGUCGGAAAUCUCCACCUAAUAAGACAGACUUGCCACCAAAUGGAUUGUUAAGUCUAAGAACAUCUCGUAGAGACCUGUCUAAAGCUUCAAAACAGAAUCUAUUAUUCAUUGGAACCUCAUCCCAAACAAUGAGUGAUGUCAUCUCUAGUAGUCGUGAAAGGUGAGUGUUGUGUUUAAUCUCGCAUGUUGAACUCUCAUUAACUUCUAAUGGAAUUUUAAAUCUAGAAUGGGUUGUUCGCCCUCCAGGUAAUAGAAGAAAAGCUAUUCCAGAUGAGGCAACAGCAAGAACAAUUAAACCUUCAGAUCUAACUCGAUUAAUAAUUGUAUGCCAUAAAAAAGUCUUUCAUGUUCCACCAUGACCAUGAACAAAUAUGAGCGCUUUUCUCUUUUGUAGUAUAGAUGUAAUAACAGAAUCAUAGAUGUUUUUUUGACAUGGAUUAAGAAGAGGCAUAAUCAAUGAAUGGUUAUUUCUAAGCUCAGCAAGAUCAUAGUCAAGCUCUUCCCUUAAAAGUUUGUUCCUGACUUCAUCCAUCAAUCGACCAUUCGGCAUUGGAAGUUUAUGAUCUUCCAAUGAUGUUCCGGAAGCAUUAAAAAGUUGUUCAAGUUCCUACAGCACAUAGUUCUUAAGUUCGUCAUCAGAGAAACAAACAUUCAACAUUGAAAAAGAAGAUCUCAGAUGAUAUUCAAUGUCAUCAUGCAUAGAGUGCCAAAAUUGAUCGAAAAGACUAUUUGGAUCAGCAACCUCGCAAAACAUAAUAAUAUUAACAAAAAAUUGCCUUAGCUGCGGAGAAGAAGCUGUUGGAAUAGCCUCACCAAAUGCAUCUGACCAUUCUUUAUCAUCUCCUAAGAGUCCCAAAGCCUUGCAUGCAAGUUGAAAAGUUGGAAAUAUUGUACCAGAGAUUUGCCGCAAGUCUUCAAAGCUCUUUGCUCCUUUAACAUGAUUAAGUAACAUUCUGAGAAAAUACAACUCUCCAGCUACAGGAUGGACAUACACAAUGCGACCAAGGCAAAAUCCACGUGAUCUAAUAAUCCAUUCUUUUUGCCUAGCAUCCCAAACAUACUUGCUUGGAAACUGUGAGUAAAAUAGAUCUCGUGCAUUGACAUCAACUCUGUUGCGCUCAAACCACUCUGUGAGCAUUAUCUUAUUAAUGCCAGGCCUUUUAAGAAGUGAUGAUAAGGAUUGAUUACCUGAAAAAAAAUACAUGGUGCUGUAAUGGUAGAUGGACUUGAAGUCUUUCAACAGCUGGGCUCCUUGAAUGGAUCGGGAAUUGGAAUAAUCGCCAUACUGCUUCAUAUGGACAAAUGAAUCUACAGUUUAGAUAAGCUUGUAUUUCAUCAUCAGCCUCUUUCUUCAUAACCAUUCUGCAUCGAUCAGCUCCUUUGCUAACAUACUUAAAAAGAUACUUGAUAAGUAGAGAUUGACAACAAAUUUCAACAUUAAUGUGUGCAUUGUAUCGAAGCAAAAGUUCUUUGUUGUACGGGACAACAUGACAAUUUGACAGGGAAAUGUCAUUUCUAACAAUGUGACUCAUAGGCUGCAUGCGUCGUUUAUAGUAAACAAAACCAUUCUCACCAAAGAUGGUCACAUCUUUGUUUUUUUUUUUUUGAAAUUGUUUGGAACAUUUAUUCUUUUCCAUACAUUGAGCCUUUGGAUUUGCAGCGCCGCAUGGACCAUGCAUCAUAAAUUUUGAAACUAUCUCAAAGCAAAUAGGAUCUUGAUGCUUGUCAGGUAUUUCAGCUGAAAUAAUAGAGUCAACAUCCUCAGGCGAACGGAAUUUGAAUUCUGGAGCUAGCCAAACUAACAAAUGAGUAUGCGGCAAACCUCUUUUUUGAAACUCCACAGCGCAAACAUCUAAAAAGAGAAUGCAAGUAAAGAAGUAAAAACGGAUGUUUGUAGAAGGAUAAAAAUAGAAACUUGAAAUUUAAGAAAUAAAAAAAAAUACCAGCAAUUGUCCGUCCAAAAGGUUUUCCAGACUUGAUGAAUGACAUAAUAUCAAUUAGUUUGGAAUGAAAUACCCUUGCUAUGAUGUCAGGUUUGUCCUCACGUUGAUAGCCCCUUGUUUUUUUAAUUUCUCGGUGAAUUUCAGGCCAAUUAACAUUGCAGGUAAAUGUGAUAAAAAGAUCAGGAUUCCCAUAACAUCUACAUAUGGCCAUAGCAUCUUGGUAAUUAUUAACCAUAUACCGAGGGCUUCCUGUUAAAGACGAUGGAAGUAUAAUUUUCCCUGUAGUUGAUCCAUCAGUAUCACCUCUAGUAAUAGCAUCAUGUAUUCCUUUGUAAUGCUCACUUCUAAGAUUUUCUUGGUUUGCACGUAUAAAAUCUAAACGUUCCUCUUCAACAUUAACAAAUGCAUCAACCAAAAAUUGUUGGUACAAUCGUCUGCCUUUUAUGAGAGUGCUUUCUUGUUUUUCUCUUUCAUGAAUGAGAUAAGCAUAAUAGGCUCUCAUUGAAACCUUUUGUCUUUUUUUAGGUGGUUGCUGCUCUUGAUGAGCUAAUGGAAUAUCAGUGUGGAAACCAUCCUCACCAUAUGGAAAAAGAAGUGGGUAAUGAAGGGACAUAAAUUUUGGAUGAAGCUUUGAGAUCCUCUGAAGUGUUCCAGAUAAACUUUCAAUAAUUAUGUCUCGAUCAGAUCGACAAUGACCAAUGUCCCCAACAACCAAACCACCAAUGUCAUUUAAAGAAGGAUCGUCGUAUUGCCUUGAGUCAUCAUCUCUUUUACCAAUUAACCGAAGUUUGAAUUCUGGAACCUCGACAUCCCCAAGUCUUUGUCGAGCAUGACGGAACAAACAAACCAAUUGAUUAGAUGAAUCAACCAUAUUGAUUAGCCCAACAACAAUGUCACUAUCCAAGAUUGAUUGAAAAUUUUCAUUGCAGAAUGGUUGCAGCCGGUUAGAAACCUUAUUAUCUGUAUCAAAAAUAUAAAGCUGCGCAAACUUGGGGCCUUUGUUAUCCAUGGGAAGAAGAGAACCCAUAAAAUGGUGGUAGUAUCCAUUGACCUUAAAAAUAUAAGAUCCAGGUCGAGAAUUAACAUUGAGUUAUAAGCACGAAUUUCACGACGAAAUGUUUUACAUGAUGAACCAUUGUUUGGGUUAAGGAGGUUAUCAAGGUAGUUAGGUGUUUCUUGUGGAGCAGGAAGCACCACCUUCCCAUUAUUACAACAAAGUGUAAAGCAUGGGCUUGUUUUAGAUGAACUGGCCAAGCGUUCUUGCAACCAAAAAAGAGUGUCGCAAUGCUUACACUUGUAUGUUUUAUCGCCAAAAUCAAUGUAUUCAAUUAAAUAACCUGUAAAAAAUGAAGGUAAGAUACUUCAAGGAAUGAUAUAAAAGAGAUAAUUACAAAUAAAGGAAAAAUGGCUACAAAAGGUACAUGAUUGGAUUACAUACGCCUUUUUUUUUCUGAUAUGAUGCUUGGCUUAUAAUAGAUUGAUGAUUAACGGUUUGCUCAGAGAAUCCUUCAGAUUCAUGACUUGAAACUACAUCACUACAGUGAAAUGAAUCAAGGGCGGUAGAUUGUGGAGGAUUGGAUUGCCUUGCAGCACUAAUUUGAUUAGUUCCAGUUUGCACUAUGUUGCUUGAUAAGGAGAAGGUGGUUUGUAUAUCUAUGUGCUGGCGUGAACAGACCAAAGUGCCGACCCCUUGAGUAUGUUGUGGAGCAGAUGGUGUAUUUGAAGAGCUUGGGUUAUCGGAUAGCAAGAUUCUAUGAACGGGGGUUUCAUAGUCAUUCAAAACAAAUUGUGAGGAUUGAGAAGAUGGCAUAUACCCAUCCGGUUGAACAUGUCCGUCAGGACUUGUCAUGUUGUUGCUCUAAAGAAACCAUGGAAAUAAAACACGAAGUUAAAUGAAAGGAAAACACAAAAAAACCAUGAUUAGUACAUGAUCAUGGCCAAGUGAAGGGAAACACAAGGAUAGAGAAAAUAUUAAUGACAUGUGUUUUCUAAAGAAACCAUGUAAACAUAGGGAUAAUAAGUAAUUAAAAAACAAAACAUAAUGAAAUUAAGUGUUGGCCAAAGAUUAAUUGGCUUGUAAGGUGAAGGAAUUACAUUAGACUAAAAUCUUUGAUAUAUCAUGAGACAUGAUGAUAGGGCAGGCUUAGCUAAAAACACAACUCCUUAGUUCAGGAAAGGAUGAAGAUAUAACAAUAAAAGAUCAAGCAAUAAAAAAAAAGACAUUAUGUGUUGCUAAACACAGAAAUACCAUAACCAUGAUUACGCAUGCAAGGAAAUAGAAAUGCAUAAAGUAAAUAACAGAAAGGCACAAAACAAACCUGAGAAAAUACCGACGAUAAAUAAAAGUGGCCGCUUUAAAAGAUCUGAAAGACAAAGUUAAAUUUUGAUUAAUAUGUGCAAGAAUAAAAACAAACAGACACACGGUAUAAGACCUAGAGAAUGAGGCAUGAAAAAAAAAACAAAAAUAAAAAUAAAAGAUGAGGCAACAUGUUUAGGUAAAAGAAAUUAAGAUCACAAUCUCAGCAAGCGCUUAAAAAAAAACACCAAAGAAAAAAAGGAAAAAAAGCUAGAACAAUCUUUGUAAUUUGUUUAAUGAGAGUGUCCUUUGUCCUGCAAUGUUUUUUAAAAAAUUAAAACAUAGGAUAAGAAAUUUUUUAUUUUCGAAAUUGUCCUAUAACCCAUAGUUUGACUCAUGCAAACAUUGCUAAAAACACUAAGGACCCGUGACCUGCUUUCUUUAUAUGAACAUUAGGCAUGUGAAAUUUGUUGCAAGCUCGUGCUCCAAACGAAUAAUAAUAAUUAAUAUAACCUCAUUAUAAAAGUAUAAAUCCUAAGUUAUUUCAUGAAAUGUCACCCACACCAUCAACACAUGUAUAGCAACCAUGAAGAAAAAAGUGUCUAUUUGUACAAACCAACGAACACUUUGAAUUUCUCUUUUCACAUCAGAUGUAAAACGAUAUUGUUUCAAAUUUUGUUUUUCUCUCAAGUACAAUGGAAAAAGUAAUGCCCACACCUCAAAAAAAAAUGUCUUAAUGAAUAUAAUAUAAUCCAAGCUUCAAUUCUGAUCAUGAGAAAGAUAUAUAAAUUAAUAUUGAAUAUGAUGAAUCAUAUGUGUUCUGAAAACCAAUAUUUAUGAGCAAAGCUAGUUUGUUUUUGCCGCCAGCAAUGAACGGCCAUGUAAAUUGUUUCAAAACCAGCAUGAAAGAACUGUCAAUGAGCAACGGCUGCCUCUUUUUGUUGUUUGCAUAAUGACCGCCCAUACUCUCCUUUCCAUUAUUCCUAUAUACGUCUUGCCCCAACAAUUCUAUGAAUCGCAUCUCCGAUGGAGUUUCAAGAUGCAAACUUAGCAGAGCGGUUCCAAAACGAAGAAGCUAAGCAGCAAGCAAGCACCAAACAUCUAUGCCGAAUAGGUAGCAUAUUCAUGAACUUUUUGUGAUGUGGAUAGGUGGAGAGCUGUAGACAGUUUUGGUGGUUAUUUUUAAAAAUAUAUUUUAUUUUAAAGUAUAUUAAAAUAAUAUUUUAUUUUAAUUUUUAAAAUUUAUUUUUGAUAUUAGCAUAUCAAAAUAAUCUAAAAAUAUUAAAAUAUAUAUUAAUUUAAAAUAAAAAUUAAAUUAAAUUUUGUUCUAAGCACAAAAAUAAAUAAAGUGUCUUUUACGAUUCCUUUAGACAAGCACGCACCGAUCCCCAUGUGCAUGUUCCCAUUGACCAUUGCCCCAUGAUAUUUUCAGGUCCAAAUAUCCCACCCGACACCAUUUACCAUUUAGAACAUCAUAAUCUGCAUUAUUUUACUUUCGAGUCCUUUUGCACAUGCACGCGAGAGGAACUGCCACCACUGCCAUCAAUCUCGCAAGAUGGAUCGCUAGUGCCCAGCCCCUACCAAGAAAAAUGUUAAAAAGCCAGCAAUCCACGCCGUGCUUUCUGUGGGCAAAAAAGCUGAUUUUCCCAGGCAAGUUGGCAUUCUUCGGUCACUUUCUUGUUGCACCAGUUUCUAGCCCUCGCAUAUAUAUACUUGCCAUCCCAUUUUCCUUUCAACAAAUCAGUCACAAUCUAAAAAAAAAAAAAAAAAGUUGUAUUUCAAUCUUGAAAGUCCAGCUUCUCAUUACAGCAAAUCAUCAGUUUUCUCAAAUGAGUCUCAUCAAGAAUCACAAACCUUGUCCAGUGAUUGAAUCCCACCACUCAACGCAUAAAUUCUUCACCAUAUGCAACUACAUUCUCUUGUGUUCAGCCUCUAGUUGCAUAUUCCUCACCCUUUCUCUCCGCCUAUUCCCUUCUCUCUGCGGCUUCUUUGUCAUUGUCCUCCACAUGUCCACCAUCAUUAUAGUUGUAUCUGGCUGUCCUAUGACGUUAUCUGGAUUCCAACAAUUGGUAUGCAGCUCACAUGAUCAGCACCUCUCUAACAGCAAUAUUUCAAGCAUCAGUUUACCGAAUCCUACUCUUCCGCUCUCGCUCCUCUUCCUACAGGUGCGAGUAGCAUGCUAUUAUAGGGAGUCCUCCCACUGCACUGGAGUGAGUUUAUUCCAAGAAAGAAGACAGAGAGUGACCUUGAAGUGUGCUUCUUGUUCGUUUUCUUCCCUUGGCUCCAUUCCAUCCUUUACAAAGUACAGGUCCCAGGUUCGCGCUUUCCUUUGAACAUGAGCUCUUAGAUAGAUAUCAGCAUAGCUUCGUAAUUAAACUUCUCACACAUCUUCUCUAAAACCGAGAGCUUGAGAUGCAUUGCUUGCGUCUUCAUUGGGUCUUACGUACUUAAAAACAAAAAAGAAAUGACCAACAUACUGUAACGGUCUAGUUACAGCGCCGAACGACCAAUAUUUUCUGAGCAAUAUUUGUAUGCCAUAACAGCUACCUUAUUCAUUACACAAACAUAUAUAAUUACAAAAACGAUAUGCCAUCCUAUAUUGCGGCAUGCAAUGAAAAAACAUCUCUGCAAACUUUAUAAAAAAACAACAAAAGAAGUUCCCAAAGCUUGGCAAAAGCAUAAGAUUUGGUAUGUAGAAAUACAAUUGGCUGCGAUUCUAUUUUUUGCAAAACUAAUCAUUAUGCACAGCUGUUAGACAAAGAAACGCACAUAACCCAGAAUGUGGUGCGACAGAGAUGCACCUGACAUGAGCGCACGACGACGGAUAAAGAGUAGAAUAUCAAACCAUAUGCGUUAGGACUUGAUGAAACGAAGACAGUCUGCAGAAUCACACAAAGCAGAAAGAAAAGAGAAAAGAGAGAAGCCCCUCUUUUGAACAACAUGGCAACGACUGCAGAAUGAGACAAAAAUGUAAAGACACUUGAUGGCCAAUGAAAAAAAAAACACUCCUUUUCAUAAUAUGACAGAGCACAGGCCAUGCAUAAUAUGCAGACAGCAAGAUGAGCAUAGUUACUUUCCACAACACAAUCUUAAAAACAACUAAGAGGAAAAUAUUCUAACCUUGAAAUCCAAGCCCUCUCCUGAAAGACAAUAUGAUAAAGGGAACAACGAACUACAAAGGAAAGCAUAACAAAUCAUGGCCACCCGAAUACUGAACAAACAAAAGUUGCAGGAAAACAUACCUUCAAAUAUUAUAAGAGACCCGAAUACUGAACAAAUAAAAGUUGCAGGAAAACAUACCUUCAAAUAUUAUAAGAGAGGCGAGAGCUGAGAGAACUGGCUCGCUAAAAAAACUAUUUCAAAAAAGCACCAUCCCAUGCAAUUAAACAAUUAGAAAGCAGACUAACCAGAAUAGAAAUGCCAACGAAAACUGAAUAGGAAACAAUGAAAACGGAGGCAAGCAUAUGUGUAUAAUGAUGCCAACGCCACAUCCAUUUAAUGCACCAUCAAAGAAGAUUAGACAACUUGACUUUAUUCUAAAUGAAGCCUGAAAGCAUUUAAUGCACCAUUAAAAAAACACUGGCUGAUUUGACAUUGUCUAAAUGAAACCUGAAGACGUGUAAGCUCAUUGCCUCUUUGCAUGGCAUUUUAAUUAUUAGAUGUCAGAUAAUUCAGUAUUCCUUGAACCCUCUAAUCCUUAUAGAAGAAAAAGAAGACCCAAUUACAGGGGGGAAAAACGACAGUCUAAUUUUUCAAAGCAUUGAAGGCACUGGUAUCAUGAUCUCGCUUUUUUCAAACUUCUCCAGUGACAAUAUAUUUUGUGGGAAACUGAGCAAGACACUCCACCACAAUGCAGAGACGAUAUAUGUCUUGGCAGGGAAAACCGUGGGGAAAGCUACAGUACUUUCCCUACACGUUUUAAAGUUCUUUAAUAUAUAUAUAUAUAUAUAUAUGAGUAAUCAAAUUAAAAAAUCUACAAAUAUUUAAUGCUAACACAAUCCUGCACAAAUCUAAACCACAUUUUUCUUCUUUGAGACGGUAGCUUUUUAGCAGAGAAAAGGAACAAAAACGGGCUUUUACAUGGAAAGUAACGCAGCCAUAUGUUAAGCUAUCCAAUCUAUAUAUAUAUAUUAAAUUAUCCAAUCAUUUAUCAUGCUAUAAUCAAGUUAAAUAUUGACAUUACAUUUCUUUGUAGGUGCACGUCUAAUCAACAGAUCUUCUCUGAUCACUUAUAAGGUUCCAUCCACUUGAUGUUAGGGGCUCCACAGUCAUUCUUUUCAUUAGUCUACUGUUAAUGUUUUUCUUCAACUUGUGGAAGUCAUGUGUUCUGAACCAGUCGAAGACAUGACAGAAGAGACAAGAAACCACCUUCUAUAAUCAAAACUUGAUCGCAGGGCUUCUUCGUCAUUCCAGUGAUUCGGCGCUACCAAUCUUUUUUUUCUUUUAUUUUUCUCUCCUCUUAAAAAUUUACUUUUGCCUAUUCAAAUUUGCAAAUCAGCCCUUUAUAUUUUUUUUUCUUUGGAUUUUGUAUUUUUUCUUUUUUUUUUUAAUUUUUUUCUAAAAUUAAAAUUUUUUGAAUUUGAUCCUCCUUCAAUGUUUUAAUCUAUAGAUUUUAUUCAUUUUUUUAUUAUUUUUUUAUUUGAGAUAAUUUUUUAAAUUAUUUUUUUUUCUUCCACCCUCCUUUAUUUUUUUUUAUUUGAUGCUUAUUUUUUUAUUGUUAUUUUUUUCUUUAGUAAAUUUUUAAAUUGAAAAUAUUUUUGUUGAUUUCAUCUAUCAACAUUAAAUUGAUUGAGAUUUAAGUUUUUUAAUUGAACUUAAAUCUACUAUUUUAUGAGUUGUGAAAUUAAAAUAGUAGUCUAUGUUUAGAAAAUUUGUCCUAGUUGGAUUAAAAUAAUAAACUUACUAUUUUAUUUUAAAAAAAAUUUCACACUCACUCUCCGCUAAUGGAUGGCGGGUUGAUGAGGUGACUAAACUUGGCCACUUGUUGAAAGGUUGGGGUGAUUUCCAUACUACUACAAGAAUAAGCACCCUACCAAAAUAAGAAAUAUUCUAGUAUUUAAGUUAGUAAAUAUCCGAGGAGAAUAAUAUAUAAGAUACAAGAGUUAGUAAAUAUACUAGGAGAAUAAUGUAUAAAAACAGGAGGUGUGGUAGAGUGUCUAGAGGGAAAAGUGUGUACAACAGGGUAGGAGGGGGGAUUGUGGAGCAGGGGAAUAACAAUAUGUAUAACAGCAGAGGUGUGUGUAGAAGAAGAGGAGAAAUAUGUGUAGGAGGAGAGGAACAAUGCUGUUUGGUGGCUUUUUGUGACCUCUUAUGCUCUGUGUGAUUCUGUCCUUAUGUGGGUGGCCAUUAUUGAGUGUAGGUGCCACACUAUACAGGGUAGGUGCUGUACUUAUUAGUGGUAUAGAGUGAAAAUUCAGCGACAACGUACCUAGGCCUGCCAUUUUAGCUUUGAUUCUCCGCCGGUAAUCGUCGUAUGCUCUACCAGGAGUUUGCCUUGAUAAACUACAGAGUUGAUCAGUAAACCAUACAAUGGUAAACCAUGCCAGAAGAAUCUAUAGAGUAGGAAAUGUAACCAGGAGUUUGCCUUGACAAAUACCAGAAAGAUAAGGAUUUCCUUCGAAACCUGGAUUGCAGAACAUUGAACUUUCUCCUUAUUAUUUGUGGACAUUACAUAUCUAUGUAAAAUCUUUGCAUUAUGAUUUUUUCUUUUAUAUUUACUACUUUUGGGAUUUUUCUACUUCCCCAAUCUUCUUCUCUAAUGGUAACUUUUAGAACUUCAUUUAUACACUAUUUAGGAUUUUCUAUAGAUUUUAAUUCGAUCAUCAAGCAUGCAUGCAUGUAGCCUGGUAGCAUGCAGCAAUACGAACAGCAAGUGCUAGCUGGAGUCCUGGUUAUUGCUAAAGGAAUCAAUAUUCAUGUAGAGCAUGAUAAUAUUUUUAGUUAUUUUCCACUUAAGUUUCCGGAGAAUUCUUUAUUUUACAAACUAUGCACAUGCCUAAAUUCCCCGUUUUACAAUUUGUUAGUGUGGCAUCUACUUGAAUGUCUUGUCUGAGAGGGGAGGCCGGCGCCUCCAUGAGUUACUAGUCUUAUAGGUUAGUUACGCAGUUGUUUAUGGUAAAGUAAUUAUUCUCAUAAUUAUUCAUACGAUUAGGAUGCGUAGUAAGUUUACAACCCUACAAAGUCUAUAAAUAUCAAAGACGUCUUGUAUGAAGAAGAGAACAUACAAAACCCCACACACUCAUUCAACCAACCAGUUGGCAACAGUUCAGUUUUCUUGUAUGCCAGGCUUUGUAAGAAAUCCUUAAUUAGGUCGUUGUGAAGAUAAAUUCCUGGUUAAUUUUACAAUUUUUUUAUUUUCUUCGGCAUUAUAUUUCGUACUCCAUCGAUUCUUCUCGAAUUUUUUACCAUUACAUGGUGUAAAGAUCAACUAUGUUACUCUAUGUGACAGAGGAUCCAGACUACAUGGAUUGCCAGGGACAUGUGAGAGAAAAAACGUUGGUCCUGUUUAUGUUGCUGCAUUUGCAUCCCAUAUCAUCUAAGAAAUGACAAUUGCUUAGGAGUAAGAAUACUUGUAUUUUUCCUGAUCAGUUCCCUUUCCCUAUCCGUUCAUAAUUGCUUGACUGUUGUAGGAAUUGGAGUGGGAAUUGGAGCAUUAUUUAUGCUCAUUGGUCUGUGGUGGUUGUACAGAGUAUUCAAGAGGAGGAGGAAUGAAAAACAGAGGAAAAAAUACUUCGCAUGGAAUGGUGGUUUAUUGCUGCAAGAACAACUGUCUUCAGGUGAAGUCCAUGUUGGGAAAAUCAAAUUGCUUACAUCCAAAGAACUAGACAAUGCCACAGAUCACUACAAUGUGAAUAGAAUGCUUGGUCAGGGAGGUUGGCUGAUGGAAAGAUCAUUGCAGUUAAAGAAAUCCAAAAUUCUUGAAGGGAAUCUCAGACAAUUUAUCAAUGAGGUGGUCAUUCUUUCACAAAUUAACCACAGAAAUGUGAUUUAGCUUUUGGGCUGAAGUUCCAUUGUUGGUCUAUGAACUCAUUCCUAAUGGGACACUUUCCCAGUUUCUCCACUACCCAAAUGAGGAGCUCCCAUUAACAUGGGAAACGCGCUUAAGGAUUGCAACAGAGGUAGCAGGGGCACUCUCCUACCUGCAUUCAGCAGCUUCGAUCCCCAUUUAUCACAGAGACAUCAAGUCUACAAACAAACUGUUGUAAGCAUUGACCAGACUCAUGUCACAACUCUGGCACCUUUGGAUACUUGGAUACAGAGUACUUACAAUCAAGCCAGUUCACCGACAAGAGUGAUGCAUAUAGCUUUGGUUUAGUCCUCGUCGAGCUACUCGCUGGACAAAAGGCAGUAUCCUUUAGCAGAUCGGAUGAUGAAGCCAGAAGUUUAGUCGCAUGAAAGACAACCAUCUGUUAGAUAUUCUUGAUCCUCAAGUCAUGAUGCAAGGGAAGAAAGGGCAUGUGUUGAUGGUUGCUACCUUGGCUAUGAGUUGCUUGGGGUUAAAGGGGAAAGAAAGGCCUCGAUGAAAGAAGUUGAUUAAAAAAAAAUCACUUAGGAAUCAAAUUUCAGAGAAGGAUUUCAACAUUUCACACGAGAUUGAAAUAUGAUAAUGGUUAUGAAGUAAUUGAUGUUCGUUGGGACCUUGCUUCUACCUCAAUAGGCUUUGGUUUUGACAAUGGUGUUGCUUCUUCAAAAGAAACAACACUACUCUUGCACACAUUUUAGAAUUUUUUUUCUUUUUUGUAAUUUUAUGUUUUGUUGUAACCAAAUAGUUGCUCCUGAUCAUAUGAAUAAUAUAAAGAAUUUUUUUUAUUUUCCAUUUUUUUAGUAUCCAUUGUUCUUGAUAGUAUCCACAACACUAUCAAGAACAACGUUCGUACGUAGAUUUAUUUGGUGAUAUAUGUAUCCUUGACUGGUUCAAGAUGACGCACUCCAUGAGCAUGCUGUGUUGGUCACAGGCAUUCAUUAUCAGUCAAGAAUGGCUCCUGGAAUAAAUAGAGUUUCGAAACUUAUUCAAAUAUUAAUUUAAACCUUGAAAAGUUAUGAUACCGCAAGUCCAGUGAUGGUAAGAAGGAAAUCAUUUGACAUUUCUAUAAUUUCUAGCAUUCACGCGUUAUGAUUGAUUAAUUUCCUUGCAAGAAAUUAACCAAAAUAUUUCUUUCUUUUCUAGAUGAAUGGACAAUGAAUACGUCAAAAAAUUAAGAAUGAAUUCAUAAUUACAUAAUUAUAUAGUUUAUCAGAACUAAUAAUUAAUGAGUCCUUUAGUAUGAAAAUAAUUACAUAAUUCUUUCACAAAUGUUUUUAAUUUGUUUCUUUUAUUUUCAAAAAUCUCUUUUCUUCCUAAUCAAAUUUUCUCAUCCUAGACAUUACACAUCUUUUCUUUCUUUUAUAUAUUAUCAGUCAGGAAUGGCUGCAAGAAUAUUUAAUAAUAAACUCAGUCCCUAUAGUUUAUGAAAAAUAACUAACGAGUCCCAUAGUAUGAAAAAUAACUAUCUAGUCCCUUGACUAGUGAUGACCUACUUCAAUUUAGUUGUUUAUGUUUUCAAAAAUACCUUCUUUCAUAAUCCAUUUUUCUCAUCUUAGCUAUAUAUGUUUUCGUUUGUUAUCCAUGUAAGAAAACUAAGUAAAAAUAGAACAAGAAAGUGAUGAAAGGACUAAGUUAUAAACGGAUUUAAGAAAAUAGGGAUCAAAUUUAUAGUUUCUAAAAAAUUAUUAGUUGAUUAGGUUAGGCUUUAGUUGAAGAAACAUCAUCUUUUGUUUGGUCAAAGUCCAACAUCUAGCAUAAUAUCUGGCUCUAAAAGUGAUGCAAGUAAAUGGGGAGAACAAAAGCAAGAAGAAAUCAGCUUUGAAUCCUUCUACUAUUAGUUGGGAAUUUCACAGGGUAGAAUGUAAAGAAUCUGAUCUAUAUAGCUUCAAGCGGCAGGAUUUUCAUUUCAGUCAGGGAGAGGAAAGCUGUAAAGAAAAAUAAUGGCUUUUCAGCUAGCGUUUCAAGUCAUUUUUUUGCUCUGCUCAUUGAAUCCAUUUCUUGCAGAAGCACAAUCUAUGACAAAAGGUGGAUGUAAAGAACGUUGUGGAAACAUCACCAUUCCAUAUCCGUUUGGAAUGGAAACUGGUUGUUACUUAGAAGAGAGGUUCAGGAUAGAUUGCAACUCUAGCAGCAUUCCUACACUUGACCUAAAUGGAACCAGCCUGGAGGUAAAAGAUAUCUCAGUUGAUACAGCCAACAAUAUUAUUCAAAUCAAUUUCCCAUUCAUCUUUCAAAAUUGCAGCAGCAAAACCAGCAGCAGGGAUUCACUGGUCGUCAAUUUGGAAGAUACCCCUUUUUCUUUCUCAACCGAAAAUCGGUUCGUUGCAGUUGGUUGCAACAACCUUGCUUUGUUGAGCAGAAAUGAGGCUACUGUCGGCGGGUGCAUGUCAAUUUGCAACGUAAGCAGUAGUGAUGCCUCUGCAAAUGGUACUAUUUGUAAUGGCAUCAACUGCUGCGAGACCACAAUCCCCUCAGGUCUCGAUUUUUUUAACGCAACCUUACAAGUUGGAGGCGACAAGGUGAAGGAUGGGUGCAAGUAUGCCUACUUAGUUGAUCAAAAUUGGUUUAAUCUGAGGUUCGACAAUAACAUUUCGGUGAUAGAUAUGGACUAUGUCCCAGUGGUGCUAAAUUGGAAAAUUGAUCUUGGAUUAUACGAAAAUAUGACGCUGAAUGGAUCGGCGUAUAGCGUAACAAAUUUAACGUCUUCCGGGACUUCCAGUUGUAGCCAGAAGGCCCAGAACUCAACUGUUCUUCUAUGUUCGUGCUCCUCAGGCUUUCAAGGCAAUCCUUAUAUUCCUGAUGGUUGUCAAGGUAAUCAUUCUCAUCAACUAAACUAAUAGUUUCUUUAAACAUGGAUUAAAGAAAUUGUUUCCUUCAUCGUAAGCAUAUUAUUAUUGAAUCUGAUUCUGCCAGUGUAAUCAGCUGGAUGCAUAAUCCUCACAACAGGCCAUGGAUGCAUAGAGACCUCUUCUCCACAGUUCAGAAAUUGUCUAGACUGUUUGGUUCAAUUACUUUUUCUCAUGUGUACCGUGAGAGCAAUAGUCUGGCGCCAAAUUGUAUGGCUAAGCAAGGAGUGCACAGAUCGAGUGAUUUCAUUGCUUGGUUUUGAUUCAUCUCUUUAGAGGUUUAGAUUCUCGUAAAAUUAAAUUGGAGACUCUUGGAAGCUUCUCCUGGAUUUUGCAGUAAUGGUUUUCUUGUGUAGAUUAUAUUGUUGCUUUCUUAGUCUAUUUCUGAUGUUUUGUCCUCUUUGUAUGGACUUUGCUUUGAUUGGUUGUUCCUGCAAAAUUGAUAUGCGGCAGGCUUUGUAAUUUUUCAUGCUGCCAGGCUAUGGCGUUUAAUAAAUCCAUAUACUUCUCAAAAAAAACAUGGAUUAAAGAAUAGGAUAAUUACAUGAUGUACUGAAUUUUGUGUUGUCUACAUAUGCAGAUAUUAAUGAAUGCCAGAGCUCUCCCAACAACAACACUACUAUUUGCUCCCGGGACCUAAUCUGUAAAAACCUAUACGGCGGCUACCAAUGUGUUGAAAUCAAGAAAUCUCGGGUUAAAAUGGUGGGUUUAGGUAUGUUGUCUUGCAACCUAGAACAUGAUACAAAUGGAUUUGUUUCUUUAUUUUUCAGCAGUUUGAGAAGAAGAGUGCAUGAAUUUCUCAAAAUGUGAAUAGUCAUGAAGGCUUAUUGAUCUGUUAAUCAUUAUGCAGGUUUUGGCGUGGGGUUUGGAGUCUUGAUCCUACUUAUUGGUUCAUGGUGGUUGUACAAAGUUAUAAAGAAAAGCAGGAAUGAAAAACGCAAGAAGAUGUUCUUUCAACGGAAUGGUGGUUUGUUGCUGCAAGAACAACUAUCUUCAGGGGAAGUCAACGUCGAGAAAAUCAAAUUGUUUGGUUCAAAGGAGUUGGACAAGGCCACUGAUCAUUACAAUGUGAAUAGAACGCUUGGCCAGGGAGGCCAAGGUACAGUUUACAAAGGGAUGUUAGCGGAUGGAAAAAUCAUUGCAGUCAAGAAAUCAAAAGUUCUUGAUGAAGAUAAUCUCAGACAAUUCAUUAAUGAAGUUGUCAUUCUUUCACAAAUUAACCACAGGAAUGUGGUCAAGCUUUUCGGUUGUUGCUUAGAGACUGAGGUUCCAUUGUUGGUCUAUGAAUUCAUUCCUAAUGGAAACCUUUACCAGUUUCUACAUGACUCGAAUGAAGAAUUCCCAUUAACUUGGGAAAUGCGAUUAAGGAUUGCAACAGAGGUUUCUGGGGCACUUUCUUACCUACAUUCAGCAGCUUCCAUCCCAAUUUUCCACAGAGAUAUCAAGUCUACAAACAUACUACUAGACGAGAAGUACAGAGCCAAAGUAGCAGAUUUUGGGACAUCAAAGUCAGUAACCAUCGACCAAAGUCGUGUCACAACUCUAGUACUAGGCACCUUGAAUAAUCGAGAGGUAUGUUAGAAGAUGCAGACGAAAUUAAUAUCUUGAAUAUAGUUUUCCUGUGUAUAUAUACUUGAUCUGUUGAGUGGAUCGAACAGCAGUGAAUGGCAGCAACAUCUACAUCAGGGCAGGAAAGAAAGGGGAAUGGCAGCUAUCCAGUUAGUACUAUUGUACUUUCAGGCAAUGUUGUUGUUGUGGUCAUUUGAUGAUCCAUCGCUUAUUGCAGAAGCACAAGCUAUGGAAAACCCUGAAAAUUGUCCAGGUGCUUGUGGCAAUGUUAGCAUUCCAUAUCCAUUUGGAAUGAGAGAAGGUUGUUACCAUGACGAAAGCUUAAAAAUACUUUGCAACUCUAGUAAAAUUCCCCUACUUUCAAUAAACGGCAUUGAUCUGGUGGUUUAUUGCUGCAAGAACAACUAUCUUCAGAUGAAGUCCAUGUUGAGAAAGUCAAAUUGUUUGCAUCCAAAGAAUUAGACAAGGCCACAGAUCACUACAGUGUGAAUAGAAUGCUCGGCCAGGGAGGUCAAGGUACUGUUUACAAAGGGAUGUUGGCUGAUGGAAAGAUCAUCGCAGUUAAGAAAUCCAAAUUUCUCGAUGAAGGGAAUCUCAGACAAUUUAUCAAAGAGGUGGUCAUUCUGUCACAAAUUAACCAUAGAUUUUUUUUACCUCAUUCAUUUCAAAAUUAUUGAAAGUAAAAUUUCAAAUUCUUAAGAAAUUAAUUCUUUAUUGGAUUAUAUUUUCUCUGAAAUUGUAUUAUAACAAGUUUUUACUUCUAUUUAUUGAUGCAAAUAUUAUAAAUCAUAGAAAAAAUAUCCUUGAAUUAAAAAAAAAAAAAAGCUGUAUUUUCUCGAAUGUUUGUCUAGAAGUAUUAUUAUUUAAAGACUUUGUGUUUUACGAUUAGUUUUUAUUUUCUUAAUGAGAUAUUUUUCUUAUUUCUUAUUUUAUUUUGUGUUUUGUGGAUUUUGUUAUUUUAUUUUAAUAUUUUAUAUAUUUUUUAUUAUUCAAAACAAACUAUAACAUAAUGAGAAUAAGGUAAGAGAAAUGUAAGGAAAUGAAGAAGAAGAAAAAGUGGCAGUAUUACCUUUAAUAUCCAAACUAACUAUAAAUGAAGACAACCCACCGCCACCAUGAGACGUGUUUUAAAUUAAAAUCCAUAAAAUCAUGCAUAAUAUUCCUGUUCAAGAAUAUACAAAAAAGCUCAUAUAUAUAUAUAUAAACAUUGGAUAUUUCUAUUUACAUAUGGCGUUUAUGAUGAAUAUAAAUUAAUUAAUGCCAACACUUAAUUAAAUAUAUUCAUCGUUUCCUAGAAAAAAAGAAGUAAAUACUGUCAACCUUGUAGUUUAAAUUAAAUCAGCAAAGAUCAUCUUUUCAGCUAAUCUUCAAAGAUUGUGUUUGUUUAAUUUUUUUAAUCAUUAUCUACUUAUAAUUAAUAUUAAAUUUAAAAAAUGCUUGAACAUAUUAUUAAGUUGCUUAUAAUAAUGAUGAUUUAAAAAAAAAAGAUAUUAUAUUUAAUUAAAAAAAGGACUUGAUAAGAAGAUAAUAAUAAGAUGUAAAUGAUACAUCAUCAAAUUAUUAUAUAUACCAAAAUAAACCUUUGACAACUUAAGAGUAAUAAUAAAGCAUUGAUCGAUACAAAAACAUCUUGGGCAGCAUGUAGUCCCUUUUGGUGGCGAAUAUACAAUUGAUUUCUGCACCAACUUCUGGAGAACCACAGUGUUCUUCUGUGGCAUGUCAUGGUCAAGUGAAUUCCAUUGGUUUGAUAUCUACGAUGCUUCCAGGGAUCCUUAUUGUGGCGACUGCAAUUGGACAAUACAAGCAACUGGGCCAUGCGUGGAUUAUUAUAAAUAUAUUUGGAAGGAAUUUGUGUGUUAUCCUUGGAAAUUGGAACAAGAAGGCAUAUCUUCAUUAAAGUGCGAGCUAGCUCUCCAUGUAUCUCAUCUCCUCUGUAUAAUUUGCUAGCUGCAUAAAAUGGAGGCAACAAAAAAAUAAGUGUACCAUGUAUUAAUAAUGAAUUUCUCCACCCAUUAGAGUGUUUUCUUUUCAUUAUUUAGAUAAUGUUUUAAGAAAUAACAUUAUUUUGGUUCUGAUCAUCAGGAUUUACCGUUGCUUAUAAAAUUCAGAGACGUAUAUUUAAUGUCGGUUGUUACAUAAUAUAAUAUUUUAAGUUAUUUUGGGUACGUCUUGUUAAACUUAUUGAGAUCAAACACAAAAAGGAGGCUAGAAUUCUAAAUAAUCUGUAUAUUAUGAAUGCAUAGUCUUAACAUAAAUACAAAUAAAGUAUAUAUAGGUUAAACUGAAAGUACUAUUCUACCCUUAAUAAAUAAGACUACAUAAAUAUUAUUUAACAUCUCCCCUCAAACUCACGAUGCGGCAGCUGUAAGCAUCGAGAGUUUGCCAACCAGAAAACAAAAACGAGAGAUGGAAUGCGCCUUGGUAAAGAAAUCUGCAAUCUGCAAGGAAGAAGGAACAAAAGGCAAAGUAAUGGUGCCAUGCUUGAGAUGAUGACGAGUAAGAUGACAAUCGAUCUCAAUGUGCUUAGUUCGCUCAUGAAAAACCGAGUUGUGAGCAAUCUGAAUAGAACUCUAGUUGUCACAAUACAUAGGAGUAGGAUGAGAAAAGGAAACUCCCAUAUCAGCAAGUAACCAACGUAACCAAACAAUCUCUUUGGUAGUAGAUGUCAUGGCACGAUAUUCUGCUUCGGUGGAUGAUUGAGAAACAAUAGAUUGUUUCUUGCUCUUCCAAGAAAUAAGAGAAUCACCUAAAAAGAUACAAAACCCGGUAACAGACUUGCGAUCUGUGGGAUCACUACCAUGAUCAGCAUCAGAGUAUGCACGCAACUCCAAGGAAGAGGUGGAUGAAAGUAAAAGACUCUGAAAAACUGUACCCCGAAGAUAUCGCAAAAUAUGAAGAACAGCUGCCCAGUGAACAGUAGUAGGAGAAGCAACAAACUAACAACAUGAACAACAUAUGCAAUAUCUGGACGAGUAAUGGUGAGAUAUACCAAACUCCCAACAAUAGUGCGGUAUAAAGUAGGAUCUAUCAAAGGUAAACCAUCAGAAGAAGAGUACCUUGCAUUAACCUCAAUAGGAGUAUCUACAGUCUUGUUAUCAGUAAGUCUAGCCCGCUCAAGAAUAUCUGCAACAUAUUUCGACUGAGAAAGAAGGUAACCUCUAGGUGAGUAUGCUACCUCAAUACCCAGGAAAUAUCGAAGAUAACCCAAAUCCUUCAUUUCAAAUCGUCUAGCCAACUCUGUCUUCAAAACUGAAAUACCAUCAAUCAUCACCAGUAAUAAUCAUGUCAUCAACAUAUAAAGACAGAAUGAUACGACCUGCAUCAGUGCACUUAAUAAAAAGAGCAGAAUCAUGACUGCUAGAAACAAAGCCAAAGACGAGAUCACAAUAGAGAAUUUCUCAAACCAAGCACGGUGCUUGUUUGAGACCAUAUAAUGCUUUCUUAAGCUUACAAACAUAUCCAGAGUCAUGUGAAAUACCAGGAGGGGGUGCCAUAUAAACUUCUUCUUGAAGAUCUCCAUUCAAGAAGGCAUUUUUAACAUCAAGCUGAGAAAUAUGCCAUUACGAAUCGAAGCUACACAAUAAGAGUACGAAUAGUAGUCAUUUUUGCAACCGGGCAAAUGUCUCCUCAUAGUCCAUACCAUACUGUUGAGAGUAUCCUUUUGCAACCAGCCUAGCUUUGUAUCGCUCAAUAGACCCAUCAGAAUUAGUCUUGAUCUUAUACACCCAACAACCAACAACACUCUUACCAGGAGGUAGAGGAACCAGAUCCCAAGUAUUUGUCUUAUGCAAAGUAGAAAGUUCCUCAUCCAUAGCUUGCUGCCAAAGCGGAUCAAGAAUUGCCUCUUUAUAGGAAGAGGGCUCAAAGAGACAAUGAAUAGAAGCUAAAAAGGAAGUAAAUGAUGAAGAAUAACAAGAAUAAGCAAAAUCUGGUAGUUUUGUAGACUUACGAAUACGGAUGGACUGACGUGGAGGUGGAUCCACAAUCUCAGAUGAAGCUUGAGGGGCUGUAGAUGAGAAUGGAGCUUCAGGUGUGCCAGAGAGUAAAGUACCAGUACCUGCAGAGUUAUGAGUACAAAUUGAUCGAACAUGGGGAGAGAUAUCAUUAUCAGAAUCCUCAGAAAACGGAUCUAUACUAAUGACAUCAGAUUUGGUCAGGUUAUGAGUAGUGGAUGGAAUAGAAAAGAAAGGUAUAUGCUCAAGGAAGACAACAUGACGAGACACAUAAAGUUUCUGAGUUAUUGGAUCAAAACAACGAUAACCCUUUUUACCUUCACCAUAGCCUAGAAAAACACAAAUAGCGGAUCGAGAGGAUAACUUACUUCGUUCUACAUGAGGACGAAGAACGAAACAAGUACAACCAAAGACUCUAAAUGAGGAAUAAUCAGGAACAUACCCAUAUAACUUUUCAAAAGGAGAUAGACCCGAACUAUGAGAAGAUGGAAUUGUAUUAAUUAAACUUACAGUAGUAAGAACAGCUUCUCCCCAAAACUCACUAGGAACAAAGGCAGACAACAAGAGAGAACGAGCAGUUUCAACAAUGUGCCUAUGUUUUCUUUCAGCAACACCAUUUUGCUCAGGAGUAUCUGUACAAGAAGUUUGGUGGAUGGUUCCAUCUAGGGCAAGCAAUUGGCAAAAUUUAUUAGAGGUGUAUUCCCCACCCAAAUCACACCUAAAACAUUUAAUCACAGCAGAAUGUUGAGUUUUGAUAAGAGCUCGAAAAGCUGCAUAUAUCUCAAAAAUUCAGAACGAUGUUUCAUUAAAUAAACCCAACAAUAACGAGUAUGAUCAUCAAUAAAAGAGACAUAAUAUCGAGACCCUCCUUUUGUGGCAACAGGAGAAGGUCCCCAUACAUCAGAAUGAAUCAAAUCAAAUGGUGAAGAAGAAACAGAAAUACUUCGAUUAAAAGGUAAGGCGGAAAAUUUUGCCAAUUUACAUCCACUACAAUCAGAAAUGUCACAAGUUUUCAAAUUUCCUAAAGCUCCUGUGGAUGCCAAAAAUCUCAAACGAGAAGAUGAAACAUGACCUAGACGGGAAUGCCAUAAAUAAAAACUAGAAGAUGAAAGACUCAAACGAAAGGAAGACAAAUCAACGGUAGUAGCAGCAGUGGCAGCAGCAGCAACUGGCACUUUUAACUCAUCCAAAAUAUAUAGUCCAUUCUCUCUACGGCCUGUCCCAAUCAGCUUCUGAGACUGCAGAUCCUGUAUACAACAAAAUGAACCAGAAAACAUGACUAAAUAAUCACCAGAAUCACAUAUUUGACCAACAGACGCAAGAUUCAAAGACCCAUGACAGGAAUCUGGAGACAUAUGAUGAGAAGCACCAGAAUCCAAGACCCAUUCAGAAUGUGACAUACCUGAGGAACUAUGAUGCAACUGACCUAUGGAAGAAGAAGCGGACAUUGCUUGUGGCUGCAAGGAGAGAAACUUCUGAAAUUGCUCAGCCAAAAUAUUAGGAUCGGUAAUAGAGCUUGAGGAAGCUACUGCUGCAGUAUUGUGGUGUGGUGGUUUAUAACCCUAAGGUUGUCUAUGAGCAUUAGAUUAUGACUGAUUGCCAAACUUCCAAGCUUGAUUCUGCUGUCUCAACUUAGGACACUGAGCCUUCCAAUGACCUUUCUGCUUAUAGAAACUGCACUCAUCGAAGCCAACCUUUGUGUAAGGCUUAUUUUGAUGAUUAGAGAAUGGCUUAGAAGGCACUGCUAAUACUGAAGGAUUCAAAGCAUAAAAAAUUCCCUUUUCAGAAUAAGACUGAAAAUGUAUUUCUUCAGCCAAUAACUCACUAACAACAGAGUCAACAGAAGGCAAUGGAGAACGAUGCAGAAUUGAACCCCUAAGUCCUUCGAAAUCACUGCGAAGUACUGUUAAAAACUGUACCAAUCGUUGUUGCUCUCUACGCUCAAUAUAGGCACCACAUGCCUUUAAUUCUGCCGAUUCUGUAAGAGCCAAUUGAUCCCAAAGAUCUGUCAUAGCAGAAUAAAACUCUUGGAUACUCAUAUUCUUCUGAUGAAGAGCUCGUAUGUCAUUCUCUAAUUGAUACUGUUUUGCAAAUUUUGAUUGUGUGAAUAACCUUUGCAGAUGAUCCCAAACCUCUUUUGCUGUCUCAUACUUUGCCAACUGCAUACCUAUCGAAUGCUCAACAGAAUUGUUGAUCCAAGUAAUGAUCUUUGCAUUAUUUGCUUCCCAUGUAUCUAUCAAAACAACAUCUCCCUCCUCAACAUUCUUAGGUAUCAUAUAAGUCCCACUAACAUACCCCCACAUCUUCUUAUCCUUAAGAAAAUUUCUCAUCACAUAACUCCAAUACGAAUAAUUCUUCCUAUCCAACCUCACACUCACAGACUGAAGUGAAUCAUCUCUUUCAGUAGCCAUAAUCAGCAAUCACAAAUAACCAGAAUGCAAAAGCAGCAGAAACAAAAUACAAAAUUGCAGAAACUAAACAAAUCUCUUCUCGAAAUUAUACGAUUACUCCAAAACACAAAACAAAUUUGCAAAAAUUGAACGCAAAUACCAAAUUGCAGAUGCUGAAGGGAAGACGAAAUACCAAAAUAAUUGCAGAAACUGUCGAAAUACCAAAAUAAUUGCAGAGACUGUCGAAAUACCUAAUUUUGCAGAAGCGGAAGACAAAAUAUCACUCCAAAAAAAAAUUGCUAGAAUCAGCUCGUUUUGUCGAAAUACCAAAAAAAUUGCUAAAAUUGCAGAGACUGUCGAAAGUUGGAUCCGCGAAGCUGUAUUUGGGAUUAAGCUUCGUUUCAUAAAAUCAGCUCUGAUACCAUGUUAAACUUAUUGAGAUCAAACAUAAAAAGGAGGCUAGAAUUCUGAAUAAUCUGUAUAUUAUGAAUGCAUAGUCUUAACCUAAAUACAAAUAAAGUAUAUAUAGGUUAAACUGAAAGUACUAUUCUACCCUUAAUAAAUAAGACUACAUAAAUAUUAUUUAACACGUCUCACUUAGAUUUUUAGAUUUAGUUUUAACACAAAUAUCAAUGUUAUCAAACUGAUUUGAUUUGGUAAUUCAAUGUUAUAAAACCUGAUUUGAUUUGGUGAUUCAUUCAUUCAAAACUUGAUUUAAUUUGAAUUAGAUAGAAAUUAACCUAGUCAUUUCUUUUAUCAUAUCUUAUCGCCUUGAUAAAAAACUAAAUUUUAUUUAAUUUUAAAAGAAUAAUAUAAAAUGAUGUUAUUUAAAAAAAAAUUAAAAUGAUAUUAUUUUAGAUUGGUUUAGGUUUAGUCAAGCUAACUCUUCCAACUCAUAACCCAGUCCUUAAACUAAACCAACUUUUAUAACUAAGUAUUUUUAAGAAAUUAGCCCAAUUCUCUUUUGAUUAAAUAUGUGAAGGUGGUGAUACUCCCAUUUCACUGUUCUUUCUGUUCUCUAUAGUAUUAUGCCAUGAGUGCACCAGAGAUUUUAUGAAGAUGAUAAGAUGUAAGUGAUACAUAAUUAAUCAAUCAAAUUAUUACACCACAAUAAACUUUUGACAAGUUAAGAGUCAUAAGAAUUCGACAAGUAGUUAGAGUAAGAAGAAUAAAAUGAGAAAACUAAAAUAGAUUAGAUUAGUGAAUAAUUUAUAAAGCAUUGAUUAAUACAAAAUAUCGUGUUUCAAUAAAGAGAAAGCUUGAUGAUAACUUGUAGAAUUCACAAACACGUACGAUCCUGCCAAAACAUUUUAUUUUUUAUUUUUGGAAAGAUGAUUUUGAUAUAUAAUUUGCUAUAAAAUUAGCAUAUCGCUCAAUAUUAUCCUGCCAAAACAGCUAGCCAGAUGCAUGAACCAAUUUAGUAGUAAUUAUCACUAAUUCAUUGUAGCGAGCCAAGUGCAGUUUUGGCUAAAUAUACAAGGAAGAAACCCUUGAAACGGCACAACCAUUCGCUAUAUAACACGAAGAGCCACCAUAUACUAAAGCCUAUAUAUAAGUAAGUUGGAUUUGCAUGAAUACUAAAAAACAAUCCAAACUAAACAGAUCAAAUUAAAUCUUCUUGCAGACAUGAUUUCUUUCACCAGCCAUUUCGCCCUACUGAUAUUAUUAUCUCUGUUGCUGCUGAUCAUAGCUACGUGUGAUGCUGCAGGUUGUCUAUGGAAACCAACACGUUUGAAUAUCAAUAAUGACUUAGGCCCGGGCUUGGACCUUACAAUCCAUUGCAAAUCCAAAAACAACGAUCUUGGGCAGCAUGUAGUGUUACUUUUAAGGCUUUAGGGUUGGAUGUAUCCUCUGCUUCUUAUUUUUCUUCUCCUGUGGAGGGAUGCCUUAUAUAGGCAAAUAUAUAUGUCGGUUACAUCUUUCCUAUUCUGAAAGGAAUACUGCAAUGUAUAUCCUUUCAGGACUCCUAUAGAGUAUGUCUUUUAUAUAUAGAAAACUACCAUCUAAUUCAGCUAAUUACAUGUUAACACUUCCCCUCAAGUUGGUGCGAAGAUAUCUUCUAAGCCUAACUUGUCUAGAGACUUAUGAAGAGCUUCUGCAGGGACUGCAUGGGUUAGAAUAUCUGCUAGUUGCUCACUUGAUCUGACGAAAGGGAUGUCCACUAACUUUAGAAGUAACUUUUCCUUGAUGAAGUGUCGAUCUACCUCAAUGUGUUUAGUUCGAUCAUGUUGUACUGGAUUAUUAGCUAUCUCUCGUGCUGCUGAUUGUCACAGUAUAGUAACAUAGGGUCUUUGGGUUCAAAACCAAUUUCUGUGAGUAAGGUCCUGAGCCAUAACAGUUCGCAUAUUCCAUGUACCAUCCCUCUAUAUUCUGCUUCUGCUGAGGACCUUGCUGUCACAUUUGUUUUUUACUUCGCCAUGUGACAAGAUUUCCUGCAACAAAUGUAAAAUAGCCAGAGGUGGAUCUCCGGUCAGUGAGAUUUCCUGCCCAAUCUGCAUCAGUAAAUCCUUUCACUUCCAUAGUUCCAUGUCUUUUAAAUGUCAAUCCUCCUGGAGCCCCUUUUAGAUAACUCAGAAUUCUCAUUACAGCUGUCAUAUGAUCUUCACUUGGAGCAUGCAUAAACUGACUUACCACACUAACCGCAUAGGCAAUGUCUGGGCGAGUGUGAGAUAAAUAAAUUAACCGCCCUACCAAUCGCUGGUAUCUUUCUUUGUUUGUUGGUACCUGAUCUGGGUGAAUGGCCAAUCGAUGAUUUUGAACAAUAGGAGACUCUACUGGUUUGCAUUCUAGCAUGCCCGUUUCAGAUAAUAGGUCCAGUAUAUACUUUCGUUGUGACAAGUAUAUACCAUCUUUAGUUCUUGCAACUUCAAUUCCCAAAAAUAUUUCAGUCCUCCUAAUCUUUCAUUUCGAAUUCGGUAGACAAACAUUCUUGUAGCUUUUUUAUUUCAUCUGUGUCAUCACCAGUUACGAUCAUAUCGUCUACAUAAAUAAUGAGCAGUGUAACUUUACCAUUCUUCUGUUUGAUGAAUAGAGUGUGAUCAGAGUUACCUUGGUGAUAACCAAUUCGUUUCAUAGCUUCUGUGAAUCUCCCAAACCAUGCUCUUGGCGAUUGCUUCAAGCCAUACAAUGCUUUUCGUAAUCUACACACUUUUCCACUAGAUUGUGAGCUGUUAAACCCAGGUGGAAGUUGCAUAUAGACUUCUUCUUCCAGAUCCCCAUGGAGAAAUGCAUUUUUCACAUCAAAUUGCUUCAAAGGCCAACUGAAAUUUGCUGCUAAAGACAACAAGACUCUGAUGGUGUUCAUUUUUGCAACUGGAGCAAAAGUUUCUUGAUAGUCAAUGUCGAAUGAUUGUGUGUACCCCUUUGCUACUAGCCUUGCCUUGAACCGAUCAAUUGUGCCGUCUGCUCUAUGUUUAAGGUUGAAUAUCCACUUGCAGCCCACUGGUUUUUUUCCUGGAGGGAGUGAUACAAUACUCCAUGUGUCAUUUCUUUGUAAUGCACUAUUUCAGCCUCCAUUGCUUCUGCCCAUUUCGGGUGUUGUAAGGCAUCCUCAACCUUUGUAGGUAUUCUUAUAUUCGCCAUCUCACUUAUGAAGGCUUGAUGCUGUGGAGGUAGUUUGUGUGUAGAGACAUACUGUGUGAUUGCAUAUUUUGCUUUUCCAUUCGGUGAGUACCUGUCAGGGGCCUUUCCACGGUUCUGUCUAGGAGGGAGAGAGUAGCAUGGGGCAGAUAAUAAAGGGAAAGAGGAAGGGCUUUCAGUGUCACUUACCUCAUGGAUAUCCGAUCGAUCUUGAACAUGGAUUUGUGGAGAGGAAGGGGUUAUUUCAUCAUGCAUGUAUUCUUCUUCUGCAUCACUGCUGCUAUGUGUAUUGUACUCUAUGUGUUCUUUCCCUGCAUUGCCCGUUGCAGUUGUUCUGGAGCUGGGCUCUGUAUUUCCUUCCCCAACAUUACUAAUUGUGUGUGUACUGGUUUCCAUUUCUUCCCCUGAAGUUGACUGUUGCUGCUCCGUAUUUCCUUCCCCUGAAUAUGUGUUUCCUUCCCCUGAAUCCAACUGAAGAUCAAUCCAGUUGUAGGCAUCAUAUUGCAGCUCCCCCUGAGGACUAGAGCUGGAUGGAUUCAUAUGGAAAAAAUAUUCUGUUUCAGAGAAGGUAACAUCCAUACUGACAUGCAUCUGGCGAGAAGAAGGAUGGUAGCACCGGUAUCCCUUUUGGUGAGGAUUGAAACCAAGAAAGACACACCGUACUGCGCAUGGUUCCAGUUUUGUGCGCUGAGUUUUCUGCAGGUGAACAUAGGCUACACAUCCAAACACACGGGGUUCUAAGUGUAGGAGGGAUGGAAUCUGAAUGUGUUGAGUGAGAGUCUGCAAGGGAGUGCUGAAGGAGAGGACUUGGGAUGGCAUCCGGUUGAUGAGAUACACAGCAUAGGUUACUGCAUCAACCCAAUAAUGUUGAGGGACAUGGGCACCAAUGAGAAGAGCUCUAGUAGUUUCAAGAAUAUGCCUGUUUUUGCGUUCUGCCACACCAUUUUGUUGUGGAGUGCGCGGGCAAGUAGUCUCAUGGAGAAUACCAUUGUUUUGAAAGAAACUCAAGAGUUCAGAGUUAAGAUAUUCUCCACCAUUGUCUGAUCGAAUAAUCUUCACCGGCAGGGAGAACUGAGUGCACACCAUGCGAUAAAAAAUUGGGAAUAUAUUACGCACAUCACUCUUGUGUCGCAUAGUAUAUAACCAAGUCAUUCUGGUGCAAUCAUCGACAAAUGUAAGAAACCAUCGAAUUCCAGAUUGGGAAGUAAUUGGAGCAGGUCCCCAAACAUCAGAGUGGAUCAAUUCAAAAGGCUUUGUUCUUUUAUUCAAGUUUACAGGAUAUGAAGUUCGAUGGCUCUUGGCCAAGAUGCAAACAUUACACUUAAGAGAGGAACUUGGAUCCGGAAUGUCAUCAAAGAGGGAAGGAAAUAAUUUUUUUAAGUAGCCAAAGGAUGCAUGACCCAGCCGACGAUGCCAUAACCAAAUUUUCUUGUGAUUAUUACCAUUGUGACUCUGAACUUGAUGGACGUGACCUGAAGCUACGUCAUCUACAUAGUAUAACCCUUUCCUCUUAGUACCACGUCCAAUGAUCGCUUGAGUCCGGAUAUCCUGAAGUAAGCAAAACGUGGGAAACAUUAAUACCACACAAUCCAAUUCUUCUGUAAUUUGACUAACAGACAGUAAAUGAUUUGAAAGUGCAGGGACAAGUAAACAAUUAUGUAGUGAAAGAUCAGGAGUGAGAACAAUUGAUCCUGCUCCAAUGACUGGGGUAGACUCCCCAUUGGCUGUCAUGACCUUUUCCUUAGACGGGGGAGUCAUGUAUUGAAAUAAUGAUUUGUUAUACGUCAUAUGAUCUGUGGCACCCGAGUCAAUGAUCCAACCUGUAUCAUGAACCGUGGAUGUCGACAAAACCACUCCAGUUUUACCUGUCGCUGAAGUCUGGUCAGUUUUCGUUAAGGAGAGCAAUUCAUCCGGUUUAGUGUGGUCUUUUUUUCUUAUUGCCAUGGCAGCAAAACUGGAAGGAAUUUCUGUUGCAGUGGUUAAUUUUGCUUGGACUGGACGUUUAUUACUUCUUGCUUUACUUUGCUUCUGUUUUUCUAGAAACCAGUCAGGGUAGCCAUGAAUCUCAAAACAAGUGUCUCUGGUAUGGCGACUUCCAUUACAAUGGCUGCAGCGCAACUUGUCUUUUUCUGCUUCCUCAAUAGCUCGAAGAGUGCGCAUGUUAGAAGGGGUGGUGGAUUUGGAAAUCAUUGCAAUUGAUGAACCUUCACCAGUGUUUUUUGCUCCCAGCAUGGUGACUUGUCGCUGAGCCUCCCUUCGAAUUGUAUUGAAGCACUCUUCAAUACUUGGAACAGAUUUUUUUCGAAGGAGAUCACUGCGUAUUGAAUCAAAAACUUCAUCCAAACCUGCAAGAAAGUCAUAGAUCCGGUCCUUUUGAAUUUCUUCUUGUCUGGUUCUAAGAUCUGCAGCACAUAUCAUCUUAAUUGGUCGUCGCUUGUCAAUUUCCUGCCAUACACUAUUCAGCUCUGCGUAAUACAAGUUAACUGGACGCCCAUUCUGUUUCGUCCUCGUGGCUUUGCAGCGUAGCUCAUAGAAUUGUGACUCAUCAGCCCCAUCAUAAAAGGUUUGAGUGACACUAUCCCAGAUUUCCUUGGCUGAUGACAGGUCUAUAAAUAAACCAAUAAGAUGAGGCUCCAUGGUUUUCAACAACCAUCCUCGUACCACUGCAUCUUCAGUGCACCACUUUGAGUAACCAGAAUUUCCUUCUUCCACUCUAGCAUUCUGCCCAGUUAAGUAGCCAAGUUUGUUCAAUCCAGCAGCAUGCAGUUCAAGCAUACGUGACCAGAUUUUGAAGUUUGUCUCAUUCAAUUUAAAUCCAAAGGGUAAGGUGUUUGGGUUAGGUGUUUCAGCAGAGAAUGAAGUUUGGUUUAUAGGGAUAAUAGAAGUAUUUGUGUCAUCCAUGGUUGGUCUCUUGUUUCAAGACCAAUUCCCAGGAGAAGAUUAAUGUGGCGGCUGAAAAGUUAAAGGAAGAUUUUAGCUUUCAACCUUGCUCUGAUACCAUGUUACUUUUAAGGCUUUAGGGUUGGAUGUAUCCUCUGCUUCUUAUUUUUCUUCUCCUGUGGAGGGAUGCCUUAUAUAGGCAAAUAUAUAUGUCGGUUACAUCUUUCCUAUUCUGAAAGGAAUACUGCAAUGUAUAUCCUUUCAGGACUCCUAUAGAGUAUGUCUUUUAUAUAUAGAAAACUACCAUCUAAUUCAGCUAAUUACAUGUUAACAUGUAGUCCCUUUUGGUGGCGAAUAUACAAUUGAUUUUUGCUCCAACUUUUGGAGAAGCACACUGUUCUUCUGUGGCGUGUCAUGGUCAGGAAAAUCCCAUUGGUUUGAUGUCUACGAUGCUUCCAGGGAUUCUAGUCGCUGUGGAAAUUGCAAGUGGACAAUACAUGCAACUGGGCCAUGCAUGGAUUAUUAUAAUUAUUAUACAAAGGAAUUUGUAUGUUAUCCUUGGAAUGACAAGGCAUAUCUUCAGUAAAGCGCUAGUUACAUAGCUCUAUAUAUCUCCUGUGUUCAAUUUACUAGCUGCAUAAAGCGGAGACCACAAAAAAAAUAAGUUUACUAUGUAUUAUUGAGUUUCUCCACUCAUUAGGAGUGUUUUCCUUUCAUGAUUUGCAUAUAAUUCUUUCCAAGGAAUAACACUAUUUUGGUUGUGAUAAUCAUGAUUUGCCGUUGAUUACAAAGUUUAGAUGAGACGUACAUUUGUUGUAGUUGUGCGAUAGAAUAUCAUUAGUCAAUAUAUCCGUGUUACGAUAUGCAAUGUUUAUUUGGCAAGUGGACGAUGGAUUAAUUAUGUUAAAGGAAAACCACUUAUUAGUUGUUAAUUAUUUAUAUAAGUUCUCGAUUAAGUCCCCAAACUAUCAGUUUUAUUAUUUGAUGAUCCCUAUAAUCUAUAUACUUUCGACCUAUUAAUUAGUUGUUAAUUAUAAUCGUUAACAUGAUUGACUCGAUUAGGUUUUUAAUAACCCAGUUAAAUCAAUCGAUGCAAACUUUAUCAAAUUAAUAUCAAGAAUUGUUUUUUAAAUAAAAAAAUUAAAUAUCAUUUUAAUAAAUAAAAAAUAGUUAACUCAGUGAUUUAGUACCUCUACCCUUUUCUAUAACAAUACCCCAAAUCAAGUCUGAUGAUUAUGGCUAUCACUGUGCAAAAACUAAAGUUAAAGUAUGAAAUUGCUUAAAUAUAUAUUCAUGCCUAAUAUUGUCGGCGAGACAAAUUUUCUGAUGAAGGACAUUUUUUUUCAGAUUUUCCUUAAAUAUUGGGUGAGCAACUGGCUCUAUUACAGUAUUUCUAUCCAUACAAUUUAGGAAAAGAUAACAAUAUUUCUAAAUAGACUAAUAUUAAUUUGUUGUUGUUCAUAUUCAUGACAACUACGAUGAUGCUAGCUAGAAAGCAGAAAAGAAAAGAAAAGAAAUUAAGAGAUUUAUUAAGAAUACAGAGUACCAUCCAAUUGUUUUCAAAUUCGUGGAACCAAGAUUUCAUUUGUAAGAAAUACAAUAUAUACAAGUAUAGUUAAGAUAUAAUUAAUAGUUAAUGACAGACAAAUUACAAGGAAAAGGACAGCUGUUAGGCCUGUGUAUCUAGUAUGGAAUUUAAUCACACAAAUACAUAGAUUUAAUCAUCCUUAAUUUCUUGAUUGUGGAAGGUCUCUCUAAUCCAAAAGGUGCAAGGCCCCUAAUCCAAAACGUGUUCACGUAAUAAAAUACUUAAAUUAAUUGCCAUGUAUAUCGUCCUGAAUUAAUCGUCCUAGCUUGUAGGCAACAACAAAGCAUGCAUGCAUGUAUGGCAAGAAGCAAUAAAUAGAAAUUAAUUAAAACAUCAGAAUUGAAUGUCACUACGUAUUCGAUGUUGCUAACACGGAUCAUCAGAUCCCAGAUCACAGCUGGAAAAUACAGGGGGGAAAGGGUCUUACAUCUUCACCAUGCAUGUAGGCAGCCUAUAAAUAAAAAAAAUCAAAAUCAAGAUAUUAUACAAAAGAAAAACUCUUAAUAUCAUACAAGCAUGAAUCCCUUUAUCACAAGGCAUUUCGUUCUGCUAAUAUCAUCUUUGUUACUGGUCUUUACUGCUUGUGAUGCAUUUUGUUUUCUUCGAACAAGUGUAAAUUUGAAGAUCACAAACCAGUUGGGUUCAGGCCUGGACCUCGCCAUCCACUGCAAAUCGAAAGAUGAAGACCUUGGCGUGCACGUAGUCCCUUUUGAUGGCUAUUACACACUGAGUUUUUGUUCCAAUGCUUGGGGAACUACACAAUACUUCUGCGGCAUGACAUGGUCUGGUAAACUCCAUUGGUUUGACUUCUUCAUCGCUAGAAGGGACUCUUUUCGCUGCGGUAACUGCACUUGGAGAAUACUUCCAAGAGGCCCUUGUAUGACUUACAAUAUUGGCGAGUUAAGAGAGUACAAAUGUUACCAUUGGAAUGGCGAUCAGGUACUUUAGAAAUCUCGUAGCAUAAAAUAGAGUUAAAUCUAUGUACUCUCCUAUACUCCCAUGUAUUUGACUCAGUGAAUAAAUUUAUUUUUCUUGUUUUUGCCUUCUAAUUAGCAGUUUUAUUUGCCAUUGUAAGAAUCUACUCUAGGCCAUGACUAAUUAAGUUCCUAAAAGUACAAAUUAUGAGCUGUUGAUCUGAUGAGAUUAUGCAAUUUAUCAAAUGGUGAUUAAAACCGAAAUCAGAGAUUAUGCAAUUUAUCAAAUGAAUAAGAUCAACAUUAAAAGUAGUUAAAUCAAACUAAUUAAACGUUUAGUACGUACCUCAAAAACAUGGCCUCCAAAAUUAAUUAAUACAUAAGCAAGCAAUCGAGUAAUGAUAAUAUUAUUAUGGAAUUCAUUUAUUGAAAAAACAUCAAUCACGUAAUGUAUUUUUGACUUUCCAACUUUGAAAUACAAGGAGCCUGAGAGGAAAAGGUGUUACCAUCAAUUUGGAAAUAUUACACGCACUUCCAAAUCAAUAAUUUUAGGGUUUUUUUUUUAAAUAUUGAAGCAAUAUUUGAUUAUUUUCUUGAAAUAAAAAAAUAUAAAUAAUUAGAACAGAAAAACAUGUUUUUUUCUCUUUUAUGUUUUGAAAAGAUAGAAAAUCGUUUAAACUAAUUCAUAGACAGAUUUAGUUUCAUAGCAAUGUGGUAGUGAAUAAAAAAAAUCAAUAGUUUCAGGGGUGAUGAAAUUUGGAAAGGAGGUUAAGUCAUCAUGAUUAAUUUUCUUCGUCUUCUCUGUUCAAUGAAAUAGAAAUAAAUAACAAUGAAUACUUGGAGCUCUUGAGUUUGAACUAUAAUGAGUUAUUUCUUCUUAAAAUAAGAAAUAAAAAUAUAUAUAAUGGAUUAUUUAUUCUUAAAAUAAUGUUUGAAAAAAAUACUCGCCAAUGAAAAUACUGUCGGUAGAUAAUAGACUUUGGGCUUAUAAUAUAGUUAUGAAUCUAUUACUUAAUUUAUGGAUUUCAUUUAAUAAGGAAAUAAAUAAGUUUAUAUAUACACAACACGUCAUCUAUGACUUUAUUGGCUUUGGAGGUGUCCAGUCCACCAUUACUGUUUUCUGCGUGCCCACUUGAUUCUGCACAAGCUUUCUCACUCUUGAUCUUCCCAUUUCUGAAUUAUAUAUACACAUGCUGAUGGCCUUUUCUUUUUCUUUUUCUUUUUUCUGUUUUUUUUUUUAAUUGCCUUGCUGCUUUUUCUGUAGUUGAAGUUCGUCCUGUUAAAAAAAAAAAAAUUACAUAAAAGUGACGGUAUGUUCUGAAUUAGCUUUAAUAAAAAUGACACCGAGUCAAGCAUUUCAAGACGGUCAUUGUUUCUCAUUAUUUAGCAUAGUUUCUCGUUACUUGGCUUUGCCUGUUUCAUUCAUUCAAAUGGAUAAUCAUUACUUCCUUUUUAUAUAUUGUGUUUCAAAUUAAAAGGCAUUAUUUUUUAUAUUUUUAGUUUUAAUCAUAAUUUUAAUAUUUUUAAGAGUAUUAGUAGAUGUUGUAUUUUAAAAUAUUUUUAUAUAAAAAUAAUAUUCUUUCAAAACUAAUUAAACGUUUAGUACCUCAAAAACAUGGCCUCCAAAAUUAAAUAAUACAUAAAUAAGCAAUCGAGUAAUGAUAAUAUUACAUGGAAUUCAUUUGUUGAAAAAACAUCAAUCAAGUAAUGUAUUUUUGACUUUCCAACUUUGAAAUACAAGACGCUUGAGAGGAAAAGGUGUUACCAUCAAUUUGGAAAUAUUACACGCACUUCCAAAUCAAUAUUUUUAGGGGGUUUUUUUCAACGUUAAGGCAAUAUAUAUUUGGUUAUUUACUUGAAAUAAAAAAAAUAUAUCUAGACAAUUAAAACAGGAAGAACAUAUAUAUCCUCUCUUUUAUAUAUGUUUGAAAAAAUCAUUAGUUUUUUCAUUUAAACAUGUUUUCGUGGUUGAUGGGUGAUAAAUUUAUCUGAUAUUAUGAUAGAUUUUAUUGUUAUGGUUUGAUAAUUUAUAAUUGAAAAAUUUAUAAAUUAUGAUUUUUUUUAGAAUUUUAAAUGAGAUCUUUGUAAGAUUCUAGUAGUAUAUAUUGAUUAGCUAAAUAUUUGUAAGACUAUAGUUAAAAUAAAAUGUAAUUUUAUUCACAAUUCAUACAAACAUGGUAUAAAUGUUUUUAAUUAGACGAAUUUCCAUAGGAAAUAGGCUCCAACCUUCUUUGCUUGCCUGUUUCAUUCAAAUGGAUAACCAUUACUUGAUUCUACUUCAGGGGAAGUCAACGUCAAGGAAAUCAAAUUGUUUGGUUCAAAGGAGUGGGACAAGGCCACUGAUCAUUACAAUGUGAAUAAAACGCUUGGCCAGGGAGGCCAAGGUACACUUUACAAUUGUUGGUCUAUGAAUUCAUUCCUAAUGGAACCCUUUUCCAGUUUCUUCGGGCCAAAAAUUAUUGUAUUUUUUUAAUGUAAAAUUAGAAAAAAGUUAUAUUUUUUGAAUGUGGGAUAUAAAUUUUUUAUUUAAAUAAUUCAACUUAAAAUGAUAAGAUAAUAUCUUUUAAUGUGAAAUUUAAAGCCUUUUAAUCAUAGUUUUAAAACUCGGACCGGCCCGGCGGGUUAACCCGGGACCCAGUCGACCCGGGCCUGGAACCGGUCCGGGUGGAGGCAAAAACCCGCUUGGGAAUUGGCCCGGGGAAACCCGGUCCACUCGGUCAAACCCGGGUAAGACCCGGUCACUUUUUUUCCUGUUAGUCUUCUUCACAAUCAAUGGGUCUUAAUCACUUGCUCCUGUUUCCCCAAUCCUUGCCCUUCCUUCCACCCCAUCUUCUCCAUCAUCCUCUGCGCCGCAGUCUGUUAGGGUUUAUAUAUUUUUCCUUUCCUUGCCUUUCCUUUUUAUAGAAGAAUGGCAGAACGGAGAACUUCGUGGUUCUUCACUUGCUAGAAGUCACUCGUCACUCUCUCUCCUUUUCCCUCAAGUCACUAACAGAUCCGAUCUAGGGUUUCAUUUCUUCCAUUAAAAAUGGCAGUCGCUGCACAGACACCUGAUAUUCUUGGCGACAGACAGUCCGGCCAGGACAUUCGUACUCAAAAUGUGGUGGCCUAUCAAGCAGUCGCCAAUAUCGUUAAAUCCUCACUCGAUCUUGUUGGUCUCGACAAGAUGCUUGUAGAUGAUAUCGGAGACGUAACAAUCACCAAUGAUGGUGCUACUAUUCUUAAGAUGUUAGAAGUCGAGCACCCUGCUGCUAAGGUUCUAGUGGAGUUGACUGAGCUGCAAGACCGAGAAGUUAAAUUCUUAAUAAAUUCGGUUUGUUAGGGUUUUUUAAAAUAGUUAAUGGUGAUGUGAGCAGAAGAAAUUAAUGAAUGUGGUGUUAGUUUUGUUUAAUUGUAACUUUUUUUUUGGGUUGACCCGGGUUAACCCGGGUCAACCCAUCUGACCCGUGACCCGAUCACUCUACCGGGUCGAUGACCGGGUCGGGUUUCAAAACUAUGCUUUUAAUAUAUAUACUCUAUGUUUACAAGAAAAAAUUUAUUUUUUCAAUAUGGAAUUUGAAGCCUUUUUGUAUAUAUACUCUAUGUUCACAAGAAAAAAGUUAUGUUUUUUAAUGUGGGAUAUAAUUUUUUUUAUUUAAAUACUUCAAUUUAAAAGAAUAAAAUAAUAUUUUUUUAAUGUGAAAUUUAAAACCUUUUAAUAUAUAUAAAAUAUUACAAACCUGUAAUAUCGAAAGGAUUUUCAUUGUUGACCUUGCAGCUCUUCUCUCUCUCUCUUAUUCUCUUCACGUGCUCUCUACAUUCUCUCAUUUUGCUCUCAAAUAAUGCCUCUAUUUAUAGGCAUCUGUCGCACGUGUGCGGCAGCGCGGCGAUCGUCCACCAUCAAGGAAAUAUCGGAAUAUUUAUUCUUUGAAAAUAGGGAGAGACAAGGAAUUCUUGUCUCUACAAGUGAAAAUAUGGACUGGGAGUCGCCACCUAGUAUUCUGGUUACUAGGAACCCUAACUGGUCUCAGAGAUGGGGUACGGAGACUGGUUGCGUAAAGGGAAGGUAUUAGCACCCCAACUACGCCCUACCUAAGGUAAGCUGCAUUGUUUUGUCUGAUAAAAUCUAAAGUCGUGUUAUGGUUUGUAAUUGUUUGGAAUACGCAUUACAUGUAAUGUCAUACCCCAGGUUCGAGUGUCCGUAAAAAAAAGAAAUUAAAUAUCUGGAAUAUGCAUUACGUGUAAUGUCAUACCCCGGAUACCAAGAGACAAACAAAAUAAAAUUUUUGUUGUUUUUUGAAAUUUUGGCCAAUAUUCUCUUGACUUUAAUAAACUGGUUAUUAAAGUCAAAAUGCAUGCUAAAAUAUUGUUUUUUGACAUAUGAAAAAUACGAUAUGAUUUUUAGAUUUGAGAUACUUGGCCGUAUGCACAAAAACAUUUUUUAUCUUUUUUCAAUUUUUUUUUAUUUUUGAAAGUUUUUGCCGAAAACCGGGUAUUUUAAUACCGGAUUUAUAUAAAAAUACUGCCCGAUAUUAACCAAAAUGACAUAAAAUUACGCGGAAAAAUUAUAAAAUGCUAAAACAAAUAUUUUUGAUUUUCUUUAUGCAUGUGUGAACAGUACCCUACGAAAACCAGGUAUUUUAAUACCGAAUUUAUAUUUUUACGAUGUAAAAUAUAGACCGAUAUUAAGCAAAAUUGAUAAAAACAUGUGCUGAAAAAAUUGUAAAAAUUUUAUAUGUAAAACAAAUUUAAAAAAUUGAAAUGGGGCGGACCCAGCCCAUAUCAGUGGGCUGGGCCAACCCGGCCCAUUACCAAAUGGGCUGGUUACUGUGCAUAAGCACAGUAACCAGCCUCUCAUCAGUUGCAGAACAUGAAUUAAUUCACGUUCUGCAUGAAAAUAAAAGAGAGAAGGCAGCAGCAAAAGGAGAAGGAGACGGGGCAACGGGGUUACCUGCGGUGGCGUCGAGGCGGUGCUGCUGGUGGAAGCGGAGGCGAUGGUGGCGAAGGCACGAUGGUUCUGCGUUUCCCUUCUCUCUCUCUUCUGUUUUUCUUCGUUUUCUUUUCUGCUGCUUCUUCUUCUUCUUCUUCCCUGCCCUCUCCCUUCUCUUCUCUUCUCUCUCGGUUCGUCUCCCUCUUCUCUCUCCCUCGGUCUCCCUUCUGUCCUCUUUUUUUCUUCUCCUUUUCGGUGCCCCUCCCCUGUUUUUAUAGGCAAAAACAGGGGGGUGGUGUCGUGGUUGGGCGGCCACUGUCGGCCGCCCCCUCCACUAUCGAUCAGUGGAGAAAAAGGACGCAAGUGGGCGCCGAAUGGUGGGCGUCUUUUUGAAGCCAUCAGGGAAAGAAGUUCGACAAAAAGUGGAGAAGACAAAAAAAAUCUUCUCCCCUGUUCUCUGCGUGCGCAGGGAAGAAGACAAUGGUGCCGUUUCAAAACGGCACUGUUUUGGGCUUCUGUUUUUUUUUUUUUUUUCAACAGUGAAUGAAACGGCGCCGUUUUGGUCAAAACACGCCGUUUCAUUUAAAAGAAAAAGGCGUCAAAACGCGUCAGAUUUCAAAGAAAGCCCUCAAUUUGCGCGCGUUUUACAAUUUCGUCCUUGGUCUCGGAUUUCUUCAAUUUAGUCCCUAAUUGGCCAUUAAACUUCAAUAUUUAUGCAAUUAAGCCCCUGAUUUGACCAAAUUAACUUCUAAAAAUUAUAAUUUGACCCCAGAAAAUUAAUUUCUUCCAAUUAAAGCCCAAAAUAACUCCAAAAUCAAUUGUUUUUGCAAUUAAAACCUCUAUAAAUUCAAUUAAACCUUCAAUAAAAUUUAAUUGAGUCCAUAAACUUCUAAUUUUGCAUUUUUCUUCCUCAAAUUGAAUUUUCUUUAUCAUCGGGGCUCGCAUCAGUCAAUGAUAUACUGUCAAAAAUUUAUUUUUAUAUUUUUGAACAUCCUCAAUCAAUUUUUGAACAUUUUUAGAGCUCUCGUAUUUUUUCACUGUUAUAUUUUUUUGAUAAUAUAUUUUUUGAAUUUGUUUUUUGUAUUUUAUUAUUUUUUAUGUGGGGACCCAGAAAUGGGUGACAACAGCAUCAAUGAUAAGACAAGAUGCCAUCAAUUAUGGCACAAAUAGUGGUAACACAUGGGUUGCAACAUUUUUGUCAAUGGUUGAUACAACUUCCAUUCUAGCCUUUUGACAAUAGCAACCCUACUUCUUAGGGUAGGUGCACAUGUUGUUGCCUAUUAAUGGCAAUAUCCCAACAAUUACCCCUUUUAACAUUUAUAUGGGCAAUUGUCCUCUUACUUCUCCAGCACAAACUUGCAUCUUACAGCUCUUCCAAGCUUACCAUUCCGAGAGUGUCUGUGACCAAGUGUACAAGUACUCGCCAAACCUUUCAAUCACUACAGUUGCCAAAGCACACCUUUUCUCACACCAAAGGAUUACUUCAACCAAAUGGUCUCCAACAUCACAUCUGAAAAGUGUUAACACUUAUCUCUAGGACACAACAUUCCCCUUCGAGCAUAUCAAUCAUGCUCGGUCUGGAAUGAUUUUUCAAGCCUCAUACCAAGGCUUACAACACCCCCUUAAACAGAUAUUCCCAAGUGCAACAGUCAUUAAGUAUUUCAAUGUGACCACGAGCUCACCACUAUUCCAAGAGUCUACUCAUUCCGGAGUUGCGUCUGCCCUUUGUUCCACCUUAGGAACCACGCCUUACUUCUCCAUGAGUCUAUUGCUCUUAGUCCUAAGAGUCUAGGUAGCUCUCCACCUUUAACCAUGGGGGCAGCCCAUUAAAGGUUGAUUCAUAUCUGUCUUCAUGCUCUGAGUAUUACAAUGUCAUCACCGAGCUCACUACCUUGACAAGAGUCAACUUGUUCCAAGAACCUGUGCAUGCCCUCUACUCAUUCCUAACAGUCGCGUCUUAAUGCUCCAUAAGUCAACCACUUAUUUUCCAAGGCAAACGUCUUCUAGCUCAUUGAUCUUUAGCAUGGGGGUAAUAUCCAUGAAAGUCAAUCCUGCAUUUGUCUUCAUACUCAUACUCAUCAUAGUCAUUUCAUUGGCUAUCCAUACACCUGUCCACUCAUAUCUAGCCAUCGUCACAUCGGCUCUAGGGCGUUCUGUAAUUGGGGCUCCUAUCAUGGCCCUCACACCUUCCAUUUGAGGUAUCUCCACUCGUCGUCAUACGGCGGUCUGAAUUUGGGCUCAUAUCGUGGCUCUCACGCCUUCUCCUGAGGUGUCUCUACUCGUCGUCAUGCGGCAGUCUGAACUUGGGCUCAUAUUAUGGCUCUCACACCUUCUGUAUAAGGUGUCUUCGCCUGUCAUGUGGUCGUCUCAUCCUCCUUUAUCAGGGAUAACUGUAGUGGCUCUAAGAUUCUCUACCACCAAGUGGACUUGGGAGAGAUCACUGCCACUAAUCACAUAGAAAGAGAAACUUGCAGUAUACUCCUCGUAAUCCUCCACCUCGAUUUCUAUGUUUGGAGCUUCUACGCCUUUCUGCUUAAUAACUCCACCUAUACCAAUUCUUUGGUGUCUUCGCCUUUCAUCAUAGGUGGUCACAUUUAUCAUAGGCGUUUGCACCCCCGCAAUUAGGUGCUUUUGCAACAGCUCAUCUUUUCAUCCUUACAUGCAUUGGAAAGGUCCUCGCUUGUUGCCUUUAUCAAGAGCACAAGAGACUUCCUAUUGUACAACUUUUCACACAGUCUCUGCUUUGAGCUUCAUCUGGGAACUAUUCUUCUCCUUGCACCUAUUGUCUCAUUACAGUACCUCGUUGGAUCCUCCGAGUACUCAUACACAAUCUCUGUGUGCCCUCGUGCAAUUUUUGUUCUCUAGAUUUCUCCUCAUUCCUUGCUUAUAUUUGACAGCAGCUUAUCCUGUCACAACACCUAUCCAAGUCAAAAUAGGAUGUCAAUCUUUAUCCCUUUGCUGAAUUUCUCUUCCAUUAUCAAGGUCUUCAUCAAUUCUCCCUUCGAGAAAUUACAGUCACCGAAUCUAACUUCUUUACAGAAAUCAUCACUCCAUCAGAUCCUUGAUCAUACGGAACCCAACUGUUCCCCUUGUGCCGUCAUCUGCUAGUCUUCACCAGUUUCAUUACAAACUGUUACAUAUACGAAAAUAGUACCGUAUGGAUAAUCCUUCAACUAAGCAAGUUCCCAAGAGAGAUUGGAGGGGUCACAACGAUCCCGCUUAAAACCCAAUCUCCUAGCCAGAACUUCCUAGGCCAUAUUUAUCCAUCGUACUGCCUUUCCGUAUAUACAACCAUUUGAUAGCUUUGUUGCGGCUUUCUUUUACAAGUGAUCUGGAAUAUUUUCUCAACAUCUAGCGAGACUACUAGUGCUUAGAUUCGUCAAGAUUGGUCUGCAUCAAUUUUCACUCUCCACCUCAAAUCGUCCACAUGAUCGGGUGUCUAGAGUAUCCCAAUUUUGCCUUCCUUUAAGGCAAUUAAAUUUCCCCACUAAACAAUUCAGCACACAUAAUUGGGAAAAUGUGUGCGACUUCUUCUUCUUCAUCUCCAUCAACCACCAUCAAGACCUUCAGAUGCCUCUUGAUCGAGCAAUCUCUCUUAAUAAUUCACCACCACCACUUUUGGUCUCAAAUCUUAACAAACGGACCAUACCAUUACAUUCAGAACGAUCAAAUUAGCUAGAAAUAAGUCUGAAAUCAUCCAAAUCGCAUUUCAAACGGCUAAGAUUUGAUCAAAACAAUUCUGACCAGAUGAGCGGCCCAGAUUCAAUCUCAGAUCCGGUUGCACAAAGACUCCGCUACACGGAACCCAAUCCCUCGACUCGCAGCUCGGCUCCAACUCGGCUCAGCUCCACCCGACUCGGCUCCAUCCAACUCGGCUCGAGGCUGAUGACAUGGCAUAUGGGUCCCACUAUGCAGACGUGUCUGCUGACUGGUCGCUGCCAUGGCAUGCUAACUAUGCAUGCUGACGCAUUGAUUACAUCAUGAUGAUGUCAUCCUCCAUCCCAGUCAUCAUGUGGGUCAGGUCGUCUGGUAUUCGGGUCGGGUCAGCCCAUCCGGAUGAAGAAGACGCGUGCGGCACGUGGGCAUCCAAUUCGCCGACGCAUGGGGGCACAUGCGGCCAUGUCCAAUGUCCGAUUUUGACACAGUUUUCACCAAUGGCUUCAUCUCUUCCGCCUCUAUACGAUGGUUUGGUCAAAACACAAUUUUGACAACUUUCAUUUUUGAUCAAAAAUCAAACACCACUUUAAACCAUAUGCUCUGAUACCAAUUGUUGAAGAAUCCGACCGGUGAUGUAUUGAUAGUUGCCCAUUGGAGGCUAAGCACACUGACACAAUAUUUAACGUGGUUUGGAAAACCGCCUACAUCCACAGGAGAGGUCCAUAUUAUUCGAGAUAGAGAAAGGAUACAAAACAAAUACAUGGAGGAGGAGGAUCACUUCACUCAAACUCGACAACCCAGCUUUCAUUGCUACCCUUGUAGCUCCUCUCUUUCUCUCUUAUUCUCUUCACAUGCUCUCUAUACUCUCUCAUUUUGCUCUUAAAUAAUGCCUCUAUUUAUAGGCAUCAAUGGUAAGACAAGAUGCCAUCAAUUAUGGCACAAAUGGUGGCAGCACAUGGGUUGCACCAUUUUUGUCAAUGGUUUGUGUAAUUUCUAUUGUAGCCUUUUGACAAUAGCAACCCUACUUCUUAUGGUAGAUGCACAUGUUGUUGCCUAUUAAUGGCAAUAUCCCAACAAUUAAGAAUCUUAACAUCAAUGGUAUCAUCUUCCAAAUCAAUGAUGUUCCUCUUUUCCCUAAUGCAUUGUAGGGCAUAUUCGCUACAAAGAGACGCAAGAUCUGCCUCAAAAUACCCCUGAGUUCCCUUUGAGAUCUCUGUGAAAGAUUGUAGAUCGGUUGCUAGCAAUAACCCUAUUUUGAGGCAGCUUUUCCUUCCGAAACUGACCUUAGCAAAUGAAUGCCAAAUUAAGAUCUUAAACGAGGUAGUUUUAGCGAAAGGAAUGCUAAAACAAGUUCAUUAUUUGUACGCAGAUAAAAACUAGUUCAUUAUUUGUCAUUAUCUGUGACUCGCAAUAAGCAAUGGAUCAUUAAAUGACCCCAACAACAGCAUCACCCUUUUCAAUACAAAGGUAUCGUGUCUCGCGUCUAUGCAUUCAUUUUAUGUAACUGGAAGAUUCCAGUUUACUGGGUUUGUUUUUGUGGCAACAGAGGUUUCUUUAUGAUCUUCAUGGUUAGAAGACCCGGCCUCGUGAGUGCAGGGUCGAUUGUAUCAGGCCUGUUGGUAGCACCAAUUACGAAGACGGUUUUCUUGGCUGAUAAACCAUCCAUAUCUCAGUUAGGAGUUGGUCCAAAACUCUAUCCGCGGCACCACCAGCAUCUCCUACACUGUUUCCUCUUUGAAUAGCAAUGGAGUCAAGUUCAUCGAAAAAUAGGACACAAGGAGCAGACUGGCGUGCCUUGUCGAAAACAUCCCUUACAUUGGCUUCACUCUCUGCAAACCACAUCGUUAGAAGCUCAGGACCCUUGAUACUGAUGAAAUUAGCUUGACAUUCAUUGGCAAUAGCCUUAGCCAGCAAUGUUUUGUCACAGCCAGGAGGACCAUAGAAAAGAACUCCAUUAGAAGGUGACAUGCCAAACUUCUCAAACUUCUCAGGAUGCUCCACCGGAUAUUGAACAGUCUCCUGAAGCUCCAUCUUGACCUUCUCAAGACCUCCAAUAUCCUCCCAUCUAAAAUUGGGAAUUUCCACAAUGGUCUCACAAAGAGCAGAAGGAUUGCUGGUUCCGAGAGCAAUGUUGAAAUGGUCAUUUGUAACAGCCAUGGAAUUAAGAAUCUCAGCAUCAAUGGUAUCUCUUCCAAAUCAAUGAUGUUCCUCUUUUCCCUAAUGCAUUGUAGGGCAGAUUCACUACAAAGAGACGCAAGAUCUGCCCCAAUAUACCCCUGAGUUCCCUUUGACUAGUUUUUCCAAGUCGACAUCUUCAGAGAGCUUCAUCUUCUUUGUAUGGACACGAAGAACCUCAAGGCGACCAGCUUCAUCUGGAACACCAAUAUCUAUUUCUCUGUCAAACCUCCUCAAUGCAGGGUCUAGACCGUUAGGCCUGUUUGUAGCUCCUAUCACAAUAACAUGGGCACGGGCCUUUAGCCCAUCCAUGAGAGUCGGUAGUUGUGAAACGAUUCUUCUUUCUAUUCGCCACCAGUUUUCUCACGUUUGGGAGCAAUUGAAUCAAUCUCAUCAAUAAAUAUAAUUGCCGGGGCAUUCUUUUCAGCUUCUUCAAAAGCUUUUCUGAGAUUUUGCUCACUCUCUCCUGCCAUCCUGGACAUGAUUUCUGGUCCGUUGAUACAAAAGAAGAAAGCCCCAGUUUCAUUAGCAAUAGCCCUCGCUAUCAAUAUUGUUUUACCAGUUCCAGGAGGACCAUAAAGCAGAAUUCCUUUCUGUGGCUUCACACCAAUGGUCUUGAAAAGUUGAGGAAACCUUAAUGGCAGUUCAACCAUUUCCCUGAUCAGUGCCAAUUGUUUCCUAGCACCACCAUUAUCAUCGUAGCGAAAUCGAUCAAGACUUUCCUCAUCUACCCUCUUUACAGCUUCCCCUUCACAGAAGAUCUCUGUAUCAGGCGCAACCACACAGUACUAAGCAGGAUCCGUCUCAAUGACCUUAAGCUCCACACUCUUCAUUCCUGCUCUGAUGAGGUAAUGAUCUCCUUUCCUGACUGGACGAGAAGAAUCCUUGAAGUAAGGCUUCAGGUAGGCAUCAAACAGCCUACCAUUAAGGCCUUCAACUGUGUCAUCCAAAGGCAGAAUAUGAACCCUCUUGCCAUACCGCAAAUUCGGACAUACCUGCACCGAAACCAUAUCACCAAGCCUGACCCUUAAGUUUGACCUCACAAUCUUAUUCAUCAAAAUCUUGGACUGAUCGCAGCUAUCAUACUAUAAAUAAAAUAUAAAUAUAUAAGUUUUUUAUUUGAUAAAUAAUAAACAUACUAUAGAUAUAAUAGAAACUCAACCCCUAAAUACUAAUAGCUAUAGCUCGAUAGCAGACUCCAAUUAUGUGGAAUUAGAAAGUCCGGCCAUUACAUAUAUAUGGCAGUCCAUUAUAUUUUGAUAACAAGGCAUGAUGAAAAAAAAAAACUAUUAGGGUGUGCUGUCAUCAAUGAGCAAUUGUCAUCUUACGGAGUUGAAAUUCUAUAUAUUUUAAAAAUAAGAUUCCGUACCCCCUUCGGAAUGGAAGCAGGCUGCUACCUGGAUAAGAGGUUCAGAAUACAUUGCAACUCCAACAUGACUCCGAGGCUUUCUAUGAAUAGAAUCAAUCUAGAGGUGUUGAACAUCUCUUUUAUUGAACCCAUAAAAAGUGUUUUUUUAGGGUGUUUUUACACCCAUUAAAUCUAGAUUUAUCACUUCUAUUUUAAAAAAAUUAAAUACAUACCUCUCACAUCAGUUUAUUACAUUUAAAAAAAGUUUAAUAUGAUCAUGGCUUUUCUAUUAUCUUCACUCUUCGGGACCCGAUAUUUUAGUCCAUUUCAUUAAAGAAUUGCCAUUGCUCGAGCUUUAAAUAAGGAAGGCUGGGCUUAUGCUACUCGAUGAAGCAACAAGAGCACUAGAUGCUGAGUCUGAGAGGUCUGUCCAGGAAGCCCUGGAUCGUGCCUGCUCAGGAAAGACCACAAUUGUUGUUGCACACCGGCUAUCAACUAUAAGAAAUGCUCAUGUCAUUGCUGUGAUUGAUGAUGGUAAAGUAGCAGAGCAAGGAUUCCACUCGCAUCUAUUGAAAAAUUAUCCUGAUGGGAGCUAUGCCCGCAUGAUACAGUUACAAAUUAAGGUUCACACAUAGCGAAGUCAUUGGAAUGACCUCAGGUUCAAGUUCACAGAGCAAGGAUCCCUUGUGCAUGUGGUUUGUCGCACCUGCUUUCACAAAAAGAUGCCCAAUGUCGGAAGAUAAUUGGGAGAAACGUGUCCAGGCAUUCCCUGCAUUUUUCAUGUACGAUUAGGAAAUGUGCUCCCAUCACAAAAAGGAAUCCUGAUCAUAUUUGCAGCAAUGAUCGAGGGCUUGUGCAAUUAGGCUACAAGGGUUAUCAUGCAUGCCAGGAUUCCACUACUUUCCGACUUACUGAUGGAAAAAGAUGGGACCCAAUGGCAAUGGAUGUAGACCUGAAUACUAAUGACGUGUUGGACAAUUAUGCAUCACAAUCCAAACUUUGAGGCGAUCAUAUUCCUGGCGAUUCGAAAUCAUCCAAUCUUGAGCUUAAUAGGAUGCGUAUCUAUUUAUGAUUUGGUUUGUGGGGAAGGAAAUUAUUGAGUGUCAAAGUUCACAUGCAUGGUGGUUGGUUGCACAUGUGUGUCAUUUGAGUGUCCAAGGACAAGUACUACCCAAAGAGGGGACCUCGUUGAAAUCAAUAGACCACGCUCCUUCGACCAUUAAUUAGUAGAAGCUGGUGGUGAUGGUGGUGGUGGACAAGCGGGAGACAAAAGUUUAGGAUAUGGCAUUUGGAAAAUGACAGCAAGGGAGAUGAUAAGAGAGUUAGAUCAUGGCCUCAUGGGAUGCUCUGUCCUUGUGUUCAUUUCGCGGGCCAUACCCAAUCUCUUUCCAUUAAAGAAAUACAAGGACGUUAGCCUGCACAGAUGGGCUUUAAUGGCGCUCUUGUUUUCAAGUGCUCAAGAGCAUUAUGCUUUUGGAGGGACACUGGAUGAUGACUCUCUGUUAACAAGUAACGACUUCAACAGCUGUUUCAAAUUACGGGCAACUAGAACACACAAUUACAAAAAAAAGGAGGAAAGUGCUACAAGUCUAAAACCAAUACCACAAGCAUAUUUAAGUUUGACAUACAAACACAAAAUUAAGACAUGUAGUAAAUAAUUUCAAUAUGUAUGUAAGAGUGGUUUUUCAUCUAGUGAUGAAGGAGCACCAAUAUCGAAGCUGGAAAUUGUUGAGGCGGAAGUAACAUCCCAAGGUGCUCCCAUCACUUCAGUUCUGUCAUAUUCAUUCUCUUGUUGGACGAUCAAGUUUUCGGAUUUUUUAAGCCUCUCCAACACCAUUGUGACUUCUUUCAUCGGAGGCCUUUCUUUCCCAUUUAACCUCAAGCAGCUCCUAGC